This 154263-nucleotide long non-coding RNA is filed under the name Vitis vinifera (wine grape). Its description in RNAcentral is "long non-coding RNA (VVIN_LNC001898)". Lineage: Eukaryota; Viridiplantae; Streptophyta; Magnoliopsida; Vitales; Vitaceae. The record is from RNAcentral.
CACAACCACACCCAGUGCUGACACGUGACUAACAAACCUUCGCUCAUCUACCAAACCCAUGGCCUCAUGCCUUAUAUAUUUCCACAAACCUAGCUCAAUUUUCAUAGCCACCUUCACUAUCCUAUACUCACUAAGCCAUGCCCAUAGAUACAAGCCUCUUGCUUGAGUUUGCUGCAGCAACUCUACUCUUCUUCAUCACCCGCUUCUUCAUUCGUUCUCUCCUUCCCAAACCUUCCCGGAAGCUCCCCCCUGGCCCCAGAGGGUGGCCGCUCCUCGACGCUCUUCCUCUUCUAGGUAACUGAUUCGUCCCUAGCAGCGGAAGUGGCAAUGGCACCAUCUGAUUCGGGGUUCGAUCCCCGGCAACGGCGCCAUUUGACUCAUGCCCAAUUGGUGUCUCAGCUGAUUUAUGUUCAGCUGGUGCUCCUUGAUUGAGGAAGUGAUCAACAAAAUUUAUACCUAUAACACCAUACACUAGGGUAGCAAAUACAAAGCUACUAUAGUAUAGUGGCUCUAGGAUCGUUCACUGGGAAUGAUUUGCAAGCAAUCAAUGAUACCAAUUCCAAGUGAAUUGGUCUUGUUUCAUUUCACAGUUAGCUUAAGGAAUAAAACACAAACUUUGAUUUGUAAAGGUUGAGAUUUAAACUAACUAACUUAACAGAAGUUUGGAAUAAUUUAGGAAGAAAAGCAUUCCUUGGAGAUUUAGGUUCACUGGGGUGGUUCCUCAUGCAAAAGACAUAGCUCCGGUCAGAUGGUUCAUUUCCUCGCAUUAGAGAUUCAACCUAUAGUCAAUUCUCUAACCGGUGAUGUACAGAGACUCCUUCAAUUAGAUUUCACUUUAAUUCUCUCACUGAUACAACUUGCAAUGGUUCAUGCCUCUCACGAGCACUUACCAUUCAAGGUGAUCUUUAACCUUGGAUUCCCCUUCACAAACUCGCAAGAGAUAACUAAUGGAUGUCUCCUAGGAGUCCAAAAGCUUACCAAGUGUUGGUAAUUCCAGAAAAUCCUACCUUGAAGUCACCUACCAGAGGCUCGCAAGGGGUAAACUAGUGCAUUUCCACGGUUGGAAAUCACUUGCCUUACCAAGUGUUGGCCCAGGUGACUCUAAGGUGUUUUAAGUUAACUAAAAACAUUGAAAUCACUAAAGGAUUUCACUUCCUCUUCAUUACUAGCUAAAACCACAGAGCUUUGCAUUCUUGCACUUGGAACCUUCCCCGGCAACCUUAGCUCCAAGGAAUUGGAGGUUUAGUUACUCAUUCUCUGGGGAAAACUCCUCAGAGAAUUCAUAACUUAGAAAUAAAAUGAAAAUACAAAGUGAGAAGGUAAGGCAGUAGAAAGACAAGACUUUACUUGCUUACCAAACGUUUUCAGAAGGAACUCUUCCCUUAGAGAACAGGCUCCCGAGAGGUAUAUAUAUCAACAAAAUAUAAAACUAAUUGUUACAAAGAUAUUUGGUCUUUUUACUAACUUAAAAACUAAGGAAUCAUGUAAUUGGUGGUUUACAAGGAGUAUUUUGGGAUUUAGACAACAAAAAUCUAAUGGAAAAUAUCUCCCAAUGUCGGUAGCAAGCUUCGGGAGGCUUCAGGAGCCAUUUCGCAGGUGAAAAAUGAGGCCUGCGAAAUUUCGCAGACACCCAAGAGGGCUGCGAAAUUAUCUUGCAAGACCGAGCUAUCUUCACUAGGCUGCAAAGUUGGCUUCCAUCUUGAGGUUUCCAGCUCCCUUCUCGCGGCAUGGUUCGUGCAUCGUUAGAAGGAGAAAUACCUUACUGUACAAAAGUGCUGCGAAAUUCUCGCAACACAUGGCUGAUUCCGCAACACUUUAGAGUGUCUGGCUUGUAAUGGCUGCAACUUCUUCGUUUCAAUUCCGAAUCGCACACCGUUUGAAGCAUUGGAGUGUUGACUUCCUGAGCUUUGAAAUGGUAUAUAGCUUGCAUCAUUUGGACUUCAGAAAGUGCUCCAAAAGUGGCUGCUACGACUGUCAUCAAGAAUAUGCUCCAUGACUGAUCCUCUUUGCUUUUUCUCCUUGCAAUCCGGAUUCACUCUUGGCAAUUGAAUUCUAAGCUUUGCCCAAGAUUCCUCAUAGCUCUCCUCAUUCUUGACUUGCUUUGGUGAUCAAAAUACUAUCAAAAACACCAAAACUUACACAAAGUGAUCAAAAUUGCUUUAAAGGAUCCUUAACAUGCCAAUUGAGUUAAAAGGCCUAAACUACUACUCAAAAGUGUUAAAAAGGAUUAAUUAAAAGCUAUCAAAUAACACUUUUUGAGUAGUAAUCACUCCCCCCAACCGACAUAUUGCUAGUCCCUUAGCAAUAUAGGAGAGAAAAAUAAAAAUAAAUAGCAAACUAAUCUAAAAUUUACAACAUCAUGCUAAAGGAAAAUAAUUCUUAAGUGGCAUGAUGAUUUACUUCUCACAUGAAUCAUUAAAGAAAUACAAACCCAAAUCUCAACAAGAGUCAUAACACCUGUGCUAAACACUGUCAAUCAAGGGAGUGCAUUAUGCAAACUGAAGUUUUAAAAUCAUUUCACUUUCUAAGAACUAAACUUCAAUCUUCCACAAAAAUCUAUGUGUAUUGGUUCCUUAGAUUCCGAGAAUAAUAUGCUAAACUAGUCUCACCCCCCAACCUAUCUCUUUUCAACACUUUAGCAAACUGACCAAAAUCAAUAAGAAAAGAACACACUUUCAUCUUUUUUUUUUUUUUUUUUUUUUUUUUUUUUUUUUUUUUUUUUUUUUUUUUUUUCGGGGGACCUUUUGGGGGUACCCUUUCUGACUUGCCCAUGGAAGGGGGGCCCCCCGAUGACCCCCCACCAAUUAAGGUUUAGGGCCCCCCGUUUUAAGGAUUUUUCAACCCCAAACCCCCCGGAUUUUUCCCCAAAUUUUUAAAAAGGAAUUUUUAAACCCCAAGCAUCCACCAAAUGCUAUUUUUUCCUUUUCCCCCUUGGAACGGGGUUUGGGGGCGGGGACCCCCCACCAAUUAAGGGUUAGGGCCCCGGGCUUUAAGGGGUUUCCCCAAAAACCCCCCAAACCUUGCUCGGGUUNNNNNNNNNNNNNNNNNNNNNNNNNNNNNNNNNNNNNNNNNNNNNNNNNNNNNNNNNNNNNNNNNNNNNNNNNNNNNNNNNNNNNNNNNNNNNNNNNNNNUUUCAACCACUAACUCCUCGGAUUUUUCCCCAAACUUUUAAGAAUGAAUUUCUAAUACCCAAGCAUCUACCAUAUGCUAACUUUACCUAUUCACCCUUGUAACGAGCAUUGAGGUCGGUGACUCCCAACCAAUUAAGGCUUAGGGCACCAGGCUUUAAAGGCUUUCACCAUAUACCCCUCAGACCUUGCUCGGGUUUCAAGGCAAGCAAACAACUUUCUUUAUUUCAAAGGCUCAUUGGCCUUUUGCAGGGUGUUCCAAUUUUUAUCAAAUGAGGUCAAAUAUACCAAGUCUCAAAAUUAUCCUAAGUCAAGAGGGAAAUAGCUUUUCAUCUUAUAAUCGGAAACUAAUGUGCACAGUGUGUGGAUAGCUUAAAGUGGAAGAACUAACUUCAAUUACAGUAGAAGUUUCAACAAUUGAACCACUUUAGUAAGCAUAAUCCAUACUCUAAGUCAAGUGAAAAACAACAGUUCAAUUUCUCUUGGUUUAAUUUGAAAAUUUUUCCUCAAAAUUCAUGGAGAAUAGAGUAACAAGAGUAAAAAGUAAAAACUACAACUAAUUAACCAAUAUAAUUGCAAUACCAAAAAGGUUUAGACUACUUCCUUCCUCAUACCCCCCAACCGAACUGAGCAUUGUCCUUAAUGUGAUUUGAGUGACUGUAAUAAAAGGGAGGAAGUGGUACCUCCAUGCUGAUAUCAAAUUCGAAUAUUGAUUGGGGAAAACCACAUGUUUCAAAAAGAAUAGAAUAUGUGAGAAAAGGAAAUAAUAAUAACUUAAUGCUAACUUUUAACAAGAAAAAUUCAACUUGUAUUACUUUGAGUUCAUUUGAUUACAAUGCUAAAGACAAGUAACACAAGGAAUCCCAUAUAUAGUACCAAAAUACUGGGAUUUCUUUUCAACUAAAACAAAACAAGCAUAAAAACAUAAAUAGCAAAUAUAUAUAAUGUCUGAUGAGUGGGGUGAUGGUGCUAAGCAGAAGGAUCUGCCUCCUCUGUAGGUGGAUCAGCUGGGGCUUCUGGCUCUGGAGGAAGAGACUCUGAAGGCUGAGAGUGUGGCUCUGGUGGAGUAGCAGUGGAGGGCUCUACAGCUUGUGGUAGAUCGAAAUGGACUUGAAGCUGCCUUAGGAUGGCAGCUUGUUGAGCCUGAGAGGCUAACAUCUGCUCCUGGCAUGCUUUGAUGGCUGCCAACUCUUGAGCAAAAUUGCUCUGGGACGCUGUAAGAGUCUCCAAUGCUCGGCACAGCUCUCGAUAUUCGGAUAUAGGGAUGGCCAUCCUCGGCUCAGCUGAUGUGGAUGGCUGUGAUGCAGCAGGUGCAGCUGGUGAAGCUCGAGGGAUGGCAGGAGUAGCAAGUGUUAUACCUUCAGGUGCAUGUCUUGGGGAGGCUCUCCUUGCUGCUGGCUGAGGCUGCCCAGGAUGAUCAAUUUUGUAGGCCAUCAUAUUAUUCCAUUUAUCAAGGGUAAAUGGCUCACGACAUAUUCUCUUUCUUUCCUGCUGAGGCUCAGAGGGGUAUCCAAGAUGCUCCAAAACUUGGCAUAGCAGCCGUGGGAAGAGGAGGGGAAUGCAAUCUGCUCUUUAAAGCUUCUUCUUGUGAACCUUCUCCUCAAAGUAGAGAAGGGCUGCCAUGAUCAGAUGAUGAGGCCCAAAGAAGAAUCCUUCUGACAUCUUGUACAAGGCUUCCAGGAGAAUUCCCCUUCUUUGGGUCCAAUGCUGCAGGGGAUAGAUAUUAUGCCUCAAAAAGGCAUCAAUCAAAAACAUCACUAGAGGUAGCUCCCCCCUCAGCAAAUGUGAUCGAUUUGCAGCUCCUCUGGUUAGUGUGCGAACCAUCUCUAACUCAGUAGGAUUUACCCAAGCUUUAAAAUUGUCGAAUUGGGUUGGCUCAAAAGGAAUUUGCAGGGCUUCAGCAAUAUGUCUUGCUCCCAAAAUACCAUGUCUUCCAUCAAUUAUAAAAUGAAUCAAGGUUGGAUUUCUUACUUCUUUGGUUGUCAUGGUCUGGUAGAAGUCCGUGACUACCCGGGGAUAGAAAAAAUCCCUUGGAGCUAGCAGAUACUCCAUAUGAUAUCUCCUCAGCAGCUGGAAGGAUUGGGCAAGCUCUGGCCUCACUCUGAAUGCUGUUAAAUCGAAGCAAAGCUCAGAAUGGAAUGCCCGUGUUCGACAAUCCAAGUUUCCUUCGAUUGGGGGCUGGGGCAGCAUUGGCCUUCGGAUCACUUCUUCCAGAGGUGCUUCAGCUGCAAUUUGGGGCUCUGGAAUUGGCGCUUGAGGCUCCUGAGCUUUUUCUUGGGGUGCCGGAGAUGGUACCGGCGAUGGAAUUGGAGUUGCUUCAGGUGAGGGAAUUGGCGAGGGAACCGGUGACGGCACUGGAGUUUGAACCAGUGAAGGAUUUGGGGACUGCUCAGGGGAUUGCUCAGUCAAAUCAAUUGGUUCAGAGCUCUCAACCCUGGUUUUCUUCUUCAAUGGCUGACCGCCUGACCUUGUUAAAUAUCGCCUUGCCGGCGGCUUUGGUGGCGCCGGCUUCACUGGAGAAGGAUUUGGUCUCGACGGCGAAGGCUUUGGAGCAGGUUCUGGAACAGAACCUGGACUUGGCUCCUUUCGCAGACUCCUUUUGCGAUUCGAAGGGGAUGAAGACUUUGCCCCUUGUGUUCGUGCCAUUUUGGAAUACCGAAACUUUAGCCGGUGCUGCUGAACGGAGAAGACGACCGGAGGUUCGGACGGCGUGGCUUGGCGAAGAAGAUGAAGGGGCUGCGAGAAUGGUGCUCUGAUUUUUGAAACCCUUUUUGCAGCACUUUUGACCGGUAUAAAUAGGAAAAACGGAAGCCCAGGGGUCAGUUUAAGUUUCGCAACAAAACGCCAAUUUUGCAGCAACUUGCCAUUUUCGCAGCAACUUCGCAGUGAGUUUCGCAGCUGCGAAAUUGAUGUCACUGUGCUGCGGAGUGGCACUCGUGUGCCAAAACCACUUUCGCAAUUGCGAAAUGCCCUGCGGAAUGAGACUUUUGGUGCGAAAUCACGCUUUUCCAUUUCGCAAUGAGUUUCGCAGCUGCGAAAUGGGUUCUACUGUACUGCGAAGUGGCACUCGUGUGCCAAAUUCACUUUCGCAGCUGCAAAAUACACUCGCAGAGGCUUCUACAGUGCUGCGGAAUGGUUUGGCAGCAAAAUGCUCAGUUCGCAGAAGUUUCCUUCUCUCUGCGAAAUUUCGCAGAGCUCUGUUUUUCCCCUGUUUCUGCUCUGUUUCGGCUCCAAUUUCGACCCGAUUUUUUUUCUUUUCAAUCCCCUUGAAAUUUCUUCCACCUGGGAUCAUUUUAAACAAUUAAAACACACUUAAAAACAUGAUUUAAGAUCAAAAACUAAGAUCAAAAGUAUGGAAACAACUUAAAAAUUUUACAAAAUUUACAAAAAUUUUGGACUGUGGUUAAGACCACGUCCAGCAAACCCUUUUCACUUAGGCUUUUUGAGGUUCAAGGAGGUUGAUUGCCUCCUUUUCUGAUUUGAAUGACUCCAUGAACGGCUUAAGACGAUAUCCAUUGACUCUAAAGCUAUCCUUGCCAUUGGAAUUCAAUAAGUCCACCACUCCAUUGGAAUAUACUCGGUGAAUAACAAAUGGACCAAUCCACCUUGACUUGAGCUUCCCAGGAAAGAUAUGGAGUCUUGUGUCAUACAUCAAAACUUUUUGCCCUUCCUGAUUCAGUUUGCCCGGAUCCCAUUUGAAGCUUGCAUCCUUCACUUGAGACUUGGUUUGAGAUGAAGAUAUUACGACAGGACAUUGAUUAUUUUCUUCAAGAUAUGUAUAUUUCAGCUCCACAGGUAAAGGCUUCAGAUUGAAUUUUGGAAUUUCUUUUUCAGCGGCUGCCUCCUCUUCUUCAUUGAACAAAGGUAGAAUUUCUUCUAUCUUUCUCCAACUUUGUAGAGUAGCAAGCCCAAUAGGCGAUUCAGAAAAACCUUCCUCAAUAUCCUCAAGAUUUUCAUUCAACUUAUCUUGCAUAUGUUGAUUACAGUGCUCCUCCACCAAAGUAUCAAUUACACAUAACUCUUCUGGACCUUCUUCUUCUUCCGGAGUGAUUUGAUUUUUAGACAUAUAGAAAAUAUUUAGAUCCAGUGUCAUAUUACCAAAAGUGAGUUGCAUAAGCCCAUUUCUACAGUUGAUGAUUGCAUUUGAAGUUGCAAGAAAUGACCUUCCAAGGAUGAUAGGAACUAAAUUAGCUUCCUUUACAGUAGGAUCAGUAUCAAGAACAACAAAAUCUACAGGAUAGUAGAAAUUAUCUACUUGAACCAAUACAUCCUCAAUUACUCCUCUUGGAAUUUUCACUGAUCUAUCUGCCAAAGAUAAAGUGAUUGCUGUUGGCUUCAACUCUCCAAGUCCUAGUUGCUUGUAGACAGAGUAUGGAAGCAAAUUCACACUUGCUCCCAAGUCUAGCAAGGCUUUCUCCACUACCUUUCCUCCAAUCAUGACUGAAAUGGUAGGACUUCCAGGGUCUUUGUACUUCGAAGGAGACUUACACUGUAAGAUUGCACUUACUUGCUCAGUCAAGAAGGCUUUCUUGUUUACAGUCAACCCUCUUUUGAUCGUACACAAGUCCUUUAGGAAUUUUGCAUACGUUGGAACUUGUUUGAUCAUAUCCAGCAGUGGAAUAUUAACUUUCACUUGCCUCAAUACUUCUAGGAUUUCAGCUGCAUUUCUAACCCCCUUUUUCCCAUGUAAUGCUUGAGGAAAAGGUGGAAAAGUUGAUUUCUUCAGCAUUUUUUCCUUCAGAAGCUCUUUCUCUGGAAUUGCUUUCAUUGUUGAAUCAGAGUCCUUCUUCUCUUCGCUGAUCUCACUCUCUUUAUCUUCCAUUUCCUUCCCUUUCUUCAUCUCUUCUUCUUUUUCAACAUGUGGCUUGGGUGUUGGCUGCUCAAUUUUUUUACCACUCCUUAGAGUGAUCAAAGCUUUCACAUCUUUCACCUGUGAUGAUUCUCCCUCAUGGAUUUCCACUUCAUGGACACCUUUGGGAUUUUGGUUAGGUUGAGAAGGAAAUCUUCCUUUUUCUUGCAGUGUAUUCAAAUUUGUAAGCCUGGAAAUUGAAUAUUGGAUGUUAUCAAACUUUUGGUUCAUUUCAUUUUGCAUUCCAUCCAUUCUUUUGUUCAACACACUCUCCAUUCUAUCCAUUCUUUGAUCAACUCGAGCAUUGGUGGCUUCUUGCUUUCCCACAAAAUCUCCCACUACCUUGCUGAGAUUGGCUAUUAUUUGUUCAAUACUUGAAGAUUGCUGAGAUGGUGGAUCCGGCUGUUGGUAUUGAGUUGCUCUGGCCUUCCAUGAGAAAUUUGGAUGAUUCCUCCAACUUGAAUUGUAGGUAUUUCCAUAUGGAGCAUUGUUAUUGGGCCUGAAUUGUCUAACAACAUUUGCUUGAUCUCUAUACAUUUCCCUUUCAACUGAAAUUGCAGGGCACUCCUCUACCAAAUGUUCAAAUGAUUGACAAUUGGGACACAACUUCACUUGCACUGGUGCUUCAGCAACAGCUUGCACUUCAUGCAUUCUUUUCAGCUCCAGCUCCUCCAAUCUUCUUGUCAUAGCUGCCAACUUUGCUUUCAUGUCAUCAUCUUCUUUCAAAUUAUACAUCCCAGCCUUUGCAUUGUAAGCAUUCAACUGAGACUUCAUCUUUCCCACUUCUCCUUUGGUUGGUUCAUCCCAUCCCCUUGAAACAUCAGCUACAUAGUUCAAGAAAUCCAUAGCUUCCUCUGGAUUUUUGCUCAUGAAAUCUCCUCCACACAUUGUCUCGAGGAGUUGCUUCAUUGAGGAUGACAUACCAUCAUAGAAAUAGCUCACCAAUAGCCAUGUAUCAAAGCCAUGGUGAGGACAAGCAUUUAUAGCUUCCAUGUAUCUUUCCCAACACUCAUAGAAUUUCUCAUUCUCUUUAGCUGAGAAGUUUGAAAUUUGCCUUUUCAAGCCAUUUGUUCUAUGAGUAGGAAAAAAUUUCUUAAGGAAUUCAGCUUGUAAAUCAGUCCAAGAGCGGAUACUCCUUGGCCUUAAAGAAUUAAGCCAAAUUUUGGCCUUAUCCUUUAAAGUAAAAGGAAAUAACUUAAGCCUCAUCAAGUCAAUUGAAGCUCCUCCCUCUUGGAAUGUAUUACAAACAUCUUCAAAUUCCUUGAUGUGUGCAUACGGAUUCUCACUUUCCAUCCCAUGGAAAGUUGGUAGAAGUGGAACAAGAUACGGUCUGAUCACUAGCUGCUCUGUAGGGGCACUAUACAUGAUGGUGCACUCAUACGANNNNNNNNNNNNNNNNNNNNNNNNNNNNNNNNNNNNNNNNNNNNNNNNNNNNNNNNNNNNNNNNNNNNNNNNNNNNNNNNNNNNNNNNNNNNNNNNNNNNUAUAGUCAAUUCUUUAACCGGUGAUGUACAGAGACUCCUUCAAUUAGAUUUCACUUUAAUUCUCUCACUGAUACAACUUGCAAUGGUUCAUGCCUCUCACGAGCACUUACCAUUCAAGGUGAUCUUUAACCUUGGAUUCCCCUUCACAAACUCGCAAGAGAUAACUAAUGGAUGUCUCCUAGGAGUCCAAAAGCUUACCAAGUGUUGGUAAUUCCAGAAAAUCCUACCUUGAAGUCACCUACCAGAGGCUCGCAAGGGGUAAACUAGUGCAUUUCCACGGUUGGAAAUCACUUGCCUUACCAAGUGUUGGCCCAGGUGACUCUAAGGUGUUUUAAGUUAACUAAAAACAUUGAAAUCACUAAAGGAUUUCACUUCCUCUUCAUUACUAGCUAAAACCACAGAGCUUUGCAUUCUUGCACUUGGAACCUUCCCCGGCAACCUUAGCUCCAAGGAAUUGGAGGUUUAGUUACUCAUUCUCUGGGGAAAACUCCUCAGAGAAUUCAUAACUUAGAAAUAAAAUGAAAAUACAAAGUGAGAAGGUAAGGCAGUAGAAAGACAAGACUUUACUUGCUUACCAAACGUUUUCAGAAGGAACUCUUCCCUUAGAGAACAGGCUCCCGAGAGGUAUAUAUAUCAACAAAAUAUAAAACUAAUUGUUACAAAGAUAUUUGGUCUUUUUACUAACUUAAAAACUAAGGAAUCAUGUAAUUGGUGGUUUACAAGGAGUAUUUUGGGAUUUAGACAACAAAAAUCUAAUGGAAAAUAUCUCCCAAUGUCGGUAGCAAGCUUCGGGAGGCUUCAGGAGCCAUUUCGCAGGUGAAAAAUGAGGCCUGCGAAAUUUCGCAGACACCCAAGAGGGCUGCGAAAUUAUCUUGCAAGACCGAGCUAUCUUCACUAGGCUGCAAAGUUGGCUUCCAUCUUGAGGUUUCCAGCUCCCUUCUCGCGGCAUGGUUCGUGCAUCGUUAGAAGGAGAAACACCUUACUGUACAAAAGUGCUGCGAAAUUCUCGUAACACAUGGCUGAUUCCGCAACACUUUAGAGUGUCUGGCUUGUAAUGGCUGCAACUUCUUCGUUUCAAUUCCGAAUCGCACACCGUUUGAAGCAUUGGAGUGUUGACUUCCUGAGCUUUGAAAUGGUAUAUAGCUUGCAUCAUUUGGACUUCAGAAAGUACUCCAAAAGUGGCUGCUACGACUGUCAUCAAGAAUAUGCUCCAUGACUGAUCCUCUUUGCUUUUUCUCCUUGCAAUCCGGAUUCACUCUUGGCAAUUGAAUUCUAAGCUUUGCCCAAGAUUCCUCAUAGCUCUCCUCAUUCUUGACUUGCUUUGGCGAUCAAAAUACUAUCAAAAACACCAAAACUUGCACAAAGUGAUCAAAAUUGCUUUAAAGGAUCCUUAACAUGCCAAUUGAGUUAAAAGGCCUAAACUACUACUCAAAAGUGUUAAAAAGGAUUAAUUAAAAGCUAUCAAAUAGCACUUUUUGAGUCAAAUGAGUUCAAGGACAUGGUGGUGGAGCUCAUGACCACUGCUGGGUACUUCAAUAUUGGCGACUUUAUUCCGUCCAUCGCAUGGCUGGACAUCCAAGGGAUCCAGCGCGGGAUGAAGCAUUUACAUAGGAAGUUCGACCGGUUAUUAACAAAGAUGAUGGAGGAGCACACGGCGUCAGCCCAUGAGCGAAAGGGAAACCCAGAUUUUCUGGACGUAAUCAUGGCAAACCAAGAAAAUUCUACAGGGGAGAAGCUCACUAUUACCAACAUUAAAGCACUCCUCCUGGUAUGCAUAGUUAAAGCUCGUCUUCAAUUUUGUUUUCCGAUAUUUUCUUUCCGGAAACAGCACUUUUAUUGCUUUUAGAUAUGUACGUUUUUAUCAGGUAGCCAUUUUAGGGGCACAUCACUAUUCUUUAUUUUUGGACUAUUUUUUUCUUUUUCCACUUGCAUGGUUGUUUUCAUAUGCUCAGCUGCAUGGCACAAGAAAAUUGUGAAAAAUGAUUGGUUCUCUGAUCAGACCUUCUGCACCAAAACACGCUUUUCUCUAUGUUAUAAAAUCGGUUUACAUGAUUUUUCAACCAGCUUCCUUGAACUUGAACUUUUGCUAGGGCUAAUGCAAAAAAUGAUUGAUCUCAAUUUUCAAUAGCGUUUGAUUACAUAAAUUUCAAGUAUGUGAACAUAUUUUUGUUUCCUUGGCUAGAAUUUAUUUACUGCAGGAACAGACACUUCAUCGAGCGUAAUCGAGUGGUCUCUGGCUGAGAUGUUGAAAAACCCGAGCAUCCUCAAGCGUGCUCACGAAGAAAUGGAUCAAGUGAUUGGAAGGAGCCGGCGGCUCGUGGAGUCUGACUUGCCAAAACUUCCAUACCUACAAGCCAUAUGCAAGGAAAGCUUCCGGAAGCACCCAUCCACCCCGUUGAACCUUCCUCGUGUCUCAACCCAAGCAUGUGAAGUGAACGGCUACUACAUCCCAGAGAACACUAGACUUAGCGUGAACAUAUGGGCAAUUGGGCGAGACCCUAAUGUCUGGGAAAGCCCGGAAGAAUUCAGGCCAGAAAGGUUUUUAAGUGGAAGAAAUGAAAAAAUUGACCCUCGUGGAAAUGAUUUUGAGUUGAUCCCGUUUGGGGCUGGACGAAGGAUUUGCGCUGGCACUAGAAUGGGAAUAGUGCUGGUUGAGUACAUUUUAGGGACGUUGGUACAUUCAUUUGACUGGAAAAUGCCGGAUGGAGUUGAGAUCAACAUGGACGAAGCUUUCGGGCUUGCACUGCAGAAGGCAGUUUCUCUUUCGGCCAUGGUGACACCAAGGCUUCACCAGAGUGCGUAUGCAGUCUGAGCUCAAACCGCUCAGACCAAAACCCAGGCCUCGCUGCUAUAUGGCAUGGAUGCAGUUAAGUAGAAAAUAUUUUGGGAUGCCUGUGGCUUAGUAUAAGAUGUAUUAGCUCAAAGAUGGUCGUUUCAUUCUACCACCAAGCCAUAUGCAUCUAUGCAUAAUCUAUUGAUUUAGGCUCGAUUUGGUUAUAGUUUUUGUUUUUUUGUCUUCCAAAUCAGUAAAUAGUAGGGGUAUUUUUGUCCUAUGUAGUGAUUCUUUUUGUUUGAUUGAUUAUAUUUGGAUCCUUCAAAAAUAUAUGGUCAGAGCCAUCUCCAUCUUUUCACUUCUUGUGCUGCAGAAUGGGAUUGGCUUAGAUCGUUAGUCUAAUGUUAACCCCCUUCAAAUCUAAUUAUUCAUACCCAAUUUUGACACGAAAGAGCCAUUGUCAUGAAAGGGGGACCAGGGACCUCAGCACCCUUGGUUCAUCAUUUUGGUACGAUGCCAACUCUACCACAUAACCACCAUUUAGAUAUCUAUCCUUUUAUUUUUGGCAUGUGAACUUAUAGUGGGUGGCUGACCUUGAAUCCAGUAGUUAUCAUGAUAUAUAUGGCUGUGUUGAAACUAACCACCAUUUAGAUAUCUAUCCUUUUAUUUUUGGCAUGUGAACUUAUAGUAAGUCCGAUUUAUGUCCAAGGGUCAAAUUUAAAUCUCUCUUCAAUCUAAUGGCUAAGAACUUCCCAACUUUAUUUAAUACUUAAUGUAUCCAAUAAUUGUAAUCGAGUAAUCCAAUGACAAGUACCUUCAAUGAUUAUUUUGGCAAAAGAAAUAAUAUAAGUUUGUUAUUUUAUGAUAUAAUAAAUUUAUUAAUACUUUCCUUUUUCAAAAUAUGUAAUUAGUUGUAAUUUCAUUAUAUAAUAUAUAAAUUAAGUUAUUUGCAAUUUUAAAAUAUGCUCAUUUUGUAUUUUUUUAAGUGUUAUUUAAAAAUUACACAAUUUUGUUUUAUAAAAAGUAUUUAGUACUUUUAAUUUUAUAAUUUACAAACAUUAAUUUAUACUAUUUUCUUAAAAUAUUUAGUUUAGUAUGCAUAUUAUUAGUUGUUUUCUCAGAUCUCAAGUUCCAAUCAAAAAAAUAUUUAUGAUUUGUUUUUGUUAAUUUGUGUCUUGUUUUCAAUUUAAUUAAUGAAAUUUUAUUUGAUCAAAAAGUUCAUUAUAAACCAAUUUUAAAAAUCUAAUCCUUUAUUAUAUUUUGAUAUGGUUUUGAUAAAAAUGUCUUUAUUAUUAUUAUUUUUUAUAAAAAUAAUUAUUAUUUUUGAAAUAUAUUGUAAAUAUUUAAAAUAAUUAAAAAUAUUUAGAUCAAAAAUCGAUUAUUUUUCAAACAAAAAUAUGAAAGUGAUAAAUUUGCAAAUAUGGGGAAUAUUUAAUCCUUUUAAUCGAUUAUUUCAUUACUGAAGUGGGUAUAAUGAUGAACGCAGACUUGGUUUUGCUAGGGCAUGCAGAGGUUUUGCAAGAGAGAGAGAUCAUUUCUCGACUCUGAGAAAUCAAUCUCCUUUUGGCCCGGUGGUGGACUCCAAGUAAAGCCUUGAAGGAGCCUUGCUAACAUCCCUGCACACCCACGCCUUCCAGUACUGAAGGAAAUGAAGCGAAGGGUUGGCUCGUUCAACUCCACUGCUUGAACUGUACUAGCAUUCUGAUGCCGCUCUGGAUUGAAAUUUAGCGGUUCUUCCCAGAUUCUAGGGUUCCGGCCCAGCCCCAGACGGCUCAGAAGGACAUGACUGCCUUUGGGGAUAAAGUACCUAGCAACACUAGUCGGAUUCCUGAACUCGUCUAUCCUUUCCAACCACUCCAUCAAUUUCUUCACUGCUUUGCUCAAAAUCCCUGGUUGCUUGAUCAUUGCCUACCCAAUUGCAUUUGAUGGACUAUCGACGCCUGCAAGCAUCAACUCCUGCAAAUUAUGGAAGGAUCAUAAUCUGAUGAUUGAUCAAGUUAUUUGCUGGCUAGGAAAUGAUCAUCAUGCAAUGUAGAUCAAAAGGUAAGCACAACGCUACUACAAAAAUAAUUUAUGGUGUCAUUUUUUAAAUAAUGACACCAUAGGGUUUAUAAUUAAUAAAGGUGAUACAUCGUAUAAAAUUUUUUCAAUUGAGGUAGUUAGAUUAUGUUAGUUUUAUAUUUAUAGUGUCAUUUUUUGGGAAGUAACAUCAUAUAAAAUAAAUUUUUUUAAGUAUUAUAACUUAAUGAGCCCACUUGAGCCCACUUUUAUAAUUAAUAAUGGGGGAUAAUGUAUAAAAAGCCCAUUGUUUCCACAUGCCACCCACAAUCCAAAAAAUCUCAGCAUACAAACCUUAUAUAUAAAACCAUAAUCUUCUUCUACCUUUUCUCUUACCUAUAGUCAACACACUUACAACCAACAUUUUCUACUUUGUGGACUCCUGGGUAAUCCAAAUUCUCUUAGAUCUAUCAUAUUUUUUUUUUCCUUUUAUUAAUAUAAUUAUAUUGAUUGUUUCAGCAUCUUUGUAUUAUGGUUUUUGUAAACUGCGUUUUCUUGAGUUGUAGGGAAGAAAAACUUAGGUUUAAACUUCUAGCAUAGACGAAGAAACUUGUAGAUUAAUUGAUUUUUUAAUAUGAACCAAACACAUGACUGACUUCUUAAAAACAAGAAAAAAUGAAUGAUUUUUAAUAUGUAUUUAUGUGAGAAUGACAGGUACAAAAUUUUGUUGAGAUAUACUGCCACAUAAUCUUCAUCCCUUCCCUAAAACAAGAGAGAGAGAAAAAAAAAAAGGAAUGAUUUUUUUUGUGUGUAUCUAAGUGGGAAUGAGAUAUAUAGAAUUUCGUUGAGAUGCCACAUGAUCUUUAUCCUCCAUUAAACCCAACAUAUUAAAUCCACUAACUCUCCCCAAAAACGAGUAAAAAAAAAGGGAAAAAAGUAUGAGUUAAAAAACAAAAACGGAAAAUAUGAUUUUUUUUUUUUUUUAAUGUGUUUCUAAGGAAAAUGAGAGACAAAUUUUUGUUAAGAUGCAUUGCCACGUGUUCUUCAUCCUCUCCAUUAAGCCUAACAUAUUAAACCUAAUAGCUCUCUCUUUUAACUUUCCAGUGAAGUGCCUACAGUAUCCAACUCAAAAUAAGACAACUUAAGCCCCAUUAGCCAACAACCCAUAUUUUGUGUACAUCUUGAUGAGAUUAUUUUGUGAGAAAAUGUCAUGAAACAAUCCCAAUUUGAUAAUCUAGGCAUGUAUUUGAGUUAAAAAUAAAUUUCUAUUCUAUAGAUCAAAUAAUAAAAUCAUGUUUGAAAAUUAUUUUUAAAAACUUAUUUAGAGCAAAAAUAGUUUUCUAACAUAAAAAUAAUUUUUUAACUGAGAAAAUAUAUUUGAAAUUAUUUGAUAGAAAAUUGGGCAUGUAUUUGACUUAAAAACAAAUUUCUAUUCUAUAGCUCAAAUAAUAAAAUCAUGUUUGAAAAUUAUUCUUAAAAGCUUAUUUAGAGCAAAAAUGGUUUUCUAACAUUAAAAUAAUUUUUUAAUUUAGAAAAUAUAUUUGGAAACAUUUGAUAGAAAACUGGGCAUGUAUUUGACUUAAAAAUAAAUUAUUAUUCUAUAGAUCAAAGGAUAAAAUCAUGUUUGAAAAAUAUUCUUAAAAACUUAUUUAGAGUAAAAACAGUUUUCUAACAUAAAAAUAAAUUUUUAACUUAGAAAAUAUAUUUGAAAACAUUUGAUAGAAAACUUUUUUUUUUUUAAUGUCAAUAAGUUGUCUUUUGUUAAUUUAAUUGUAAUCAAUUUGCUUAUACGCAUUUAAAAGUAUAUAUUAUCAUAUUUAGUAAUAUUUUGAUUGUUAGGCAAAUUAUCAUUUUUGAGAGGAAUUUUUGUAGCUCUCAUAAUUAUAAUUGUAUUUUAAUAACCAUUUCCAAUAAAAAAAAAGAAAAAAAAAGUUAGACAAUUAUCAAAAUCUGAUUUUUAGGAUUUAAAAAAAAUCUACAAGCCAAAACUAUCUAUAAUUUUGAUCAUGUGAGAACACUUCUUUUUUAAUACUUUGAAUUAUUUUGUUUUUUUUUUCUUAGUAUCUGAAAGUAUAAAAGAAUUUCUCUUAUUAUAUUAUUAUAUUAUAUAUGUGCAUGUGUGUUCUCAUGGUUGUUUAUGUCAUGUGUUAUUAAAGAAUAAAGUGAAAUUUCCUUUGAGUGGAAGGUUUUAGUCCACGCUAGUGAGUGGACACAGUAUGAAUAGUUUGGGUGGGUUGUAUCUAUGGUAAAAAAAAUAAUAAAAGACACCUUUUGCAAGUCUCCAAGUUGGUUGAGAUACAUGGUAUCAUGUUGACUAAACCUUGACUUUUGCAAGUCUCCUAGUUUCCAACUUUUUUUUUCUUUUUUUUUUAAUAUUAAGGUGUGGGGCCAUGAACUCCUUUCUUUCCUUUUUAAAUAACAAAAAGGAAGACAAUUUUAUUGUGAGAAGGCUAUUGCUAUCAAUUGUGUUCACGUCGAGAUUUUUUUAAUUUAUGGAGGCCAUAUAUAUAUUUAUGUCUAAUUUAGGAUGGUAAUUUGGGUUUGUUUAAUCUAUUCCAUUUAAUCAUACUAUACAAUCAUUUUUUUAUUUGGAUUAUUUUUGUAUUAAAUUUCUUCAACCCAAAUUUUGUUGAAAAGUUACAAUGUAUUAUUAAAAAUAUGACUUGGUAGUUGAUUAUGGAUAUGUGUCAUUUUUAGUAAAAAAAAAAAUCUAUAACAUUUUAUAUUGAUAAUAUAUUAUUCUUGUAACAGGUUCGAAUAGUAAGCAAGUCAUUAUCAAAGAAGUUAUUGAAAGUGUAAGGGUAUGUUUAUUUAUUGCAUGCUCUUAUAUAGUAUCAAUUGUAAGGAAGAUAAAAUUACCUUGUAAAGGUAAUUAAAUCUUUCUAUAUUUUAAAAACUUUUUUCCUAUAUACUAUGCUUUUGAAGCUUGUUUAAUUAAACAUAUUAGUUAUUUGACAAACUUUUCACAAAUGUUUUGCAUGUAUACUUAUGUGUUCUAUUUUGUUCCAUAGUUUUAUUGCAUAAUACUAAUGUAUAUUUUUUCACAAACUUUUUACAACUAUUUUGUGUACUAAUGCAUAUUAAGUUUUGUUCUUGCCUAUAUAAGCUACAUUUAGUUAUUUAAAUAUAUCCAAUAUUAUGUUGAAGAAAGAUGUACUUACUUAACUUUUUUUAUUCUAAAUAUUAACAAGUUUUUCAGUUCUCUUGUCUCGAGAUUGAAUGUCAAAAGAUAGAAGGUCAGUUGAGUAUGAUGAAAGAGUUGAAAACUUUAUCAAUUUUGCAUUAGCACAUUCAAUCAACCAUUCCCCUAUAAAAUGCCCAUGCUUACGUUGUGCAAAUCUGUUAUGUCAAACUCUUCAAGUCAUUACAGAGCAUUUGUUCUUUAAUGGAAUAGAUCUCAGUUAUCGAGUAUGGUAUUGGCAUGGAGAAAAUGGACCCAGUGGAGGAUUUUCAAAUGUCUCACAACAACAUUAUGACAAAUGCAAGUAUAAUGAUGUUGUUGACACAAUAGAUAUGGUUAAUGCUGCACAAGUUAAUUGUAUGAAUGAUCCCUAAGUGUUUGGAAGGUUACUUGAAGACGCAGAAAAACCUUUAUAUCUUGGAUGCAUGAAAUACACAAAGUUGUCAGCAUUGGUAAAACUUUACGACUUAAAAGCACAUUAUGGUUGGUCUAACAAAGGAUUCUCAAAAUUGCUUCAGUUGCUUGGAGAUAUGUUGCCAUUGAAUAAUGAGAUGUCAUUGUCCAUGUAUGAAGCUAAAAAGACUUUCAGUGCACUUGGGGAUGAAUAUAAAAAAAUUCAUGCAUGUUCUAAUGAUUGUAUUUGGUAUAGAAACCAGUAUAAGGAUGCUAUUGCAUGCCUAACUUGUGGAAAGUCAAGGUGGAAGAUAAACAAUGAGGGGAAAAAGAUUAAGAAGGGGCUUCCUUCAAAGGUUUUGUGGUAUUUCCCACCAAUCCCUAGAUUCAAAAGGAUGUUCCAAUCCUCAAAAACCGCUAAACAUCUUAUGUGGCAUGCCAAGGAUAAAGAAUAUGAUGGUAAACUAUGCCACCCAUCAGACUCCUCAGCGUGGAAACUAGUUGACCAUAUGUGGCUUGAUUUUGCUUCUAAACCGAGAACCUUAGACUAGCACUCUCAACAGAUGGUACAAAUCUUCAUAAGUCUAUAAGCAAUAGACAUAGUUGUUGGACUGUUAUACUGAUCAUAUACAACCUUCCUCCUUGGUUGUGCAUGAAAAAGAAGUUUAUGAUGCUAUCAUUAGUGAUCUCAGGACCACGACAACCUAGUAAAAAUAUAGAUGUUUACUUGAGUCCAUUGGUAGAUGACCUUAAAACUUUGUGGGAAAAAAACGUUAAGACUUAUGAUGCACACUUGCUUGAGGUUUUUACUUUAAAGGUCAUCAUUUUAUGGACAAUCAAUUAUUUCCCUACAUAUGGAAACUUGGCCAAUUGCACCGUGAAAGGAUAUUAUGCAUGUCCAAUAUGUGGAGAAGGAACAUAUUCCCAAAGAUUAAAGUAUGGUAGGAAGAACUUGUAUAUGGGUCACCGAUGAUUUCUUCCACGUAACCAUCCCUAUUGGAGACAAAAAAAGGCAUUCAAUGGUGAACAAGAUUUUAGAAUUCCUCCUAAAAUUUUGAGUGGAGAAGAAAUACUUGAAAAAGUUGAUCUCAUUCCUAUUUCUUGGGGAAAAAUGAAGAUAAAAUCUCUUGAACUGAUGUGAACACAAAUUGUUGGAAAAAAAAGUCCAUAUUUUUUGAGUUAGAAUAUUGGAAAUAUCUUCAUAUCCUUCACAACUUGGCAGUUAUGCACAUUGAAAAGAAUGUUUGUGAGAGUAUUAUUGGUACUUUGUUUAACAUCCCAGGAAAAAAAAAAGAUGGACUUAAUGCUCAACUUGACCUAGUUGAAAUGGGUUUAAGGUCUGAACUUUUCCCAAGAGUUGACUUGAAGUGGACCUAUCUUCGUCCUGCAUGUUAUUCACUAUCCAAACAUAUAUGACAAAAAAUUAUUUUGUCAAACAUUGUCUAAUUUGAAGGUCCCUGAGGGGUAUUGCUCAAAUUUUAGAAAUCUUGUCUUCUUAGAGGAAUUGAAGUUAUUUGGUUUAAGAUCCCAUGACUACCAUGCACUUAUGCAACAACUAUUGCUAGUGGCAUUACGUUUUGUUUUGCUAAAGCAUGUGAAAUAUACUAUAUCAAGAUUGUGUAUCUUCUUCAAUCAAUUAUGUACAAAAAUGGUUGAUGUGCCAAAAUUGGAUGAAGUACACAAUGAGUUAGUGGUCACGUUGUGCUUACUUGAAAAGUAUUUUUCACCUUCAUUUUUUGAUAUUAUGCUUCAUCUAGUAGUGCAUUUGAUAAGGGAGGUGUGACUAUGUGGUUCAGUUUACUUUAGGUGGAUCUACCCAUUUGGGAGGUAUAUGAAAGUUCUUAAAGAAUUGUUCGCAAUCAUAAUUGGCCUGAAGGAUGCAUUACUAAGUGCUAUUUAGCAGAAAAAGCUAUCGUAUUUUGUACUGAAUAUUUAUUAGGGACUCAUGCAAUUGGAAUUCCAAAAGCAACAAUUAUGACAACAAAUUUGGUAGACCUAUAAUUGGUGGUCGUUCUACCAUCAUUGAUCGUAAAUCGUGGUUACAAGCACAUCAUUAUCUAUUAGAGAAUACAACUAUCGUCCAACCAUACACUGAGUAAGAAAAACAUACCUUUAUCUUUUUAUAAUUUCAUAACAUAAUGAUGAAAUCCUAAGUUUGCAUUCCUUGUCUUUAACGUCAUAGGGAACACAUGAAUUGGUUGAGGUCUCAAUACCCUCGAAAAUCUAAUAGACAAAUUUGGUUGCAAGAAGAACAUAUGAGUUGUUUUACAUAUUGGCUUAAAGAAAAGGUAAUCUCUUAGUUUUUAGAAAAUUUUUCAAUAUGUUGAAAACAUCACAAGUUUCCAAUAUGUUUUGAUUAUACAUAUGUUGAAGAGGCUAUCCAUAAUGGGCAAGAUAUUCCCGACACACUUAGGUGGUUAGCACAUGGCCCUACUCUCCAAGUAGUCAAAUAUCCUGGAUAUAUCGUUAAUAAGUGUCGUUACCAUAUUAAGAAACGCGAUAUGACAUGCAUCACCCAAAAUAGUGGUGUUAGCAUUUUAGCAAGGACUAUGCAAAUUGCCAGUUCUAAGGAUAAGAACCUAGUUUGUGGUGAACUUUGCUUUUAUGGGGUCAUUAAUGAGAUAUGAAAUCUUGAUUACAACAUGUUCACAAUUCUAAUUUUCAAGUGUGAUUAGGUUGACAACAAGAAUAGUAUAAAAGUUGAUGAACUCAGGUUCACAUUAGUUGACUUCUCCAAAAUAGGUCACAAAUUGGAUCCAUUUAUUUUAGCAUCACAAGCCAAGCAAAUCUUCUAUGUUGAAGAUCAACUUGAUCCUAAAUGGUCAAUAGUUCUCUCAAUUCCUCCAAAAGAUUUCAAGAACAUAGAAGGACUAGAUGACUUCACCGAUAAUUGCAUGGAACAUCACCCCUUUAUAAGUUCAAUGCCAGAAUUUGAAUCAUUUGAUGCUAUGGAUGAAUCAUAGGCAAUACACAUGAGAGAAAACUGUGAGGGCAUAUGGAUUGAAAAUAAUUAAAUAACAUAUUGUACCCUUGAAUGAGAUAUAAUAAGGCAUUUCACUUAUUAGUUUUCAUGAGUUGCACAUUAACUUAGCUUCUAUAUAUUGCUCAUGAUAUAUCUAUAUAUAUUAAUCAUCCUAAAUUUCUUUCAUGCAUCAUAAACAUAUGUUAUUCAAAGGUACCACUUCAAUCUUCAUUCAACUAUCUUUUUGUUGUCCAUAGAACUAGAUUUAUAUUAUUUUUUAUUAUCAUGUUUUGAUUUUAUGCUCACAUAACUUGAAACUCUCUUUCGUAAAUUUCUUUUUCAUUAAAACUAUAAAUCAUAAUUGAAACUAUGCACUAAUUUAUUUUAUUAUUAUCCUCACAAAUAAAUUCUUCAUUAUUGAUAAGAAAUCAAAAAACAAGACAAACUUUGAAAGAAAAUUUCAAAAAAUAUAUUUGUGAAUGACCAAUUUAAUUAUAGAAAAUAUAUGCAAGGCUAUACUAAUCUUGCUUUUGAGUCAUUUUACAGGUUUGUUGGUGAAGUACUAGUUUGCACAUUGACUUGAUAUCUUCCACACAAAUAUGGAUCUAGAAGAAGGGGAAAUGCCAAAAAUAAAGCAUAGAGGUAGUGCAUUGAAACCAAAGAUUGCAAAAAAUCGAAGUAAAGGGAUAAAACUCAAGAUUGAAUACAAUAGCCUUGGUAGUCACAUUGAGGAAAAUUCAGUUAAACUAAGUAGUUAUCUUAGUACAAUAACAAAAACCCAUGUGCCAAUAAUUAUUGAGAGUUGGAGGAAAGUCCCUAAAGAGACUAAGGAGAAGUUGUGGGAUUUGAUCACGGUAAGCCUAUCUAUAGCUUUAAUAUAUAAUUAUUGUAUACAUUCAUUAACAUGAGCUAACAUGGGUUGCUAUUUUGUAGACAAGCUUUAAUGUGAAUAAAAAAUCCAAGAGGAAUUGUUUCAUACUAAUGGGCAUCAGGUUUCGAACCUUUAAGUACAAGUUGACAAAGAAAUAUAUAUUGUCUUUCAAGAAUGACCAAAAAAGCUGAAAAAGUCACCUCCUAUUUGCCCAUUCAUACAAGAGGAUCAUUGGAGACAGUUUGUUAAAGAUAGACUUUUUGAACAUUUUAACGUUAAGCAUUAUUUUUAUUACAUCUUCAAUUUUCACAUUUACGUAGUUUCAUUAUGUACUAAUUUUGUGUCUAUAUUUUGUAGGAAUAUCGCAAAGUUCAGAAAUCAAGAAGAGAUAAACACAUUUACAAUCAUUAUCUUGGAAGAAAAUGAUAUGCACGUUUUGAGCAAGAUAUAGUAAGUUAUCAAUAUCCAUAAAAAAAAAUGGAGUAUAUAUUUUGUUUAUAGGAAAAUGAUUCUAGUUUUUAAAUAUCAUUUAUUAACUUGAUCAUGUUGAACUAAUGAGUUUUAUUGUUAAAAUUUUUAUAGCUACAAGCAGAAGGGGCUAUUGGUAGGGUUGAUAGAAGUGUUUAUGAAAGAAAACACGUGAGAAGAAAGGAAAGUUUAAUAAGAUUACAAAGCCAAUGAUUAACUAAGUUAGCAUAUUUAUGCCUUUUAGAGCCUAUAGUGUUAGUAUGUCUAUGUGAUUAUGGUUUGGGAUGAUAUCGUUAGGUGUUAAUAGGGAAGAGGCUUAAUGCUAUCAUUUUUAUGAGUAGUCAUGUUAUAUUAGUGCAAAUAUAGUAGCCUAAUUUGAAAAUUAAUUUUGAAACAAUAUACAUUAAUUUAUCUAUUAUCAUUUUUAUUAAAACAAUUCAUUUUCUAGCUACCUUGAAUUGGUCCUCUUGAAUUGGUUGUCUUUGAUUGAUAUGUUAAUCAUCAUCUUCAUCAAAUUAUUACUAAUAUAUGUUUUGUUGUAGGAUGAAUUACUAGAAAAGGCAAGGAGACUAGACUACCUCCACCUGGUCCAAAUGACAUAUUAUGUUAGGCAUUGGGUAAGCUUGAUCAUCUAGGACGUGUGGUAGGUCAAGACCGCUUGGUUAGGCCGAACUCAUACUUUCAUCAACCAUUUGAUGACAUGAAAAAAAAAAUCAAAGAAGAAAUAUGGGAAAUGGUGUGAAAGGGGAUGCAAGAUGCUGUAACAAGACAAACUAUGUCUCCUCCCACACCCCAUUCUGAUAUAGGUAGUAAUAACAUGAGACAACAACUUGUUUUACAACUAGUUGUAGCAAAAAAACCAAUGUUUAAAAUGAUGGAAGAGCCCCAACCACCAUAACCACCACUGAAACGUAAGGUAUACAUUUACUUACUAAUAAUACAAGAUUAAUAUAAGUGAUAUAUAGCCUAUGUAAAUGAUAUUAUUUGUUGUAUUAAAGGUGAUUAAAUAUAAAUUAGCAGUGGAAUGAAAAUGAAAUGUUGUUGCAACCGGUACAUUAAUAGAAGAAAAUUGAUCAAAUGGGUUGGUCGUAAUAAAUGUUGCACACAAGCUAGAUGCUAGACUCCCAUUUCCAAAUCCAUAUGAGAUUAUCAAUGUUGGGGAUGCUAUUGGCCUUAAGCUUGACUGGCCAACAAGCCUUGUCAUACUUGAAACUAAACAUCCUCGGGUAUGUCAUUUUAUACUUGUAGUAAAUUUGAUUGUAACUUGGUAUUUUAUUGUUAGGAGUAUAUAUUACUAACAUUCCUUCAUUUUUCAUAGGUGUUGGAUAAAGGAAAGAAGUAGAUAGUGAAUGCACCAAUUAUUCGAAAAUCUAAGCCUCAAAAUUAUUCGGUCAUUAAAAAUUUCCAGAAAUUUAUGGAUGGUUGUCUUAGUAAUGAGAAGACAUACCCAAUACAGCUCCCCAUUUCACUAUUUGGUGUCGAAUUCCGAACAUAUAUAUCUAGAGAGGAUUGUGAAUACAUUAUUUCAUCUUCAGAAGUGUCAUCAAAAUGCAUCUCCUUCCAUUUAUGGUGUGCACCUUUUAUUUUCAUUUGUUUUUAUUUUUUUUAAUAUGAGUUGCCCAUGUUGAACAAGAUUGGAUAUGACUAAUGAUAAUUUUCUUUUGGUGUUUUGAUAAUAUAAUAGGUACAUGCAUGAUCAACUACAUAUUGCCAAAAAGGAAUCACAAUUUAUAUUUGUUAAUCCUUUUACAAUAUCAUGAGCAGGCUUUAGUAAUCCUCAAACAGAGAAAAGAACACAAUUGUUGUCAAAACACUUAAUAGAGUGCCAAGAUGUCGGAUAUGUUUUCAUGCCCUACAACCUCGAGUAAGUGACGAAUAUUAUACUUUAAUUUGAGGUUUUAUGAUUGAUUUAUAUUUCUAAUUAGAUGCUACUUUUGUUUUUAAUGUUUUAGCUUUCAUUGGGUCUUGGUAGUGAUUGAGCCAAGGAAAAUGAUAGUCCACUAUCUUGACCCUGUGCAUCACAAACCAUGUGAGGACUUAAAGGAUAUCGUAAACAUGUAAGUUCUUCCUAUUAUUUUUCAUAGUAUUAUUUAAAAAAAAAUUACAUUCACCUCAAACACAUUUUUUAUUGUUAUUUCUAUAUAUUAAAGAGAUAAUUUUUUAUCCUACAAUGAUUGCUUCAAAGGUAUUACUUAUUUAAUGAAUUGUACAUAUUUUUAGGCUUUCAAAUGUUAUGCAUUUUAAUGUUAUUUUCUUAUUUGAUUUCAGUUUGGUGAUAAAAAAACAUAUUCUCAAGUAGAAUUCAAUGAAAUUAGAGGAGAAUUGACUACUUUUGUGCUACAACUAAUCAUGAAUCAUGUUGAUGCAUCAUGAUCACCAUGCAUGGUGAGUUCCUUAGCUACUACAUGAAUUUUUCCAUAGAUAUUGUAUAGUAUUGCUUUUCUUUGAACAAUGUUUUUAUUUGAAAAAAAGAAAAAAAAAAGUUCUUAGAUUUGUUCAUUUAUGAUAACAUCGAUCCAUAUUUAUUUUCUUCAAUGAAAUAUAUAAAACUCAUUAAACUAUGAAAUGCAGGUAUACACUCUUAGGAGGGUGGAAUAGAGAAUAAAAAGAACAAAGAAGGCAACAAGAUUUUAGGUUUUUAAAUACAGCUCGUAUGUCAUACGUUGUAGGACAUAAACAUUACUUUAAUUGGUAGUGAGAAUUUUAGAUUUUUAGAUGCUACUUUUAUGUCAUUUUAUAGUUAGUCGAUUUUAUGCUUAUGAAAUGAAGGUAUACAUGAAUCUUGGGAUGCUUCACAUUUCUAAAUCAUGUUUUGGUAUGUAUUCCCUCUUCUUUUUUAGUUUUGGUGGGUUUGAUAUGUUGGAUGUACUAUCUUUUUGUGAACAUUUGAUAUACAAAUAUUAUUAGAUGAUCAAUGUAUUACGAGUUAUUCCAUAAGCAUUACCGAAAAAUGAGUUAAAUGUAAUAUGAUUGUUAUAUUUAUGGAAAAAAUAUACACAGGUUAAUCCUAUUUGUUAAUUCAUAAGCAUUACAAAAAUCUACAACUAAAAGCAAUCAUAUCUUCCACGAUAAUUUACAAUGAUGUGACACCAUAACUCAAAGGUGAUGCAUUUAAUGUGACAUCAUAACUCAAAGAUCAUGCAUUUAAUGCGAUAUCCUAUCAUCACUAGAAAUAUAUGAUGUCACUUUCGAAUGCGUCACCAUUUAUCUACUUUGGUGUCACUUACAAAUACGUCACCAAUUGGUACCCUCUAUGGUGUCAGUGGAGAAGGUGACACUAUGUUGUAGUGACACCCUAUGUUUAUGGUGACUCGUUAUAAAUGUCACCAUAUAUUUUUUUUCUUGUAGUGCAAAUUACUUAUCUUACUAUGCAUUGGGCUUUGAUAUUAGCCAGAGACAGUAGUGGCUCCUAAUUUUUAUCCUUAACUGAAAUGAAAACGUCAAGCAGGUCCCCAACCUCUUUUUCUCCAUUCUUCCACUAUUAUACUAUUUGGUCCAUGAUUGGAUCAUGGUACUUGUUAAUGGUGUUCAUAGCCUCCCUUAUAGUCUUUUCAUGGCCAUCUAAAUUUAGCACUCUCUGCCAUGGGAAGUAAUCAGAUAAAGAGAAUACAUAUAGAUGAGCAAGUAUAGUAAAGAAGGAUUCAACAUGUUGCUCCACUUCAACUCCAGGGCCUCCAUCUUUCUUUCGUUGGCCAAAGUAUCUUGUGUUGAGGAUCAUCUUUCAGAUGACAUUCCCGUUGUAUUGACGGACUUUAUUUCUGUCACACCCCAAAUACUAGGCAACCCAGAACUUGACUCGUGGCCCUAGGUCAAAGGUUUGACCCUAAGAGUUACUCUUAUCCAUGUUGGCAAUCAAUCAAAACACCCUAGAUUUUUUUUCUUUUCAAUAAAGCGUUUAAUCCUAAAUAAAUUUAUUAAGCUAAGAUUUACUAUAACAUAUCAUUUUAUUUUUCCAAAACUAACCAUCACAUUAUCUCAUGUUCACAAGUAUUAAAAAAAUAAAAUUCCACCAAUCAUUUUCCUACCCAAAAGCUCAAAUAUUUACAAUAAACUCUAAGUCAAAAAGAAUAUUUCCAAAAUUUUUUUACAAACUAAUAAAAUAUAAUUUAACUUAAAAAAGUCCAUAUAACUCAAAUUAGUAGAUGUCAAAAAGGUAAUUAAAAAAAAACAACAACCAUUAUUAUAGUUUUUUUGCUUUUUAGAACACUUCAUGAUCUUCUUAUGGUCCCUUAGAAACUAUAUCUGCAUCUAAAAAUUUUAGAAAAAAAAGGGAUGCACAUUUCCACGUUACUCUUUAGACCUAAAUGGGUUAGAAAUUCUAGGUCAAUAAAACACAACCAUAUGCCAAAAUAUAAUAUUACAUUUACAUUAUACACACUAAAAGAAACCUCAACCAUACAAAUUUAAAUCAAUCAAAAUUAUCAUUCUCCUGAUUUAAUCAUAUGUUUAGCAUAUCAAUAAUUUUAAAUUUACAAAAUAAAUAAGUCACUUUAGUCUUGAAUAAUAUAUUCAAACAUACACUUGAUAAAUAAUACAAAUCAUUUUUCCAAAUGCAACCAUGAUACAAAUGCUUACACACAAUCACGCAAUGCAAUAUCGUUCUCGGGCUUUCACCGAAGGAUAUGCAUUUAUACCCAAAUAGACUCCCCAUUCGGAUUCUUCCUGGGAUAAAAUUUUGAGUCUUUCACCCUAAGGAUCUCACUCCCUUCUUAACUCACCAUCUCUAGGGUCUUUCAAUUUCUUAUUUUUCUUUUCUUUUCAUUUUUGCCAUUUUUUGGGUCUUUUCAUUCUCAUUUCCAUUUCACACAACCAUUUCUUUAAUUUUUCUUUUUCUUCACACAAUCAUGAUGCAUAUGAAAUGCAACUGAAUCAUAUUUUAACAUCCAUAAUUUUCCAAGACAUAAUUUUAUUUACUCCCAUUAUGUUUCAUAAUUUCCAAUAAUCCACACAACGAUUUUUCUUCACUUUAAUUGUCACAAACAUAAAAGAAAAUUCACAAUUAAUUUGUAUAGCAUCAAAACAUAGUUUUAAACAUUGACCACAUAAAUUCUAUUUAUUCCCGACAUGCUUAAUAAUUUCCAAAUCCAAUAUAACCAUUUUUUUUCAAUUAAAUAAUCACACAUAUCCAAGAAAAUUCUCGCUAAUACAAAUAUCAAUGAAAAUGUAAUUUAUGUCAUAAUUUAUUUGUCUCUAAUAAUUUCAAAAAUUUUGACACCCAUAUGAAAAAUUUCCACAAUUAAGCCACCCCAACAUUUGGGAAAAUUUUUCUAAUCAUUCAAAUAUCAACAAAAACCCAAUUUAUAUCAUCAUUUUUAUUUAUUUUUAAAAGCAUUAAUAAUUUUAAUAAUCAAUACAACACUUUUCCACAAUUAAGCCACCACAACAUUCUGGGAAAAUUUUCCAAUAAUUCAAAUAUUAACAAAACACAAUUAUACCUUAAUUUUUCUUAUCUCCAACAACAUCAAUAAUUCUUAGUACUCAAUACAACUAUUUUUAUUUUUUCAUAUUUAAUCUUCUCAAACAUUACCAAAAUUCCAAGAAAAAUCUAUAAAUCACGAAAUAAAAGUAUUCACAAUAAUAAUCACACUUCAAAUACUACAAAUAACAUCUAUUAUAUUUCAACAACACAAUAUAUAAAUUUUUUUGAAAGAAAAUAUUAAAUCAAAGUUUUAGGGUUAAAUCACCCUACCUUAAAUUUGAAAAAUUUAACCAUUAAAACUAAAACGGGACACCGUAGGAGUAUUCCUCGCAUUGAAUAGAAUAUCCUUCCAAAAUUUCAUGCGAAAUGGACGUCAUUUGGUAGGUCCAUCAACAUCCUAAAGCUAGCGACCCAUUUUUCCCACUCUUUGCCGACGACUCCCCUACAUCUCUCACUCGAUUUCCUUUCUUCAUUUUCUUUUCUUCUUCUUCUUUUAAACUCCCACGCCAAUUUCACUUUAUAUAUAUAUAUGUAUAUAUAUAUAUAUAUAUAUAUAUAUAUAUAUAUAUAUAUAUAUAUAUAUAUAUAUAUAUAUAUAUAUAUAUAUAUAUAUAUAUAUGUAUGUAUGUAUUAUUAAAACAAAUCCUAAAAUACCACGCACAUCCAUUUCUCAAUAAAUUAAAACCAUUAUUCUUAAAUUCACCUUCCAUAAUUAUGAAUUAUACCAAACUUAUGAUUUUCCAUUUCACGAAAAAUACCACUGUAUUCGUAAUUUAAUUUACUACAAGUCUACUCUUCAAAAAGUAUAAUUUGAUUAUAAUUACAUGAAACAUUGUUUUUUUACUCUAAAAUUCAUUCAAAACAUGAUAUAAUUAACUAUUAACAAAAUUCAAUUCCAUAAAAUAUGAAAAACAUAAAAUAAUUUUUUGGCAAUCAAGAAGUUGAAAUUUGUAAUAACCCUUAACCUGUUAAUUUUACCUAUAUUUAUUUACCAACAAAAAUUUAAAUAAUAUUCUAAAAUUUAAUUCCAUAAAUUAAUUAGUCAUUAAAUUUAUAAAAAUCAAAUUCUCUACCCUUUGGUAUAACUUUCAUUUAAUUUACUUCAUUUUUCAAAUUAUUCAAUCGCAUCAAAAUUUCAAAAGUUAAAUUCACUAAAUUCACAUUUAAUUAAUUUAUCCUUUUCUAUUUUUUUUUUCUAAAUUCGCAUAUCAUAAUUUAAUCUUAAUUUAAUUUUGAUUCAAUUUUGUUUUAUGUUUUCUAAUUUUAUGAGGUUUAAUUUCAAUUAUAAAAAUUAAAUUAAAUUUCUUUUUAAUUAUCCAUUAUCACAAUUUGAUAUAAUAUAAUUUUUUAUCAAGUUUUUCUUACUACGAUUUUUCUUAUAAUUAUCCAAUAAUAAUUAAAUUAAUUCUCGUAACAUAUUUAAUAUUCAAAUUUUAAAAACUUAAUCUCAAUUAUUGGAUGGUUAAUUUUUUUCUCAAAAUCUAAAUUUAAUUUAUGAAAUUCUCACUUCUUACAUCUGACGUGGCAAAAUUUUCAAACUAUUGACUUUUGACCAACUUUUCCUAAAUUUAUCCUAAUUAAAUACUAACACAUGGAUUUUCACCACUCUUUUUGACCUUUUGACCCACAAAUUUAUGAAAGACUUUAUGCUUGGAGAAUCUACAAAAACCUGGGUAUUACAAUUUCUCAGGUUGAUAACUGUCGUGGUUACGAAGCCACCACUUGAAUACUCAAUUGCCAUUGUAAUGGGCCUGGAUGCAAAUAGUACAUCAUGUUUCUUCAAAAGUUCUCUGCUAAUCUCUGGGAAAGUCGUAGGGACGAGAUGAAAUAUUUCCCAAUUGAAUACAUGCAAUUUCAGUGUUCAUUUCUUUCAUAAAGCCAAUGUAUCCACCAGAAAGUUGGCUUUUUGUUGAGUAAAUGAGGUAGAUAUUGCACUAGUGGCCCUGGAGCUAAUCCUGGAGGAAGUUGUAUCGGUUUGCUUUUGGUACUUGUUUUGGAUUUUAAUUUAGUGAAGAUGAGAAAGAUUAAUGUGAUAAAAAGCAGUAAGAGGAAGUUGAGAUGAGACAACACAUCGUCUGUGGUAGUAGAAGAAAACAAGGUUGAGUUACUGCUAUUACUCCCUGCAACAAAACCAUUUACAUGUCUUUUAUAGCAAAACCAUGUUUGUCCUAUCUUGGGUCUGGAUGCACAUUUUUAAUAUUGGGGAAAUCAUGCAACCAAAUGUCACACACAAAGAGAGAGAAAAAAAUACGUUUUUUAGAACUUGGAAAGGUAAAGUGGGACAAAAAAUAUUAUCCAUUCUUGAACUCUAAAAGUAAAGUUAUAAAAAGCUUAGUUUUUUUUUUUUUUUGUUAUGUAUGAUUGCAUGAUUUCCCCCUUUUAAGAUUUUAUCUCAUAAAAUUUUUUUCUAGAAAGUUCAAAUAAGUUUGAUGAAUAUUGUUUAUUUUAGUAAUUUUAAUUUUAUGGGGUACUUAAAACAUUAGAAGUUCACAAAAAGCAACAUUUAUCAGCUACCUAUCUAAAAAGCUUGGCCUAAUCAUUGAAAUCCAAAAUAUAAAGUGACAACACACUUUUUAAAGCAAUUUUCAAAAUAGUUUUUAAAAACACAUUUAUUUAUGAUAUUUUUAAAAUAAAAAUCUCAAAAAUAACUUGUUUAUAUAGCGUUUUAUUAGACAAAUACUUGAUCUUUAUAAGAUCACCCUAAUUAUAGAUUUAUGAACAUGUAACACAACAAUUAUCUAUAUAUAUACUUAGAAUUAUUAUAUUUUAAGUUUUUAACUACAUAGGACAUCAUGAGUUUUUCCACCAUUUAUCUUAUAAUAAGUUUAUUUAAAUAUGAUAAAGGAUAUAUUAUCUCAUUUCUUAUUAUAUCCGAUGCUAUAUAUAUAUAUAUAUAUGUAUGUAACAAAUCAAAUACAAUUUAAAGAUUUUAAUUAACCAUCUAUUAGCAACAAAGCAAUCUCUUAAUCUCAUUCAUAAUAUUAGGAUAAUUUAGUAUUUCCUUUUAUAAAACACUAGCAUAUAAAUCAACACAAAUCAUAUUAAGGGUGUAUUUGGUGUUGAUUUUAGGAAGCAUUUUUAGUAUUUCUAAUACUUGAAAGAUAAAAAUUUUCAAGUUUUAGAAAGAUCAAAAGCGCUUUUUAGAAUGACUAUCAAAUACAUGCUAAAUAUUACUUUUGGAUACUUAUAUUUUUAAAUAACUCUUAAAACUUUUAAGGCAAGUCUCUACUAUUUAUAUAAAUCCCCUAUUAUUUUUAAUUUUUAGAAACAAAAAAUAAAGAAUAGAAACUCCAUUUAAACAUCACCUUAUUAUUUCCUAUUAUAAAAUAACACAAAUCAAAUGAAUUAUUUAAAAAUAAAUAAAUAAAAAAUCAAAGUUGAAGAGAAAAAACUCUUGUGCAUUAAAAAAACAUCAAAAUAAAUAAAUAAAUAAAACAUCAUCAAAUAAAUGUAAAAAUAAAUUAAUGUUAUGGAAAAAUGAGAAUAGGCAACAAGAAAAUAAGAACACAGAUUUACAUGAAAAAUGCUAGACGGGAAAAACCAUGGAUAGAGGAGAAGAAAAUCCACUAUAUUAAAAAUUUGGUAUAAAAUGUGAGAGAAUCAAGCGAGUAUUGUAUAGGCAUAAUCACUAUGACCCUAAAUCCUAUACAUCAUUGCAUAUGUAUGGUGUAUGCGAUAAUAAAAAUAUUGUCACAUAAAAUAACUAUGGGAUGUAAUAUUUGUAAUAAUAUUUUUUACAAAAAAAUAUUUUUUCUUUGCUUUAUUCACUUUGAUCACAACUUGAAAUAAGACAAUAAAAAUAUUUUCUUAAUUUUUGAAAAUUAAUUGAGGACUUAGAGCUACUUGUUACUGAGUGAAUUUGCUGAAUGGUGAAGAAUGCGUGUAUAGUAGUUUUGCAAUUUUUCAAACUUAUAGACAUAUUUUGUGAAGUCUUUUUCUCUUUGUAAAGCCCCAUUUUCUAUGUGAAGUUAUUUUUUCAAUAUUCUCUUUGGAAGGAAUUUACCAUUAGUUAUAUAGGUAAGAUUAAGGAAUUAAAUUUGGAAUUCUUAACAUUUGAUUGCUUAAUUCAAAGAAUUUGGUUCAAGGGAAAUUUGCCAACAAAAUAAUAUUUAUUUUUAAUUCUAUGAUGACUUUAAUUAUUUGAUAUAAUUUUAUUUUGAAAGACUUGAUGUGGGGGACUCAUCACUUAUUGAGUCCAAAUUUUGUUGCACCCAAAUUUUUAUGAGCUAAGAAACCAUAAUUUUAAAGACCAAUUCAGUGGUAAGUGAAUCUGCUAAAAUCUUCUAUGUACAAAUGACCUCACUUCAAGGUGCAACACAUACAUGUAUUAUUAUGUGUAUGGGAUGAGUCUUGAAGUUAGUCUUCAUUCUUCUUUGAUUUUUUUCUUCAAAUAAAUAAAUAAAACAUCAUCAAAUAAAUGUAAAAAUAAAAUAUGUAUCGGUUAAUUGGAGAGGAGAGCUUUAAGGGCAUUUCUUCUAUGAAAUUCUAUGCUCCACGUACCAUAAAUUUGUACUCAACCAACAAAAUUACAGAAUGGGUCCAUGCACAAACAAAAUAACCCAAAUGUAAAUAUCUAAAAAUGUAUAAAGUUCACAAUAGAUAUUCAAGCCCAAAUUUAAAUUUCAAAUUAGUCCAACAGAUUUCAUCAAUCAAAAUGGGUCCAAAUUAGCAAAUAUAACCCAACAAAAAUAUCUCAUAUGUCAUAGGCCCUAAUUUAAAAUUUUCAAAUUAAUAGCCAAAAUAUAAGUUCAAUUAAUCAAACCCAAAACAUGAUAAAUUAAAAUAAAUCUCAUUAGGCCUAAACUUAAUAUCCUAUAAUUCAAGCCUAAUUUAAUAUAUAAACCUAAAUCCACAAUCAAAAUCAACCCAAUUUAUGCUAAUCCCGAUUUACAAUCAAAAUCAAACAUAAUUUAAUAAGUAAAUAACUAAAUAAAUUAAGCAAACUCAAAACACCCAAACCACUACAACAUAAAUCAAACAAUAAUAAAUAUAAUGACAAUAAUAAUAAUAAAAAAUAAAAUAAAAUAAAAUAAAAUAAAAAUAAAAAAUUUAACUCAUGUCGGAGCCAGUUUGAAUGUCUUGGGAAAGAAAGAAAAUGAGAGAAAAGUGAGAGAUGAUUGACAACUGACAGUGGCUCAUUGGCGGCGACUGGCUAGUGGUCCUACCGAUGGUAGUGAGGAUUGAUUGGUUUUUGGGAAAAAAAAUAAAAUGAAGAAAAGAAAAUGAGGAGUAAUAAAAAAAAUGGAGAAAUGAGAGGAAGGUGGGAGAAGAAUGGAGAGAGAGAACGUAGAAAAUGAGUGAAAAGAAAUGAGGCUAGUUGGAGGAGGAAGUGAUAGUGUGUGAGCUAAAGUGAAGAAGAAUAGAAGAAGAAAAUGGAGAAGAAUGGGGAAAAAAAAAUCCGCCUCCCUAAAUGAAGAGAGGUGGGUAGCCUAAAGAAGAAGAAAAAAUAAAAUAAAAUAAAAUGGGGAGAAAAUGAGAGGGGGUCAGUGGUCUUGCGAAUGAGGUGGUAUGCGUUAGAGAGAGAGAGUGGGUGGGGUUGUUGGGGAAGGUAUGAGAGAGAGAGGAGAGAGAAAAGAAAAAAGAUAAUAUAAAAUAAUAAUAAUAAUAAUAAUAAUAAUAAUAAUAAUAAUAAUAAUAAAAUAAUAUACAAAAUAAUAAAAACUAAUAAUUAAAUAGUGAGUGGGCAAAAAAUAUCAUAUGAAAUCGGGAUUUAAUUUUAAGAGUAAAAUUGGGUUAAAAAUUAAUGUAAAAUAAAAUUGGGACAAAUUUUGGGGUAUACAAUAAUGCGCGCCUCUUCGAUAGAGUCCACGACUAAAGCAAGUGUAUAUGUGAGCAAAACAAAGUGGGCUCUACUGAAAAACAAGAAAGACCACCAAAUUUGUCUUAAUAUGACAUGAACUCUCCCAAAAAAAAAAAAAAAAAAAAAAAUCUAAAACCCUACAAAAAUGGCUAAAACGGAAAUUCCUAAGGUGCCUCUAAAGUUAUACUAUGGAUCUAGACUCCCUUAGAAAAGCCUCCAAAAAUGGCCCAAAAAUCGGUGUCAAAAUCGAGUAGCAAUCAGACCACUAAGGAGCACAUGAACGAAUGCAUACAAAGGGAAAAAAAACCAUACGUGUACCAUACGAUGACAAAAGGCAUAAGGUAUCCAACAAUAUGACUGAUUCACGUGUUACGAGCUCAAAAAACUUUGUCAUGCACCAUGGAGGAAGGGAAACUCUAGAAUAAUGUGAUGAGGAAGUUAUUAGCACAAUGUAACAGAGUGAGGAAAAAAGUGAUGAGUGCAAAGCUGUGAGGACAAGGUGCACAAUGCUAAUGAAUAUGAAAUGAAUAGCACUAGGCUACAAUGCAAUCAAUAGCUCAGGGUUGUACCAUAAUGAACAAGUCAAGGAUGUGUAAAGAUGAGGAACAACUCAAGGUUGUAAUGCAAUGAACAACUUAGGGCUGUGAAUGCAAUGAACAACUCAGCGCAAUGAAUGAAAUGAAUAGCUCAGGGCUGUGAAUGCAAUGAACAACUCGAGGUUGUGGAUGUAAUGAACAACUCAGGGUUGUGGAUGUCAUGAACAACUCAAGAAUAGGGGCACUGUACACCCAAAAUGGGAGAUCACGGCCUACGAUUCCAAGUCAAACCACUAAAGGGUGACCAAAAUGAGGGUGAUCAACUCACUAAAAAAGAUGAUAAAAAUGUCUUAAGGGAGAGGAGAUGCCCCAUAUGAAACUUAAAGGAAAUGAGUAGUGCUAAUGAAACUAAAAAAAGAAAAAAUGUCACAACUGAAAUUGAAAAAAUAGCAAACUUAGAUUAAAGUGCAAUGAACAACUUUGGGCUGUGGAUGCGAUGAAUAGUACCGUGUUGUAAUGAAAUGAAUAACUCUAAGAUAUGGGCAUUGUACGCCUAAAGAGGGAGAUCGUGGUUUACGACUCCAAGUCAAACCACUAAAGGACAACUAAAAUAAGAUGAUCAACUUACUAUAAAUGAGAAUGCAACUAUCUCGAGAAAAAGGGUAUGCCCCAAAUGACACUCAACAGUAAAAGAAUGACACAAAUGAAACUAAAACAAGAGGAUGCCACAAAUGAAAUUGAAAUGAUAACAGACUCAGUACUAAUGUGUAAUGAACAACUUUGGACUAUGGAUGCAAUGAAUAGCACUGGGUUGUAAUGAAAUGAACAACUCUAAGAUGUGGGCACUAUACCCCUAAGAAAUGAGAUCAUAGUUUACGACUCUAAGUCAAACCGCUAAAGGGCGACUAGAAUAGGAUAAUCAACUCACUAAAAAUGAGGAUGCAACUAUCUCGAGAAAGGGGGUAUGCCCUAAAUGACACUCAACAGUAUAAGAAUGACAUAAAUGAAACUAAAAUAAGAGGAUGCCACAAAUAAAACUAAAAUGAUAACAAAUUCAAAACUAAUGUGCAAUGAAUAACUCUAGGUUGUGGAUGUAAUGAACAACACUGGGCUGUAAUGAAAUGAACAACUCUAAGAUGUGGGCACUAUACGCCUAAAGAGGGAAAUCACGGUCAACGACUCCAAGUCAAACCACUAAAGGGCGAUUAGAAUAGGAUGAUCAACUCACUAAAAAUGAGAAUGCAACUAUCUCGAGAAAAGCGGGAUGCCCUAAAUGACACUCAAUAGUUAAAGAAUGACACAAAUGAAACUAAAAUGAAAUGAUACUACAAAUGAAACUGAAAUGAUAACAAACUGAUAACUAAAGUGCAAUGAACAACUCUAGGCCGUGGAUGUAAUGGACAGCUCAAGAAUAGGGGAACUGUUCGCCCAAAAUGGGAGAUCGUGGUCUACGACUCUAAGUCAAACCACUAAAGGGUGGCUAAAAUCAAAAUGAUCAACUCACUAAAAAUAAGGAUCUGAACAUCUCAAGAAAGGGGUUAUGCCCCAAAUGAAACUGACAAUAGAGGGAUGCCCUAAACAGACUGAAGAAAGGAGGAUGCCCUAAACAAACUAACGAAAAAUGGAUGCCCUAAACAAACUGAAGGAAGUGAAAUGCCCUAAAUAAACUGACCAAAGAAGAAUGCACUAAACAAACUCCGAGAAAAAAAAAAAGAAGUAUGCGAUAUAGAAUAAAAAACACCUAAAGCAAAAACAAGAAACAAAGAAUGUGGUUUACAACUAGAAACACCCAAAAGAACCUUAAAGAAGUGACUGGGAUAAUGAACUUAAUGAAAAUAGGGUAUGCCACAAUAAAAGACUCGGAAGUAUCAGCAAAUGGGUCAAAUGACCAUGAAAUCAAUAGGAGAUAUGAUGAACCCAAAAAGGGCGUAUGCCCCAACAAAAGAACACUAAAAGGGGGGUAUGCCCCGAUAUGACGACUCACAAUAAUUAAGAAAUGGAUCGAGUAAUGAGAAAAUCUGCAAAAUAUCUUAUGAACUCAAAGAUGGGGGUAUGCCCCAGUGUAAAAUAGUGACCAACAUAAGACACAGAAUGUCACCAUACAAUACACUCUGGGAUAUGCUCAAUGACAAUGUAAUGAAAACAAUAGCCUCAAUCAACAAAUGUUCAAGCAAGACCAUGCAUCACAUAAACUAAAAUAAUAGGCUAAAGAAAUGCUAACCAAGUUUCUCAAUCUGAAAUGUAAGCAAGUCAAGACAUGACAUGUCAACCAUCGACAUGAAAACAUCAUCACAAAUACAUCAACAAACUAAUAGUCCCUACUAUCAUGGAAAAUGUAGAACCUAACGUCCAAAGGCAUGUGAAAACUCAACCAGAAAGCUCAAGACUAGUUUGCAUCCUCCUCUAAUAAAAAGAAUGAGAUAAGGUCAUGUAGGAUGAUGAAAUAGGCAAGCUCAAUAUUCGUUAGGCUCUACCAAGAUGGAUGUAGGUAUAAUAGUGUCAAAGGUAGGAUGUCUAGAUGUCCAACGAAGGAAACUGGGUAUCCAAGUCAAACCAAGUAUGUUGAGGAAACUGAACCCAUAGGAUAAUAACUUUAUGAUCCAUUGAAAAUAGCAAUCAUGAAUAGAAGGUCGAGUCUCGAUGUCAAAAUCAACAAGGUGGCAUUGCCCCAGUAUGAAUACAUCUUCUCAAAAUGGGUAAACCCUCAGUGCAAGAUAAUCUCUAGAAAGUAUGUGUCUAAUAUAAACUGUCAUCUCACAAAAUCUAUCACUGAUCAGUGGGCUAUACCCCAGUGUAAGCAUUUCCAAAUCAAACAUCGAUGAGAGGAGUACAACCAAUCAUACACAAUAUGAUCAAAACAAAUCUCCACUCCUCAAAGUCAUCAUGGUAAUGUGAAGAGAGUAUCUAACCUCAUUUAAAGAAAGAUCAUGUCCCAAUGUGAAAAAUAUCAAGCAAAGUGGUAUGUCUCAACAAAAAUGCACUCUAACAUGAUCAUGCCUAGAUGUAAGAUGGUAUCUUUAAGAUUAAUCACCAAUGAAAGGGUUAUGCCCCAGUAUAGGGCAAUCUCUUAAACGACUAAAAUCCACUACAAGCUCUCACAAGUGUCUAUGUCAUGAACCAAUCAUCUCAAAAAAUAAAUAAAUAAAUAAAUAAAUCUAUCAACAAUGAUGAGAAGGUUAUGCUCGUAUAAUCACAUCAAGAAAAUCACCCGGUCAUAUCUUGUAUUCCAAUGUGAAAGGAAAAUAUGAUCACCUCCAAAGAAUGGCUAUGCCCCAAAAUACAUCAUCGAUUGAGAAAUAUGCCCCUACGUAAAGUACAUCAACUGAAAUAUGCCAAUCAUGCCUCAUGCUCCAAUGUGAAAAAUGACGUAUAAUCUUCUUUGAGGGAUGGUCAUGACUCAAAAUCCAUCAUCAGUUGAGAGAAGUAUGCCCCGACAUAAUGGUCAUCUAAAAAAUCAAUCCCCGACUAAGAAAUGUGUGCCUUGAUGUGAUGUAUCAAGCAAAAUGGCUGCAUACCCCAUAAAAAACUCUCUAAGGUGGCUAUGCUCCAAUGUUGGAUCAUACCACAACUCCUGGUCGAUCACAAUCAAAAUGCUCUCCAACCAAUCCCAAGUAUCGCCCACAUGAGAGCUAUCAAACACAAUGUGUGAUGUCAUGGCCUCAAGGUGGUCUUAAGAUUCGGGACGUAACGUAGGCUAGGGUAAUAAGGUGAAGAAAUGAAGGAAAACUAGGCUUAAUAAUCCUAAUGAUAAAACCCCAUACCCUUAUGUAUAAAAUGCAAUAUGUGCAAAGAGUCUCAUAAACCAUGGAUCUAAGGACACCCAAUAUGAAUAUAUCAGUGAGGAAGAAAGAAUCUAAGAUGAAUAUAUCAAUGAUAAAAGAGAAGAAAUGAAGAAUAUCAAACUGUUGAUGGGAUGUAUAAGAAUGAUGUGUGGAAAAUAUUGAACAUGGAAUGUAAAUUGAUAUGAACAAAGAACAAUGUAGGCAAGGCAAAUGCGAUAUCAUGAUAAGAACAAAUAAAUCGAAGAAAAAUGAAUGAACACUAAUCCACUCAAAUCAAGUCAUGGAGAAUAGUCAAAUCACCAACGUAUGUAAUGAUGGAGAAGACAAUGAUUCGAAGUCCCUAGGAAAAUGUCACUUGUUUGUCACACAUAAAAUACAUAACAAGAUAGACACAAAAAUAUGAGAGUCUUUUGAAAGUUCACGUACGAACUUUCAUAAGCAACUAACUCAAUAAAGCAACCUCAAUGACCAAUAUAUACACUCAAUAAAGGAUGACACUGUAUACAUGUGUUUAUUACUUUUUCUUUUUCAUUUUUUUCAUUUUUUUUUUCAUUUUUUUUCUUUUACUCACGCAUACUCUGAAUAUCAAUAAAUGAACUUCUCUAAGAAUACAUAAUGAAAUGGAUAUACUCUCAAACAAUGAUGUAAGCGAACUCUCUCUGACAAGAUGACCCUCUAAAUUAAGGAUUUUCGAACUAACGUCCAUGAGAUAGGAGUGGAAGGGGAUAUGACCAUCCUCCUUGCAUCGAAAUGUGAAAAAUCAUCACUCAGGGCACAAAAAAAUGUGAUGAAAAAAAAUAAAAAAUGAAACAAAAGAUAUAAACAAUGGAGUAUGAUGAAGACUGAUGUUGGGAAGACAAAAAAAUAGUGAAGAAGGUGAGCCAAUAAGUCCACAACUCAUGAAACUCUCGAAUAAAAUAUAUAUACACCAAAAGACCCUUAUCCCAGUAUAAAAUGUGAGCAAGGAUAUAAGAAAGAAAAGACUAUGGUGCUCAUGUGAGGUUCAAAGGGCUAGCAACGGUCCAAAUGUCAAUAAAGGUAAUAGGGUGUGAGCUAACCAAAAUGAAGGCCACCUAUGAUGGUCUGAAACAUCAUGCUCUUAAGCUUUCAAUGAUCAAUACUGAAAAUCGAUGUCCAUUUGAUAUAAACACGUCAACCCUUUGGAAUUGUGCGCCAAACCAUACUCCAAAUGCUCCAUAAUAAUCUCAAAGAUAAUCCUCUCAAAGCACAAUAAAUAGCGAUCUCAUAAGGCACAACUACUCAUCACAAGCCAACUCUCAUCAUGCAAGAUCAAUCUCUAUUUUCAUGGAAAAAUAAGUGACAAUCUCAUCAGGCAAUUGACGAAUCCUCACAUCGUAAACCAACCAAAGAUCAUAAGUCAUUCAUUGCCAUGCAAGAUCAAUCCCAAGCUCAAACUCCUCAUACUCUACCUGGUUGGAUUAGAGAAGAAAUGGGCAAAGCUAGAAAAACUGAAGAUGGAAAGGUCAUAUAAUGGUGUCAAGGGUGAUGUUGUGCAAAACUCACAAUGGAUGGAUGUAGGUCAAAGCAAAGUCAAUGUGUGAGAGUGAGUAAGACACCACUCUGAUCAUAAGAAGAUGAGUCACAAUCUCAAACUCCUAAGGUCAAAUCUCCGAUCCUAGGCUAAUAAGCUCAACAUCCUCCAUGAUAGGUCAACCCCCAAGAUCACAAUGUGCAAAUGAAUAGAUGCCUCAAGUCAAAAGUACAACACAUCAUAUGAUAUAUGGUCCUACGAUGACAAUCUAAAACUGGAAAUAUGUUACAAACUCUAAGGUCAUAAAGGUGUCCACUGUGAGAUGACUACAAAUGUGACUAAGGAAUCUUUAUCAAUAAUCCAAAAAAUGAAUGAGGUGUGAAAAACAACACUAUCAUGAGAUCGAUACCCCAUCAAUAACAAAAUAUCUCUAAUUCACUUUCAAUCUAAGCUCUAUAAAGAAAAACGAUAAGGUUAUAAAGGCAAACCUCUCAAAAAUGGUGUGAAUGUGAAAACAUGUCUUCACCUUUCUAUAAUGAAAAUAUCAUGUUGAAAAUAGAAAUAGGCAAAUCGACCAAAGAAUGAAGUACGGAGCCCAUGACAAGUGAAGAAUGUAAAAAGGUGAACAUGAUCAAUGAACAUAUCCCAAAACAUCAAGCAUAAAGUGGCAACAAACCGAAAGAAUGUGUCAACUUAAGAAAAGAAGACUAUCUGAAGCCCUAGGGAGAAAGUGUGCUAGACUCAAGGAGCGACAAGAAGAAACUAAAACCAUAUAGCAAGGGGUGGUCCAACUGAUACUCAAACUCGUACCAAUAUCUAAGCACUCUCGACUGGAGACCAAAAGAUGGAGUAUUGGAUCCAUAUUGUGACUAAAGUGGCCUCGAAGGCUCUAAGAUGCACCCACGUGUAGGAAAGGAAAUCCUAAUAAAAAUAUCUAAGGCUUAACCUACAAGGUCAAGGCGGCUAUAAAAAGAAAAAUUGAGUGGACUUUAAAGGAUCCCUAGCAAAAGCGAUCAUACCCUCCAAUGGUACGCAACCUCCUACACGUCUUGAAAUAUAUGGGAGUAAUUCCAUGCAAGGUGGUCAUCACCUCCACACAUGCACUAGCUCAUAUCCUAGAGGGUUUCCUAAUGAUGAAGACUCUUACAUCUCUCAACACUUAGUGGUAAUCUAAGGUGCACAGUGAACGGUGUGGGUUCAUCCAAAAAUCAUAUCAAGCUAAACAAAGAGAAAACACAUUGGUCACACAAAUAUCCUGAAAUCUAGCUCUAACCUAUACAAGUCUUCAAAGAUUGGACUCCAAUUAGCAUUAAUGUUUCGACCUUCUCCAGAAUGCUCCCAAACAUAGAUAUAGUCCAUCACUAAACCCUACUCCGAAUCACUAGCUCGGUCGAAGAGCAAACAAAGUAAUAAGUCUCAUAUCAAAUACGAGAUCAAGGGGAACACGGUCACCCGAGACUAGGGAAUUGAAGGUAAGGAGAUAGGUGUGUGUCCCACAUAGAAAAUCAACAUGCAUUACACAGAAGAAGAAUAGUCAUGCAAUAGACAACCAAGCAAAGAACAGGUAUAUCAUUCAUAUCUACACACAAGCUAAACAAGAAAUAGGUAUUUAACAAGAAUAAACAAUAUGUUGAGAUAAACAAGAUAAUAUACAAUAAAGAGAAUCAAUCACACCAAUAUGAAUGAGAUAUACAAAAAUGAGAAUAUACAUGUCAAGGAGAGCAAGAUAAUCAUACAACAAGAAGAGUCUUAUGUUAAAGCAAGCAAGAGAAUCAAUCGAUGUAGUCAACAUGUCAAUAUCGCAAAUGAACAUAACAACCAAAUAUGCAUCAUAAAGAAAAAAUGGUAAUCAUGCAGCACGUAGUCAUACAAAACAAAUAUAGACAAACAUAAGCAAAUAAAUGUAAACACACAUGAUAACAAAAAUCAAUGUAUAGUAAGGCACAUGCAAUAUAUACAUAAAAUAAUCAUCAAGUCAACACUCAUAUACCUUAAAACAUGAAAAUAUACAAUAAAGACACAAUGAGAGGGUAUUCACUGAUCGAUUAAUCAAACGCUACAUUUCCUUUAACUCGAGUUCAAGUUUGAUCCUUUAAAUAUCCCUAGUGGAGUCGCUAUUUUGUGGACCCACAUUUUUCAAAUGCGUCCUUACACAACAGCGAGACUCAUUUUUUUUAUUUGGUGAAAAUUUGAUUUUUAGAAAAAAGACUUUGAGUCGUCACUUAUUUUUGUUUUUUUUUAAGGGAAAACAAAACAAGAAAGAAAACCUUGUGUAACUCCUUAUUUGGGAAAGACAUGUAUGCAAAAACCAAAUCUGGUUUCGGGGGUCAAGUUACCUAUUGGGAAUGUACGAUGGUGAGCUGUAGCACCUCUCUAAGCUCAUAUACGUACAGUCUCUACUAAACGAAUUAAGAGAGUUGUAGUAAUUAAUUAAUUAGUCAAGGAUACCAAGAAAAAGAAUCGCACAAAUGAGUACGUACAAAUCAUGAUAAAAAAAAUCAAAUUAUAAGAAUAGACAAAAUAAAUAACAAGAGAAUUGUGCAAAGUGAUUUAUUAAACUAAAUAAAAAAGAAGAUAUUAAAAAAAUUAGUUUUCAAGAAAUUUCAAAGGAUUUUAUUAAAAUGAUUUUGAAUUAAUGAUUUUAAUUUAUUUAUUUACAAAAAAAAAAGUCAAUUUAUUUUCUUCAAGUGAUUUGAUUCAAUUUUUUUUAAAAAAAAAAGUUAUUUACACUCAUGGUUGUUAAAAGAAUUAUUAACAAAAUUUCAAGUUGACAAUAAAAAUGAUUUUUACUUGCUUUUACUCGAAAACAAUGAAUUUUUACAAUUUUAUUAACAAAAGCAUUUCAAUUUAAGAAAAGUGACUUAAACAAAUUAUUAAAAAAAUAUAACUUUAUCUACAAAAGAAUUUUUAAUUAAAAAGAAAAAAUUUAAAUCAUCUAUUUCUAAAAAUGACUUUUAAUCCCAUUUUAAUUAAGGAAAAUUGAGUUAUUUAAAAAAACAUUUUUUGGACAAUUUGAAUAAAAAUUAAUUUUUGGGACAACUUAUUUACAAAACAAUUUUUGGACAAUUAUUAUUAAAAACAAAAUUUCAAAUUCGAUUAAAAACAAUUUUUUGGAUUUUUCCAAACACAUUUUUAUGAAUUUUUAUUAAUAAAAAACUUUUUUUUAUUAAGAAGAAUAUUUUUUGAGCUAUUAUUUUAUUAAAACAUGUUUAUUGAAUUAUUCUUCUUAUUCAAACAAAAUUUUUAAUUUGUUCGAUAUCCAAUUCUGUACACAACAAGUAAAUAUAUACAAACAAAUAUUUAUAGAAAGCAAUAAAAAUAAAACCAAAUAGAAGUGAGAAAUAAAACAUGUACUUAAACAUGCUUACAACAAGCUCAAUGUCUUCUUACGAUUUUUCGAGUCUCACUUUCUUUCAUUAAAUUUUAUGCUCCACGUACCAUAAAUCCGUACUCAACCAAAAAAAUUGCAGAAUUGGCCCAUGCAAAAACAAAAAUAACACAAAUGUAAAUAUCUAAAAAUGUAUAAAGUUCACAAUAGAUAUUCAAGCCCAAAUUCAAAUUUCAAAUUAGUCCAACAAAUUUCGUCAAUCAAAAUAGGUCUAAAUUAGCAAAUAUAGCCCAACAAAAACAUUUCACAUGUCAUAGGCCUUAAUAUAAAAUUUCCAAGUUAAUAACCAAAAUAUAAGUUCAAUUAAUCAGACCCAAAACAUGAUACAUUAAAAUAAAUCUCAUUAGGCAUAAACUUAAUAUCUCAUAAUUCAAGCCUAAUUUAAUAUAUAAACCUAAAUCCACAAUCAAAAUCAACUCACUUUAUGCUAAUCCCAAUUUACAAUCAAAAUCAAACAUAAUUUAAUAAGUAAAUAACUAAAUAAAUUAAGCAAAAUCAAAACUCUCAAACCACUAUUGCACAAUAUCAAACAAUAAUAAAUAUAAUGACAACAACAAUAAUAAUAAAAUAAAAUAAAAAAAUUUAACUCACGUUGGAGCCAGUUUGAGUGUCGUGGGAAAGAAAGAAAAUGAGAGAAAAGUGGGAGAUGAUCGUUAGCUGGUAGUAGCUCGCCCGCGGCGACUGGUCGAUAGUCCUGCUGGCGGUAGUGAGGAUUGAUGAAUUUUUGGGAAAGGAAAAAAAAAGAGGAGUAAUAAAAAAAUGGAGAAAUGAGAGGAAGGUGGGAUAAGAGGGGAGAGAGAGAAUGAAGAAAAUAGGGGAAAAGAAAUGAGGCCGGCCGGAGGAGGAAGUGGUAGUGUGUGUGAGCUAAAGUGAAGAAGAAUGAAAGAAGAAGAAGGAGAAAAAUGGGAAAGAAGGGGAAAAAAAAUUCGAGCCCUCUAAAUGAAGAAAGGUGAGUAGCUUAAAGAAGAAAAUAAAAUAAAAUAAAAAAAGAAAAAAUGAGGAGAAAAUGAGAGGGCCAGUAGUCUUGGGAAUGGGGUGGUAUAGGUGAGAGAGAGUGGGCGAGGUUGUUGGGGAAGGUAUGGGAGAGAGAGGAGAGAUGAAAGAAAGAGAAAAAAAAAACAUAAUAAUAAUAAUAAUAAUAAUAAUCAUAAAUAAUAUAUAAAAUAAUAAAAAUUAAUAUUUAAAUGAUGAGUGUGUCAAAAAUAUUAUAUGUAAUUGGGAUUUAAUUUUAAGAGUAAAAUUGGACUAAAAAUUAAUGUAAAAAUAAAAUUUGAACAAAUUUUAAAAUCUACAAAUACAUUCUUUAAUCUUUCCACAACAUCAAUCUGAUCUAAAUGAAAUGCAAUAAAUUCUAAAAAUGAUACAAUCUUUAAUCAAUCCACAAUAUCAACCCGAUCAAAACUCAAUGCAAUAUUGCUUAAUGGAGAGAAUCGUAAAAUCCUUUUAUGAGAGGAAAACAAAACCCUUAACAGACCUUUAUGAGAGGAAAAUAGGAAAACAUAGAACUAAAAACCCUUAACGUAUUCAUGAGAAUAAAAAAAAUCCUUAACACCUUAAUAAGAGGAAAACAAAGAAUUUGAACAAUCCUUAAUCCAUCAAAAGCUCUUAAUAUGAACGAGGGGAAAACAUAACCUUUAUUUUUCAUAUCGCUGAAUACAGAAUCUAAAGAGAUAGAAUUUUUAGUUAUUAAGGAUUUUUUAUAGAUGUCUAUUGAAAGUUUAAGAACUUUUAUGGAUAAUUGUUAAUUAAGAGACUGAAAGGGUACUUAGGAUUUUCAACUAAAAAAGUUAUAACAAUAUGAAUAGUAAGAACUUAAAAACAUCACCCAUCCAUCAUAGGAAUAUGGAAUGAGAGGUUAUUUUUUUACUUAUACAACAAUAAACUUUUUUGGAAGAGGUUUUUCUAAGUACAAAAAGUUAUGAAUAAAAAACCAUUGUUACGAUGAGUUAACUAAAAUAGAAUUAAUUUAGAAAAUAUCAAUAAAGUUGCAUGAAUUAUUAUCAUGAGUUAACUUAAUAAGAAUAAAUAGUAAUAAAGUUAAUGAAGUGAAUUUGGAUUGGCAGAUAUAUUUGAUGAUAAGAUUUUUUUAAUAAUAAAAAAUUAUUAUGGCAGGAAAAAUAGGACAAAAUUGACCUUAUGAUAAGAUUUUUUUAAUAAUAAAAACAUUAUUAUGGUAUGAAAAAAAGGGACAAAAUUGGCCUUUCCUUAAUUGUACCGGUUAAUGGAAUAAUGGGACAUGCGGUGGUUACAAGCCACCCCAAAAGGUAGGAAGAAUCUCCAACCCCCAUUCUCGGCUCCCUUAUCUUUUCCCUUACAACCAAAAAUCAACAACUAUCUUAGAAUGUCCUUCAGUCCAUCAAAAUUCAACAACAACAAUUAUACAUUACAAUAAUGAAAACAAAAUUGAUUGAUCACCAGCUAACAUUAGGAGAUUAUAAGAUAAGGAUGUAAUUGCAAUUAUUGAAAUCACUUAAAGAGUAAAAAUUAGGAACAUGCUCACAAUAAAUAAAAUCACCUUAGAAUUAAAAAUUAGGGACAUGAUUAUGAUGAUUAAAAUCACUCGAGAACUAAAAUGUUUUAGAGAUACAAUAAUUGAAAUCAACUGAAAAAUAAAUUCGGGAUGUGAUCGCAAUUAAUGUAUAUAUAAACAACCAAAUGUUGAAAGGAAAAACUAAUGAAAUUAAUAUGAUUUUCUUUUAGAUUUCUCUUGACACCAAACAAAUGUAAGGAAGUUUAUAAAGGAAAAUUAGGUUUUGAUUCACUAAAUUAAAAUAAUAUAGAAAAAAGAUCUUCAAAUUUUAUGUAUCAGUUUUAUUUUUAUUUAUUUAAAAAUAUUUUAAAAUACAUAUAUUUUUUCAUAACUCAAAUAGUCAUUCCUCAAAUGCUAGUUUUACUUGUUAUGUUAAUAACACUAGUUAAUAAUUUUGUAUUGUGAGAACGAUUUAAGAUUAAUAAAAUAAGAAAUUUUUAAAACUAAAAAGACAUUUAAAACUUUAAAAUUAAAAAUAUAAAAAUAAAACAAUAAUUUUUCAUUUAGUAAAACACGCAGUAGAAAAUAUAGAUAUAGAGAAAGAGUUGGAAAUAAAAUAAGAGUUAAUAUUUUAUUUUUAAAAUUUUAUGUUUUUUAUUUUAAUUGUAUUUAAUUUUAUGUAUUUUAGUUGUAAUUAUAUUUUUAAUUUUUAAAUUUUUUUAUUUUAUUGUUGAUGUAAAUUUUUGUUCAAUUAUAUAUAUAUAUAUAUAUUUUAAAUUAGUGAGUAAAAACCCACUUUUUCUAAUUUAUAAUAUAUUUAUGGGAUUUUAUAAUAUAAGCAAUUUUUUUUUUUGAGAAAGAGGAAAAAUCAACUUUUCAAUUUCCCUUAAUAAUUAUUAGUAUUAUUAUCCAAUUUGGCUGAUUAUGAGAUUAGUUGGUAUCAUUACUAUAUCCAUUUGUUCUUAACCCUUCAUUAGAAUAGUAUUAGGAGUUGAACGUCAGUUGGAAUACAGGCUUAUGGAAACAAAUCUAUCCGAUUAGUAGGUUCUUAUUAUUUUCAAUAUAGGCCCCAUAAAAUAAAUAGGAGAUGGGCAGCCCGUCCCUUUGUCUGGAGGCCAUCCUCCCAACUUAUUAAAGGUGAUAUGAGAUAAGAUAGUGACAAAAUUAUCGGUUACUUCCCGACACCUGGCUCUCCACAAGCAAACCCAGUGAUCCAGAAAUUAAUUGGUACCUGGACACGUGACUACCAAACGUUCGCUCACCUACCAUACCCAUGGCCUCAUGCCCCAUAUAUUUCCACAAACCUAGCUCAAUUUUCAUAGCCACCUUCACUAUCCUACACUCACUAAGCCAUGGCCAUAGAUACAAGCCUCUUGAUUGAGCUUGCUGCAGCAACUCUACUCUUCUUCAUCACCCGCUUCUUCAUUCGUUCUCUCCUUCCCAAAUCUUCCUGGAAGCUCCCUCCUGGCCCCAAAGGGUGGCCGCUCGUCGGCGCUCUUCCUCUUCUAGGUAACAUGCCUCAUGUUGCAUUAGCAAAGAUGGCCAAAAGAUACGGGCCUGUCAUGUUCUUGAAAAUGGGCACUAACAGCAUGAUGGUGGCCUCAUAUUAAGGAAAUUAUAUGUUAGUUAUUGUAUGAUUAUCUUGACAUAAUUAGCUGAUUGUAUAGGAGCAUAAUUAGCCUUAUAUUACUGAUUCUGUAGCUAUAAUUUAGGAGAAGAUUAGAUCAAACAUGUGUAUAUAUAUACUACAUUCUAUUAAUGAGAAAAGUAUCCAAUUUGAAGCCAAUCUCUUUAUUCUUGUUAUGGUAUCAGAGCAAGAACAAAAAACCACCAUGGCUGGCAGUCAGAAGGCUUCUGGAUCAGAAAACAAGACCAUCGAUCCUUCACAUCCUCUCUAUAUUCAUCAUUCAGAUCAACCAGGCCAUGUUUUGGUGCCCAUCAAAUUAAAUGGGGUCAACUAUCAAUCAUGGAGCAAAGCAGUUAUUCAUGCCCUUACUGCCAAGAAGAAGAUCGGCUUCGUCGACGGGACAGUUGAAGAACCAUCGCAGGAAGAUGAACCCUUUAUGUUUGAACAGUGGAAUCAAUGCAACAGCAUGAUACUUUCUUGGCUAACUCAUGCUGUUGAAUCGGACAUUGCUGAAGGAAUUAUCCAUGCUAAAAUAGCACGCGAAGUGUGGGUUGAUUUGCGCGACCAGUUUUCUCAAAAGAAUGCUCCAGCGGUUUUUCAAAUAUAGAAAUCAAUCGCCACCAUGUCGCAAGGAACGAUGACAGUAGCUGCAUAUUUUACAAAGAUCAAAGCCUUAUGGGACGAGCUUGAGACAUACCGUUCCCCGCUGACCUGCAACCAACGGCAAGCACAUCUCGAGCAAAGGGAGGAAGACCGUCUUAUGCAAUUUCUAAUGGGUUUGAAUGAGUCAUAUAAGGUAGUGAGAUCCAAUAUUUUGAUGAUGUCGCCAUUGCCCAAUGUCUGUCAAGCAUACUCUUUAAUUGUCCAGGAAGAGAUGCAACGACAAGUUUCUUCUGAGCCAACCGAGAAUUUCUCAAUAGCUGCCGCAGUCCCUGGAAAAGGAGGUAAUCCAAGACAAAAAUUGUGUGACCAUUGUAACAGAUCCGGACAUACCAUAGAUGAAUGUCGGACUCUUAAAUUUCACUGUAAGUUCUGUGAUAAAAGAGGUCACACGGAGGAUAGAUGCCGACUGAAAAAUGGGAGCAAUAACAAAACGGGACAAUUCCGAGGACAAUGUCCUUUUGGUCGUGGGAAUCAGCCCUUAGCAAACGCGACAGAAUCCCAGGAAAUGUCUGAUUCGACUUCUUCUAGUACAGUCCAGGGGUUCACUACAGAACAAAUACAACAGUUGGCUCAAGCAAUUUCAUGCAUUAAAUCACAGUAAUUCCGGUAAUAUUGACGCAUAUGCAAAUGCUGCAGGUUUGAUUCCAUCAACUCUUGUGUCUGUUAAUUCUAGUAGUACAAGUUCUUGGAUUUUGGAUACAGGUGCCACGGAUCACAUCGUUUCCCACAUGUCUCUUUUCACUGAUCUCAAACCUUCUAAUGUCACAACUGUUAAUUUACCAAAUGGUGCAGCAUCACCAAUAACACACACUGGCACCGUUAUUUUUGAUUCCCAAUUGACCCUUAAAGAUGUUUUAUGUGUCCCAUCCUUUAACUUGAAUUUAAUUUCGGCUAGCAAACUCGCAAAAGAUCAGAAUUGCUGCAUCAUAUUCUUUCCUGACUAUUGUAUUUUGCAGGACUUGGUUUCGGGGAAGAUGAUUGGCUCGGGUAAACAGCGUGGUGGUCUAUACUACAUGCAUCCAUCAACAAAUAAAUCGGUUGUCUUUCAUGUUUCUCAACCGUCUGACUUAUGGCAUUUACGCCUGGGUCAUCCCUCUUUUUCUCGUUUUAAAUUAUUAUCACAUUUGCUUCCAGAUAUUCAUAAAGAAUUAGGAAAUCAUUGUCCAAUUUGCCCACAGGCUAAGCAGACACGCUUGCCCUUUCCCAAAAGUUCAAUAACUACAAAAUUUCCUUUUUCUCUUUUACAUUNNNNNNNNNNNNNNNNNNNNNNNNNNNNNNNNNNNNNNNNNNNNNNNNNNNNNNNNNNNNNNNNNNNNNNNNNNNNNNNNNNNNNNNNNNNNNNNNNNNNNNNNNNNNNNNNNNNNNNNNNNNNNNNNNNNNNNNNNNNNNNNNNNNNNNNNNNNNNNNNNNNNNNNNNNNNNNNNNNNNNNNNNNNNNNNNNNNNNNNNNNNNNNNNNNNNNNNNNNNNNNNNNNNNNNNNNNNNNNNNNNNNNNNNNNNNNNNNNNNNNNNNNNNNNNNNNNNNNNNNNNNNNNNNNNNNNNNNNNNNNNNNNNNNNNNNNNNNNNNNNNNNNNNNNNNNNNNNNNNNNNNNNNNNNNNNNNNNNNNNNNNNNNNNNNNNNNNNNNNNNNNNNNNNNNNNNNNNNNNNNNNNNNNNNNNNNNNNNNNNNNNNNNNNNNNNNNNNNNNNNNNNNNNNNNNNNNNNNNNNNNNNNNNNNNNNNNNNNNNNNNNNNNNNNNNNNNNNNNNNNNNNNNNNNNNNNNNNNNNNNNNNNNNNNNNNNNNNNNNNNNNNNNNNNNNNNNNNNNNNNNNNNNNNNNNNNNNNNNNNNNNNNNNNNNNNNNNNNNNNNNNNNNNNNNNNNNNNNNNNNNNNNNNNNNNNNNNNNNNNNNNNNNNNNNNNNNNNNNNNNNNNNNNNNNNNNNNNNNNNNNNNNNNNNNNNNNNNNNNNNNNNNNNNNNNNNNNNNNNNNNNNNNNNNNNNNNNNNNNNNNNNNNNNNNNNNNNNNNNNNNNNNNNNNNNNNNNNNNNNNNNNNNNNNNNNNNNNNNNNNNNNNNNNNNNNNNNNNNNNNNNNNNNNNNNNNNNNNNNNNNNNNNNNNNNNNNNNNNNNNNNNNNNNNNNNNNNNNNNNNNNNNNNNNNNNNNNNNNNNNNNNNNNNNNNNNNNNNNNNNNNNNNNNNNNNNNNNNNNNNNNNNNNNNNNNNNNNNNNNNNNNNNNNNNNNNNNNNNNNNNNNNNNNNNNNNNNNNNNNNNNNNNNNNNNNNNNNNNNNNNNNNNNNNNNNNNNNNNNNNNNNNNNNNNNNNNNNNNNNNNNNNNNNNNNNNNNNNNNNNNNNNNNNNNNNNNNNNNNNNNNNNNNNNNNNNNNNNNNNNNNNNNNNNNNNNNNNNNNNNNNNNNNNNNNNNNNNNNNNNNNNNNNNNNNNNNNNNNNNNNNNNNNNNNNNNNNNNNNNNNNNNNNNNNNNNNNNNNNNNNNNNNNNNNNNNNNNNNNNNNNNNNNNNNNNNNNNNNNNNNNNNNNNNNNNNNNNNNNNNNNNNNNNNNNNNNNNNNNNNNNNNNNNNNNNNNNNNNNNNNNNNNNNNNNNNNNNNNNNNNNNNNNNNNNNNNNNNNNNNNNNNNNNNNNNNNNNNNNNNNNNNNNNNNNNNNNNNNNNNNNNNNNNNNNNNNNNNNNNNNNNNNNNNNNNNNNNNNNNNNNNNNNNNNNNNNNNNNNNNNNNNNNNNNNNNNNNNNNNNNNNNNNNNNNNNNNNNNNNNNNNNNNNNNNNNNNNNNNNNNNNNNNNNNNNNNNNNNNNNNNNNNNNNNNNNNNNNNNNNNNNNNNNNNNNNNNNNNNNNNNNNNNNNNNNNNNNNNNNNNNNNNNNNNNNNNNNNNNNNNNNNNNNNNNNNNNNNNNNNNNNNNNNNNNNNNNNNNNNNNNNNNNNNNNNNNNNNNNNNNNNNNNNNNNNNNNNNNNNNNNNNNNNNNNNNNNNNNNNNNNNNNNNNNNNNNNNNNNNNNNNNNNNNNNNNNNNNNNNNNNNNNNNNNNNNNNNNNNNNNNNNNNNNNNNNNNNNNNNNNNNNNNNNNNNNNNNNNNNNNNNNNNNNNNNNNNNNNNNNNNNNNNNNNNNNNNNNNNNNNNNNNNNNNNNNNNNNNNNNNNNNNNNNNNNNNNNNNNNNNNNNNNNNNNNNNNNNNNNNNNNNNNNNNNNNNNNNNNNNNNNNNNNNNNNNNNNNNNNNNNNNNNNNNNNNNNNNNNNNNNNNNNNNNNNNNNNNNNNNNNNNNNNNNNNNNNNNNNNNNNNNNNNNNNNNNNNNNNNNNNNNNNNNNNNNNNNNNNNNNNNNNNNNNNNNNNNNNNNNNNNNNNNNNNNNNNNNNNNNNNNNNNNNNNNNNNNNNNNNNNNNNNNNNNNNNNNNNNNNNNNNNNNNNNNNNNNNNNNNNNNNNNNNNNNNNNNNNNNNNNNNNNNNNNNNNNNNNNNNNNNNNNNNNNNNNNNNNNNNNNNNNNNNNNNNNNNNNNNNNNNNNNNNNNNNNNNNNNNNNNNNNUUUUCGUUUUUCACCCCAUCACCGUGCUUUUUUAGCUCUUUUGACAGCCCAAACCGAACCUUCAUCCUUUGAACAAGCUGACUGUGAUCCACGUUGGCGCCAAGCCAUGUCCACCGAACUUCAGGCUCUAGAACGAAACAACACUUGGGAGAUGGUCCCUCUUCCUCCGGGACACAAACCCAUUGGCUGCCGCUGGGUGUACAAGAUCAAAUACCAUUCUGACGGAACCAUUGAACGCUAUAAAGCCCGUUUGGUUGCCAAGGGCUACACACAGGUCGCCGGUAUCGACUAUCAGGAAACCUUUUCUCCAACUGCCAAACUCACCACUCUUCGCUGUUUGCUGACUGUCGCAGCUUCCAGAAAUUGGUACAUCCAUCAGCUUGAUGUGCACAACGCAUUCCUUCAUGGCAAUUUACAAGAAGAGGUUUAUAUGACUCCACCUCCUGGUCUUCGCCGAUAGGGGGAGAAUCUGGUAAGUCGGCUUCGCAAAUCUAUUUACGGUUUGAAACAGGCAUCACGCAAUUGGUUCUCAACUUUUACAGCUACUGUUAAGUCUGCGGGUUACAUACAGUCCAAAGCAGAUUAUUCACUUUUUACUAAAUCCCAAGGUAACAAGUUCAUUGCUAUUCUCAUUUAUGUUGAUGAUAUCCUGUUGACUGGUAAUGAUUUGCAUGAAAUCAAGAUGCUCAAGACUCAUCUGCUCAAGCAUUUUUUUAUUAAAGACCUCGGUGAAUUGAAAUAUUUUUUGGGUAUAGAAUUCUCUCGCUCUAAAAAGGGAAUCUUUAUGUCUUAAAGAAAAUAUGCAUUAGAUAUUUUGCAAGACACAGGAUUGACAGGAGUGAAGCCCGAAAAAUUUCCGAUGGAGCAAAACUUGAAAUUGACUGAUGAAGAUGGCGAGUUACUUCAUGAUCCAAGUAGGUAUCGGAGACUGGUUGGCAGAUUAAUAUACUUGACUGUAACCAGGCCUGACAUAGUGUAUUCAGUACGUACACUAAGUCAAUUCAUGAACACACCUCGGAAGCCGCACUGGGAAGCAGCAUUACGAGUCCUCCGAUAUAUUAAAGGGUCACCAGGUCAAGGUCUUUUUCUUCCAUCUGAAAAUAAUUUAACACUCAGCGCAUUUUGCGAUUCAGAUUGGGGAGGAUGUCGUAUGUCAAGACGUUCCGUUUCUGGUUAUUGUGUUUUCCUCGGAUCAUCACUCAUCUCUUGGAAAUAAAAAAAACAAACGAAUGUUUCACGUUCGUCAGCAGAAGCAGAGUACAGAGCAAUGGCGAAUACUUGCCUGGAAUUGACUUGGUUGAGGUACAUACUUAAAGAUUUGAAGGUUGAAUUGGACAAACCAGCACCAUUGUUUUGUGAUAAUCAAGCAGCUGUAUAUAUUGCAGCUAACCCAGUUUUUCACGAAUGUACUAAACACAUUGAGAUUGAUUGUCAUAUAGUUCGAGAAAAACUUCAAGCUGGGGUAAUUCGUCCGUGUUAUGUUUCUACAAAGAUGCAGUUGGCGGACGUUUUUACAAAGGCACUUGGCAGGGAGCAGUUCGAAUUUUUGUGCACCAAGUUGGGAGUUCUUGAUUUGCACUCUCCAACUUGAGGGGGAGUAUUAAGGAAAUUAUAUGUUAGUUAUUGUAUGAUUAUCUUGACAUAAUUAGCUGAUUGUAUAGGAGCAUAAUUAGCCUUAUAUUACUGAUUCUGUAGCUAUAAUUUAGGAGAAGAUUAGAUCAAACAUGUGUAUAUAUAUACUACAUUCUGUUAAUGAGAAAAGUAUCCAAUUUGAAGCCAAUCUCUUUAUUCUUGUUACCUCAACUCCCGGGGCGGCUCGGGCUUUCCUUAAAACGCUAGACAUUAAUUUCUCUAACCGCCCGCCUAAUGCCGGUGCCUCACUCUUGGCCUAUCAUGCCCAAGACAUGGUUUUUGCGGAUUAUGGGGCAAGGUGGAAGCUACUGAGAAAGCUAAGCAACUUACACAUGCUUGGUGGGAAGGCUCUUGAGGACUGGUCUCAGGUCCGAGCUGUUGAGCUAGGCCACAUGCUUCGAGCCAUGCUUGAGUUGAGCCAGCGAGCGGAGCCGGUGGUGGUGCCGGAGAUGUUAACUUUUUCCAUGGCCAACAUGAUAGGUCAAGUGAUUCUAAGCCGCCGGGUGUUUGAAACAAAAGGGUCGGAGUCAAAUGAGUUCAAGGACAUGGUGGUGGAGCUCAUGACCACUGCUGGGUACUUCAAUAUUGGCGAUUUUAUUCCGUCCAUCGCAUGGCUGGACAUCCAAGGGAUCCAGCACGGGAUGAAGCAUUUACAUAGGAAGUUCGAUCGGUUAUUAACAAAGAUGAUGGAGGAGCACACGGCGUCAGCCCAUGAGCGGAAGGGAAACCCAGAUUUUCUGGACGUGAUCAUGGCAAACCAAGAAAAUUCUACAGGGGAGAAGCUCACUAUUACCAACAUUAAAGCACUCCUCCUGGUAUGCAUAGUUAAAGCUCGUCUUUAAUUUUGUUUUCCGAUAUUUUCUUUCCUGAAACAGCACUUUUAUUGCUUUUAGAUAUGUACGUUUUUAUCAGGUAGCCAUUUUAGGGGCACAUCACUGUUCUUUAUUUGGAUUUUUUUUGUCUUUUUCCACUUGCAUGGUUGUUUUCAUAUGCUCAGCUGCAUGGCACAGGAAAAUUGUGAAAAAUGAUUGGUUCUCUGAUCAGACCUUCUGCACCAAAACAUAAUUCUCUCUAUUUUAUAAAAUCAAGAACAUUUAUGGUUUACAUGAUUUUUCGAACUUGAACUUUUGCUAGUGCUAAUGCAUGGAUCUCAAUUUUUCAAUUGCGUUUGAUUAUAUAAAUUUCAAGUAUGUGAACAUAUUUUUGUUUCCUUGGCUAGAAUUUAUUUACUGCAGGAACAGACACUUCAUCGAGCGUAAUCGAGUGGUCUCUGGCUGAGAUGUUGAAAAACCCGAGCAUCCUCAAGCGUGCUCACGAAGAAAUGGAUCAAGUGAUUGGAAGGAGCCGGCGGCUCGUGGAGUCUGACUUGCCAAAACUUCCAUACCUACAAGCCAUAUGCAAGGAAAGCUUCCGGAAGCACCCAUCCACCCCAUUGAACCUUCCUCGUGUCUCAACCCAAGCAUGCGAAGUGAACGGCUACUACAUCCCAGAGAACACUAGACUUAGCGUGAACAUAUGGGCAAUUGGGCGAGACCCUGAUGUCUGGGAAAGCCCGGAAGAAUUCAGGCCAGAAAGGUUUUUAAGUGGAAGAAAUGAAAAAAUUGAUCCUCGUGGAAAUGAUUUUGAGUUGAUCCCGUUUGGGGCUGGACGAAGGAUUUGCGCUGGCACUAGAAUGGGAAUAGUGCUGGUUGAGUACAUUUUAGGGACGUUGGUACAUUCAUUUGACUGGAAAAUGCCGGAUGGAGUUGAGAUCAACAUGGACGAAGCUUUCGGGCUUGCACUGCAGAAGGCAGUUUCUCUUUCGGCCAUGGUGACACCAAGGCUUCACCAGAGUGCGUAUGCAGUCUGAGCUCAAACCGCUCAGACCAAAACCCAGGCCUCGCUGCUAUAUGGCAUGGAUGCAGUUAAGUAGAAAAUAUUUUGGGAUGCCUGUGGCUUAGUAUAAGAUGUAUUAGCUCAAAGAUGGUCGUUUCAUUCUACCACCAAGCCAUAUGCAUCUAUGCAUAAUCUAUUGAUUUAGGCUCGAUUUGGUUAUAGUUUUUGUUUUUUUGUCUUCCAAAUCAGUAAAUAGUAGGGGUAUUUUUGUCCUAUGUAGUGAUUCUUUUUGUUUGAUUGAUUAUAUUUGGAUCCUUCAAAUAUUCCUACACAACUAUUAACCUCCUUCAAAAAUAUAUAGUUAAGGGCCUUGGUCAGAGCCAUCUCCAUCUUUUCACUUCUUGUGCUGCAGUAUGGGAUUGGCUUAGAUGAUCGUUAGUCUAAUGUUUCCUUUUCAACAUCAUAAUUCAGCGCAAACUAAGUUGAAUAUUCAACAACAAAUAAGUACAGAAAAUAAUGGAAGAAAAAUUCCCACUUUAUCUCCGUAAAGUAAUGCCAUAUUUUUCUUCAUACUUACCUUCUAGAUUUUUGUUGGAGCUCUGAGCCCGUGAUCCAUUAGAUGAUUGCGUGUGUGCAUAUGCAUGUGGGUGAUUGCGUGUAAUACGUACGUACGUUCCAUGAUUCAUGUUCGAAGUACCCUCUCUUAUUUAUCGUUGAAGAGGCUAUCGUCACAAACUCUAUUGAUUAAUUAGUCUAGGCAAAUUAAGGCGCGAUAACGACCGAUGUAUAUCUUAAAAGUAACGAUUAAGAGAAUAUUAUAUGUACAAGGGAAAAAUCUACAUAUAAUUAUUGAUGCAACUUGCAAGUGGGAUAAAAUUUGGGAUGGGGAUUAUUAUAAAUUAAUCUCAAUCCAUAAUUGUGAUUGUGGAGUAUAAAUUAAAUGAUUCAUAAUCCAUCUACAUGAAGAUUAAAACCCAUAUUGAAAAUAGCUUUAAAAAACUAAUUUAUAAGAAUAAUUUUUGCAUCAUAUUUUGUGUGCUUGAACUCGUUUCCUAUAUUUUUAAAUAUAUAUUAAAUAUAAUUUUCUUUUAUUUAUAGUGUUUUAUUUUUAAUUAUUCUUCAUAUUUAUAUAAUUAUUUUUUAAAACAAUCAUGAUAAAAAGCAAAAAGAAGUGAAAAUAGCUUAAUAUAAUUAAAGACAAAUAUCUUAUUUUUUGUUAUCUGUUGUUAUUGUUUUUUCUUUUUGUUAACCCCCUUCAAAUCUAAUUAUUCAUACUCAAUUUUGACACGAAAGAGCCAUUGUCAUGAAAGGGGGAGGUCCAUCAUUUUGGUACGAUGCCAACUCUACCACAUAACCACCAUUUAGAUAUCUAUCCUUUUAUUUUUGGCAUGUGAACUUAUAGUGGGUGGCUGACCUUGAAUCCACUAGUUAUCAUGUUGAAAUUAACCACCAUUUAGAUAUCUAUCCUUUUAUUUUUGGCAUGUGAACUUACAGUAAGUCCGAUUUAUGUCCAAGGGUCAAAUUUAAAUCUCUCUUCAAUCUAAUGGCUAAGAACUUCCCAACUUUAUUUAAUACUUAAUGUAUCCAAUAAUUGUAAUCGAGUAAUCCAAUGACAAGUACCUUCAAUGACUAUUUUGGCAAAAGAAAAAAGAAAAAAAGAAAUAAUAUAAGUUUGUUAUUUUAUGAUAUAAUAAAUUUAUUAAUACUUUCCUUUUUCAAAAUAUGUAAUUAGUUGUAAUUUCAUUAUAUAAUAUAUAAAUUAAGUUAUUUGCAAUUUUAAAAUAUGUUCAUUUUGUUUUUUUUUAAGUGUUAAUUAAAAAUUAUACAAUUUUGUUUUAUAAAAAGUAUUUAGUACUUUUAAUUUUAUAAAUUACAAACAUUAAUUAUACUAUUUUCUUAAAAUAUUUAGUUUAGUAUGCAUAUUAUUAGUUGUUUUCUCAUAUCUCAAGUUUCAAUCAAAAAAAUAUUUAUGAUUUGUUUUUGUUAAUUUGUGUCUUGUUUUCAAUUUAAUUAAUGAAAAGUUAUUUGAUCAAAAGGUUCAUUACAAACCAAUUUUAAAAAUUUAAUCCUUUAUUAUAUUUUGAUAUUGUUUUGAUAAAAAUGUCUUUAUUAUUUUUUAAAUAUAUUGUAAAUAUUUAAAAUAAUUAAAAAUAUUUAGAUCAAAAAUCGAUUAUUUUUCAAACAAAAAUAUGAAAGUGAUAAAUUUGCAAAUGUGGGGAAUAUUUAAUCCUUUUAAUCGAUUAUUUCAUUAAUGAAGUGGGUAUAAUGAUGAACGCAGACUUGGUUUUACUAGGGCAUGCAGAGGUUUUGCAAGAGAGAGAGAUCAUUUCUCGACUCUGAGAAAUCAAUCUCCUUUUGGCCCGGUGGCGGACUCCAAGUAAAGCCUUGAAGGAGCCUUGCUAACAUCCCUGCACACCCACGCCUUCCAGUACUGAAGGAAAUGAAGCGAAGGUUUGGCUCGUUCAACUCCACUGCUUGAACUGUACUAGCAUUCAGAUGCCGCUCUGGAUUGAAAUUUAGCGGUUCUUCCCAGAUUCUAGGGUUCCGGCCCAGCCCCAGACGGCUCAGAAGGACAUGACUGCCUUUGGGGAUAGAGUACCCAGCAACACUAGUCGGAUUCCUGAACUCGUCUAUCCUUUCCAACCACUCCAUCAAUUUCUUCACUGCUUUGCUCAAAAUCCCUGGUUGCUUGAUCAUUGCCUACUCAAUUGCAUUUGAUGGACUAUCGAAGCCUGCAAGCAUCAACUCCUGCAAAUUAUGGAAGGAUCAUAAUCUCAUGAUUGAUCAAGUUAUUUGCUGGCUAGGAAAUGAUCAUCAUGCAAUGUAGAUCAAAAGGUAAGCACAACACUACUACAAAAAUAAUUUAUGGUGUCAUUUUUAAAAUAAUGACACCAUAGGGUUUAUAAUUAAUAAAGGUGAUACAUCAUAUGAAAAUUCUUCAAUUGAGGUAGUUAGAUUAUGUUAGUUUUAUAUUUAUAGUGUCAUUUUUUGGGAAGUAACAUCAUAUAAAAUAAUUUUUUUUUAAGUAUUAUAACUUAAUGAGCCCACUUUUAUAAUUAAUAAUGAGGGAUAAUGUAUAAAAAGCCCAUUGUUUCCACAUGCCACCCACAAUCCAAAAAAUCUCAGUAUACAAACCUUAUAUAUAAAACCAUAAUCUUCUUCUACCUUUUCUCUUACCUAUAGUCAACACACUUAUAACCGACAUUUUCCACUUUGUGGACUCCCAAGUUAUCCAAAUUCUCUUAGAUCUAUCCUAUUUUUUUUCUUUUAUUAAUAUCAUUAUAUUGAUUGUUUCAGCAUCUUUGUAUUAUGGUUUUUGUGAACUGCAUUUUCUUGAGUUGUAGGGAAGAAAAACUUAGGUUUAAACUUCUAGCAUAGACAAAGAAACUUGUAGAUUAAUUGAUUUUUUAAUAUGAACCAAACACAUGACCGACUUUUUCUGUGUGUAAUAAGGACAGCUAGUAUUCAUGCAUAAAAUCAGCAUCAGAAUUCGUAACUGCAUUUGAUCAGCUAGUUUAGUAAAUCUGUACAACUCAUUCUUUCCUUUAUUUUCACAUAUGUUGUUAUACGUUAGCACAAGUUUAGGAGUAAUUUUAGUUUCUCAAAUCUGUAUUUAUACCUCUUCUUCUAAUAAGAAUUGUGUGAAUCAUUUUGUCUAAACCUCUUUAUGGUAUCAGAGCACACCUCAAAACUCCAACAAGUAUUUCCUGUCUUUCUCGCUUCUGCUAUGGCCACUUCUUCCUCUGAUAGUUUUCCAAUAGCCAUCAAUGCCACCCAGCAAAUUACUGCACGUCUUACACCAACCAACUUCCCUUCAUGGCAUGCUCAAUUUGAGUCUCUCCUCCUCGGCUAUAACCUCUUUGGCUAUGUCGAUGGCACUCAUACCUGCCCACCCCUACCGAUGUCAACUAAUGCAGCUGCCACUACAGCUCAUCACCUUUGGUUCCAUCAGGACAAACUUAUUCUAAGUGCAAUUUUGACUUCAGUGUCCCUAGCUGUGAUACCACUCAUAGCAACCUCCCAAACGUCAUAUCAAACCUGGACAAAACUGACAAAACUGUAUGCUAGUCGAUCCAGGACUCGUGUCAUGCAGCUCAAAGAGGAUCUCACCCUCAUGCAAUGUGGCAAUCGCAGCAUUACAAAGUACCUACACUCUGUAAAAACCAUUGUCGAUGAGCUUGCUCUCAUCGAUGCCCCAUUAUCUCAAGAUGACAUCACCCUAUAUGUUCUUCAUGGCUUAGGAUCAAAUUUUCGUGACAUUGUUGCCCCGAUUCGAGCCCGAGAGUCUUCACUCUCAUUGUUGCAAAAUACUGUCCGAAAUUGAAACCCUCUGAAGCCACUGUGAACUGCACAACUACUACUUCCAGUCCCGACAAACGUUGGCUCAUUGAUUCUAUGGCUUCCCAUAAUAUCACUUCUCAGGUUUCAAAUUUACAAUUUCACUCUGAAUAUGAUGGUACUGAUGAAGUUAUUAUUGGAGAUGGAUCAGGUUUGCCCAUUACUCAUUCUGGUUCUCUUACUCUUUCAUUUCCAAACAGAAAAUUUCAAGUUGAAGAUACUCUAUGUGUUCCUACCAUUAACAAAAACUUGAUAUCUGUUCACCACUACACAAAGCAAAACAAUGUUAUCCUGGAAUUUCACCCAACUUAUUUUCUUGCGAAGGAUUGGAGAACGGGGGAGAUUCUUCUUCAAGGACCGUGUGAAAAUGGAGUCUACCCUCUGGCCUCAUCGCCUGCUGCUACUCCAAUUGCUUUUGUCCAUGAACGCACAUCAGCAGCUGGUUGGCAUCAUCGCCUUGGUCAUCGAUCAUUCAAAGUUGUCACUCGCCUCAUUAGUUCUUUCUCCCUUCCCACCACUUCAUGUCUUUCUGGUUCUAAUAAUUGUCAUUCGUGUUCUAUCAAUAAAGCUCAUCAGUUACCCUUUCAUAAACACGGUCUAACUAGCACAACACCAUUUGAUUUACUUUACACUGAUGUAUGGGGACCUUCUCCCACUCCUAGUCUCAAUGGCCACAGAUAUUAUGUUAUUUUUGUUGAUCACUUUACCAAAUAUGGUUGGUUCUUUCCAUUGCAUCAAAAAUCAGAUGUUAAAACCAUAUUUCCUCAUUUCUACAAAAUGAUUGAAACUCGUUUUAACAUAAAAAUUAAAGGAGUUUAUUCCGAUAAUGGGGGCGAGUUCACUGUUCUUCGACCCUUUUUCACAACCCAUGGCAUUAGUCAUUAUACGACAGCCCCUUAUACACCCCAACAAAAUGGAGUGUCUGAGCGUCGUCAUCUCCAUAUUGUGGAGACAGGUCAAACCCUUCUAAGUCAUGCCUCUCUUCCAUCAGAAUAUUAGGCUUAUGCUUUUGCAACAGCCACAUAUCUAAUCAAUCGACUUCCAUCACCUGUUCUUCAUCAUAUAUCACCUCUUCAAGCAACAACCUCGGUAUGAAAAAUUACGUUCCUUUGGAUGUCUUUGCUUUCCCUUGAUGAAGCCGUAUAACACAAACAAAUUUCAAAAGAAAUCCGUUCCUUGUAUCUUUGUUGGCUACUCUACUAGCCAAAGUGCAUAUCUAUGUCUUCAUCUACAAAGUCAGCGCAUAUACACCUCCAAACACGUAACCUUUGAUGAAUCUGUUUACCCCUUCAAACAGGUUUCCAUGCAAUCACCCACUGACUCAUCCCCAUCAGAAACCUCUUCUUUUUCAGGACCAAUUUUGCAGCUUGCUUCCAGGGAGCUUCCAACAAUCACACGGGCUCAAGGAGAUAUCCCCUCUGCUUCUUCGACUCCAAGUGAAGAUCCAGCUCUUGUGCAACCUCAAGAGGCACCACUUUCCACUUUAGAUCAGGUAACUCUUAGACCUUCUACUUCUGUUUCUCAACCAGAAAAUUCAAUGCCAUCCUCUCCACCACCAUGUCCACGAACCAUCAUCACUCGCUCCAUGAACAAUAUCUUUCGGCCAAAACAACUCCACACCACCACCAAGCACCCCUUACCUGAACCACCCGAACCAAGUUGUGUAAGUCAAGCUCUUAAAGACCCUCACUGGUGCAAGGCUAUGUCAGAAGAAGUGACAACCCUCCUUUAACAUGGGACGUGAGAACUGGUUCCUCCCACUCCUGGCCAGAAUCUUGUUGGGUGUAAAUUUGUGUUUCGGAAGAAACGAAAUCCAGAUGGAACAAUCAGUCGAUAUAAAGCUCGACUUGUCGCUAAAGGAUUUCAUCAACGGCCAGGUAUUGACUACUCUCAAACCUUCAGCCCUGUCGUAAAGCCAGUAACAAUUAGGCUUCUUUUAACCAUUGCUGUCAUGCAUGGCUAGCCCCUUCGUCAGUUAGACAUCAAUAAUGCAUUCUUGCAUGGUAAUCUUGAAGAAACAGUCUUCAUGCAUCAACCUACAGGAUUUGAAGAUCCAUCUCAACCUCAGUAUGUUUGCAAGCUAAAAUAGAGUAUCUAUGGUCUUAAACAAGCCCCAUGACAGUGGUACAAGGCCCUUCGGGAUGCACUUCUCAGCUUUGGUUUUAUUCACUCGGCCACUGACAACUCUUUGUUUAUCUAUAAGUCUCAUGAUAUCUUGUGCUACUGCCUUGUUUAUGUUGAUGACAUAAUUGUCACAAGCAACACACUCAGCUUUGUGAAUAACAUUAUAAACAAGCUUGGCUCUACAUUCUUAGUCAAAGAUAUGGGCUCCUUGCAUUAUUUCUUGGGAAUAGAAGUGAUUCCAAUGCCACAGGGGCUCUUUCUAUCUCAACAUCAGUAUAUAUGGGAUCUCCUUUCACGAACCUCCAUGGAAAAUGCUAAAGAAACACUCACUCCAAUGUCCACUACAGCCAAGCUUACGGUUCAAGAUAAUUUUGAAUGUGUUGACAGCACUGAGUAUCGCAAGAUCAUUGGAGCACUUCAGUAUUUGGGACUCACUCGUCCCGAUAUUGCCUUUGCAGUCAACAGAUUAUCUCAGUUCAUGUAGAAGCCGACAACAAACCAUUGGGCCGCAGCAAAAAGACUACUCAGCUAUCUUAAACAGACCAUGUUUCAUGGUAUCCUUCUCCAAAAUCAUGAUCAAUUCCAACUCAAGACCUAUAGUGAUGUGAAGUGGGCAUUAAAUACGGACACUCGUGUUUCAACCACUACUUUCAUCACAUUCAUUGGUCCUAAUCCAAUCUCAUGGUCUGCACGCAAGCAAAUGGCAGUCUCAAGAUCAUCUAUAGAAGCAGAGUUUCGGGCACUAGCUACUGCCACACAGAAACAGUUUGGCUUCAUUCUCUUAUCAAGGAACUUGGUCUCACUCUCAGAGAAGCACCUCAAAUGUUUUGUGAUAAUAUUGGUGCCAACCAUUUCAGUUUAAAUCCAGUCCAGCACAGACGGAUGAAACACAUUGAAAUUGAUCUCCUCUUUGUACGAGAUCUUGUCAAAAAGGGAACUAUUCGUGUUCAGCACAUCCAUACCAUUGAUCAACUAGCUAAUCUCCUUACAAAAUCACUCUCACAUCAACGCUUUCAACUAUUAAGAUCCAAGAUUGGUGUUGCAGAUGGCACCUCCAUCUUGAGGGGGCAUAUAAGGACAGCUAGUAUUCAUGCAGAAAAUCAGCAUCAGAAUUCGUAACUGCAUUUGAUCAGCUAGUUUAGGAAAUCUGUACAACUCAUUCUUUCCUUUAUUUUCACAUAUGUUGUUAUACGUUAGCACAAGUUUAGGAGUAAUUUUAGUUUCUCAAAUCUGUAUUUAUACCUCUUCUUCUAAUAAGAAUUGCGUGAAUCAUUUUGUCUAAACCUCUUUAUAUUUAUGUGAGAAUGACAGGUACAAAAUUUUGUUGAGAUAUACUGCCCCAUAAUCUUCAUCCUUUCCCUAAAAUGAGAGAGGGAAAAAAAAAAAGGAAUGAUUUUUUUUGUGUGUAUCUAAGUGGGAACAAGAGAUAUAGAAUUUCGUUGAGAUGCAGUGCUGCCACAUGAUCUUUAUCCUCCAUUAAACCCAACAUAUUAAAUCCACUAACUCUCUCCCCAAAAAUGAGUAAAAAAAAAAAAAAGGAAAAAAGUAUGAGUUAAAAAACAAAAACGGAAAAUAUGAUUUUUUUAAUGUGUUUCUAAGGAGAAUGAGAGAUACAUAUUUUUGUUAAGAUGCAUUGCCACGUGUUCUUCAUCCUCUCCAUUAAGCCUAAUAUAUUAAACCUAAUAGCUCUCUCUUUUAAGCUUUCCAAUGAAGUGCCUAUAGUAUCCAACUCAAAAUAAGACAACUUAAGCCCCAUUAGCCAACAACCCAUAUUUUGUGUACAUCUUGAUGAGAUUAUUUUGUGAGAAAAUGUCAUGAAACAAUCCCAAUUUGAUAAUCUAGGCAUGUAUUUGAGUUAAAAAUAAAUUUCUAUUCUAUAGAUCAAAGAAUAAAAUCAUGUUUGAAAAUUAUUUUUAAAAACUUAUUUAGAGCAAAAAUAGUUUUCUAACAUAAAAAUAAUUUUUUAACUGAGAAAAUAUAUUUGAAAUUAUUUGAUAGAAAAUUGGGCAUGUAUUUGACUUAAAAACAAAUUUCUAUUCUAUAGCUCCAAUAAUAAAAUCAUGUUUGAAAAUUAUUCUUAAAAACUUAUUUAGAGCAAAAAUGGUUUUCUAACAUUAAAAUAAUUUUUUAAUUUAGAAAAUAUAUUUGGAAACAGUUGAUAGAAAACUGGGCAUGUAUUUGACUUAAAAAUAAAUUAUUAUUCUAUAGAUCAAAGGAUAAAAUCAUGUUUGAAAAAUAUUCUUAAAAACUUAUUUAGAGUAAAAACAGUUUUCUAACAUAAAAAUAAAUUUUUAACUUAGAAAAUAUAUUUGAAAACAUUUGAUAGAAAACUUUUUUUUUUAAUGUCAAUAAGUUGUCUUUUUGUUAAUUUAAUUGUAAUCAAUUUUCUUAUACGCAUUUAAAAGUAUAUAUUAUCAUAUUUAGUAAUAUUUUGAUUAUUAGGCAAAUUAUCAUUUUUGAGAGGAAUUUUUGUAGCUCUCAUAAUUAUAAUUGUAUUUUAAUAACCACUUCCAAUAAAUAAAAAAAAGAAAAAAAAAGUUAGACAAUUAUCAAAAUCUGAUUUUUAGGAUUUUAAAAAAAUCUACAAGCCAAAACUAUUUAUAAUUUUGAUCAUGUGAGAACACUUCUUUUUUAAUACUUUGAGUUAUUUUGUUUUUUUUUUUUCUUAGUAUCUGAAAGUAUAAAAGAAUUUCUCAUAUAUGUGCAUGUGUGUUCUCAUGGUUGUUUAUGUCAUGUCUUAUUAAAGAAUGAAGUGAAGUUUCCUUUGAGUGGAAGGUUUUAGUCCACGCUAGUCAGUGGACACGGUAUGAAUAGUUUGGGUGGGUUGUAUCUAUGGUAAAAAAAUAAUAAAAGACAACUUUUGCAAGUCUCCAAGUUGGUUGAGAUACAUGAUGUCAUGUUGACUAGACCUUGACUUUUGCAAGUCUCCUAGUUUCCAACUUUUUUUUCUUUUUUUUUUUUAAUAUUAAGGUGUGGGGCCAUGAACUCCUUUCUUUCCUUUUUAAAUAACAAAAAGGAAGAUAAUUUUAUUGUGAGAAGGCUAUUGCUACCAAUUGUGUUCACGUCGAGAAUUUUUUAAUUUACGGAGGCCAUAUAUAUAUAUAUUUAUGUCUAAUUUAGGAGGGUAAUUUGGGUUUGUCUAAUCUAUUCCAUUUAAUCAUACUAUACAAUCAUUUUUUUUUAUUUGGAUUAUUCUUGUAUUAAAUUUCUUCAACCCAAAUUUUGUUGAAAAGUUACAAUGUAUUAUUGAAAAUAUGACUUGGUAGUUGAUUAUGGAUAUGUGUCAUUUUUAGUAUAAAAAAAAAAUAAAUCUAUAACAUUUUAUAUUGAUAAUAUAUUAUUCUUGUAACAGGUUUGAAUAAUAAGCAAGUCAUUGUCAAAGAAGUUAUUGAAAGUGUAAGUGUACAUUUAUUUAUUGCAUGCUCUUAUAUUGUAUCAAUUGUAAGGAAGAUAAAAUUACCUUGUAAAGGUAAUUAAAUCUUUCUAUAUUUUAAAAACUUUUUUCCUAUAUACUAUGCUUUUGAAGCUUGUUUAAUUAAACAUAUUAGUUAUUUGACAAACUUUUCACAAAUGUUUUGUAUACUUAUGUGUUCUAUUUUGUUCCAUAGUUUUAUUGCAUAAUACUAAUGUAUAUUUUUUCACAAACUUUUUACAACUAUUUUGUGUACUAAUGCAUAUUAAGUUUUGUUCUUGCCUAUAUAAGCUACAUUUAGUUAUUUAAAUAUAUCUAAUAUUAUGUUGAAGAAAGAUGUACUUACUUAACUUUUUUUAUUCUAAAUAUUAACAAGUUUUUCAGUUCUCUUGUCUCGAGAUUGAAUGUCAAAAGAUAGAAGGUCAGUUGAGUAUGAUGAAAGAGUUGAAAACUUUAUCAAUUUUGCAUUAGCACAUUCAAUCAACCAUUCCCCUAUAAAAUGCCCAUGCUUACGUUGUGCAAAUCUGUUAUGUCAAACUCUUCAAGUCAUUACAGAACAUUUGUUCUUUAAUGGAAUCGAUCUUAGUUAUCGAGUAUGGUAUUGGCAUGGAGAAAAUGGACCCAGUGGAGGAUUUUCAAAUGUCUCACAACAACAUUAUGACAAAUGCAAGUAUAAUGAUGUUGUUGACACAAUAGAUAUGGUUAAUGCUGCACAAGUUAAUUGUAUGAAUGAUCCCUAAGUGUUUGGAAGGUUACUUGAAGACGCAGAAAAACCUUUAUAUCUUGGAUGCAUGAAAUACACAAAGUUGUCAGCAUUGGUAAAACUUUACGACUUGAAAGCAUGUUAUGGUUGGUUUGACAAAGGAUUCUCAAAAUUGCUUCAGUUGCUUGGAGAUAUGUUGCCAUUGAAUAAUGAGAUGUCAUUGUCCAUGUAAGAAGCUAAAAAUACUUUUAGUGCACUUGGGAUGAAUAUAACAAAAUUCAUGCAUGUUCUAAUGAUUGUAUUUGGUAUAGAAACCAGUAUAAGGAUGCUAUUGCAUGCCUAACUUGUGGAAAGUCAAGGUGGAAGAUAAACAAUGAGGGGAAAAAGAUUAAGAAGGGGCUUCCUUCAAAGGUUUUAUGGUAUUUCCCACCAAUCCCUAGAUUCAAAAGGAUGUUCCAAUCCUCAAAAACCGCUAAACAUCUUAUGUGGCAUGCCAAGGAUAAAGAAUAUGACGGUAAACUAUGCCACCCAUCAGACUCCUUAGCGUGGAAACUAGUUGACCAUAUGUGGCUUGAUUUUGCUUCUGAACCGAGGACCUUAGACUAGCACUCUCAACAGAUGGUACAAAUCUUCAUAAGUCUAUAAGCAAUAGACAUAGUUGUUGGCCUGUUAUACUGAUCAUAUACAACCUUCCUCCUUGGUUGUGCAUGAAAAAGAAGUUUAUGAUGCUAUCAUUAUUGAUCUCAGGACCACGACAACCUGGUAAAAAUAUAGAUGUUUACUUGAGUCCAUUGGUAGAUGACCUUAAAACUUUGUGGGAAAAAAAAGUUAAGACUUAUGAUGCACACUUGCUUGAGGUUUUUACUUUAAAGGUCAUCAUUUUAUGGACAAUCAGUUAUUUCCCUACAUAUGAAAACUUGGCCAAUUGCACCGUGAAAGGAUAUUAUGCAUGUCCAAUAUGUGGAGAAGGAACAUAUUCCCAAAGAUUAAAGUAUGGUAGGAAGAACUUGUAUAUGGGUCACCGACGAUUUCUUCCACGUAACCAUCCCUAUUGGAGACAAAAGAAGGCACUCAAUGGUGAACAAGAUUUUAGAAUUCCUCCUAAAAUUUUGAGUGGAGAAGAAAUACUUGAAAAAGUUGAUCUCAUUCCUAUUUCUUGGGGAAAAAUGAAGAUAAAAUCUCUUGAACUGAUGUGAACACAAAUUGUUGGAAAAAAAAGUCCAUAUUUUUUUAGUUAGAAUAUUGGAAAUAUCUUCAUAUCUUUCACAACUUGGAUGUUAUGCACAUCGAAAAGAAUGUCUGUGAGAGUAUUAUUGGUCCUUUGUUUAACAUCCUAGGAAAAAAAAAAUGGACUUAAUGCUCAACUUGACCUAGUUGAAAUGGGUUUAAAGUCUGAACUUUUCCCAAGAGUUGACUUGAAGCGGACCUAUCUUCCCCCUGCAUGUUAUUCACUAUCCAAACAUAUAUGACAAAAAAUUAGUUUGUCAAACAUUGUCUAAUUUGAAGGUCCCUGAGGGGUAUUGCUCAAAUUUGAGAAAUCUUGUCUCCUUAGAGGAAUUGAAGUUAUUUGGUUUAAGAUCCCAUGACUACCAUGCACUUAUGCAACAACUAUUGCUAGUGGCAUUACGUUUUGUUUUGCUAAAGCAUGUGAGAUAUACUAUAUCAAGAUUGUGUAUCUUCUUCAAUCAAUUAUGUACAAAAAUGGUUGAUGUGCCAAAAUUGGAUGAAGUACACAAUGAGUUAGUGGUCACGCUGUGCUUACUUGAAAAGUAUUUUUCACCUUCAUUUUUUGAUAUUAUGCUUCAUCUAGUAGUGCAUUUGAUAAGGGAGGUGUGACUAUGUGGUUCAGCUUACUUUAGGUCGAUCUACCCAUUUGGGAGGUAUAUGAAAGUUCUUAAAGAAUUGUUCGCAAUCAUAAUUGGCCUGAAGGAUGCAUUACUAAGUGCUAUUUAGUAGAAAAAGCUAUCGAAUUUUGUACUGAAUAUUUAUUAGGGACUUAUGCAAUUGGAAUUCCAAAAGCAACAAUUAUGACAACAAAUUUCGUAGACCUAUUGAUUACUACUCAAAAAGUGCUAUUUGAUAGCUUGUAAUUAAUCCUUUUAAACACUUUUGAGUAGUAGUUAUUGCCUUUUAACCCAAUUAACAUGUUAAGGACCCUUGCAAUCAUUUCUUAUCAAAUUGUGUAAGUUUUGGUGUUUUUGUUAGUAAUUUGAUCACCAAAACAAUCCAAGAUUGAGGAGAGUUAUUUGGAAUCCAUGGCAAAGCAAUGAAGAGCUCAAAUUCAUGAAGAACCAAGCUUUGGAGCUCCAUAGCCCUUUGCCAAAGUCGUUCAAAGUAUGCAAGGAAAGAGCACUGGAGAGAGGAAAAACAGAGUGAAGAAAACAGAGGAAAGCUAGAUGUAGUCUUCUUUCACACUUUUGGAGCAAUUUCCGAAGUCCAUUUUCUACAUUCGAUAUACCAUUUCAAAGCUCAGGAAGUCAAGAAUCCAAUGCUUCAAACGGUGCAUGAUUCGGAGUUGAAACGAAGGAGUUACAGCCAUUGCAAGCAGAUCACUCCAAAGUGUUGCGAAAUCAGCCUUUUGUUGCGAGAAUUUCGCAGCCUUUUUGUACAGUGCUAUGGAAUUCCUCCUAAAGUUGCCCGAUAUAUGCCGCAAGCUGGAAGCUGAGAACAUCAAGGUGGAAGCCAACUUCGCAGCCCUACGAGAAUAACUUGUUGAUGCGAAAAUAUUUCGCAGCCCUCUUGAGUGUCUGCGAAAUCUCGCAGACACCAUUUUCACCUGCGAAAUGUUCCUGGAGCUUCCCGAUAUUUUUGCACCGACUCUUUUGGAUAUUUUUCUUCAGAUAUUUUUGUAUAAAUUUCCAUUCUUCUCCUUGUAAGCCACGAACCAUAAGAUUUCUUAGUUAGGAAGGUUGGAAAAACAUCUCUAUAUAUAUUCCUUUGCAUCCACUGUAAUCAUAUAUCAUAUAUAGAAUAUACAGAGCCUUGCUCUGUUUUUCCUUCUCUUUCAUUUUUCAUUUAUUUUUAUUUCUAGCCAACCAAACUUUGAGGAUUUUUCCACAGAGGAUGAGAGGCUAAGCUUUUUGUCUCUUGGAGUGAGGAAAGCCGGGUAAGUUUCCACAUGCAUAAUUUGGAAGUUUUGUUGUUUUAGUUUUUAAUGAAGAGAAAGUGUGACCCGUUAGUGAUUUCUAUGUUUUUAGUUAACUUAAAACGCCUUUAAAUCACCUGGGCCAACACUUGGUAAGGCAAGUGAUUUCCAACCAUGGAAAUGCACUAGUUUACCCCUUGCGAGCCUUUGGGAGGUGACUUGAAGGUAGGAUUUUCUAGAAUAGCCAACACUUGGUAAGCUUUUGGACUCCAAGGAGACAUCCAUUAGUUAUCUCUUGCGAGCUUUUGACGGGUAAUCCAAGGUUAAAGAUCACCUUGAAUGGCAAGUGCUAGGUGAGAGGUAUGAGUCAUUGUAAGAUGCAUCAGUGAGAGGGAUUUAGUGAUUGAACCCAUUAAUGGGAAGCAUCUGUACAACACCGGUUAGAGAAUUAACUAUAUGUUAAUUCUCUAAUGCGAGGAAAAUAAACAAGUGACCGGAACUCUCCAUUUUGUAUGAGGAACAAGCCUAGUGAUCUGAACUCCAAGAAACACUUUUCUUUGUAGUUAAAACCAGUUACUAUUUUUUGUUAGCUUAAAACCAAACCUUUUUCAUUUAAACAUCUUUAUGUUUCUUUUAAAGCUAACCUUGAAAUGAAAAGGCACCAAUUCAGCUUUGAAUUGAUAUCAUUUGUGAAGUGAAAACCCAUCCCAGUGAACGAUCCUAGAGCCACUAUGCUAUAGUAGCUUUGUCUUUGCUACCCUAGUUCAUGGUGUAAUAGGUUAUAAAUUUUGUUGAUUACUCCCUCAAUCAAGGAGCACCAGCUGGACACGAAUCAGCUGAGACACCAAGUGGGCNNNNNNNGUUCAUGGUGUAUUAGGUUAUAAAUUUAGUUGUUUACUCCCUCAAUCAAGGAGCACCAGCUUGACACGAAUCAGCUGAGACACCAAGUGGGCACGAAUCAAAUGGCGCCAUUUGCUUCGUCCGUAGCAGUGGCAGUGGCAAUGGCACCAUUUGAUUCGAGGUUCAAUCCCAGGCAACGGCGCCAUUUGAUUCGUCCCUAGCAGUGGCAGUGGCAAUGGCACCAUUUGAUUCGAGGUUCAAUCCCCGGCAGCGGCGCCAUUUGAUUCGUGUCCACUUGGUGUCUCAGCUGAUUCGUGUCCAGCUGGUGCUCCUUGAUUGAGGGAGUAAUCAACAAAAUUUAUAACCUAUUACACCAUGAACUAGGGUAGCAAAGACAAAGCUACUAUAGCAUAGUGGCUCUAGGAUCGUUCACUGGGAUGGGUUUUCACUUCACAAAUGAUAUCAAUUCAAAGCUGAAUUGGUGCCUUUUCAUUUCAAGGUUAGCUUUAAAAGAAAACAUAAAGAUGUUUAAAUGAAAAAGGUUUGGUUUUAAGCUAACAAAAAAUAGUAACUAAUUUUAACUACAAAGAAAAGUGUUUCUUGGAGUUCAGAUCACUAGGCUCGUUCCUCAUACAAAAUGGAGAGUUCCGGUCACUUGUUUAUUUUCCUCGCAUUAGAGAAUUAACAUAUAGUUAAUUCUCUAACCGGUGUUGUACAGAUGCUUCCCAUUAAUGGGUUCAAUCACUAAAUCCCUCUCACUGAUGCAUCUUACAAUGACUCAUACCUCUCACCUAGCACUUGCCAUUCAAGGUGAUCUUUAACCUUGGAUUACCCGUCAAAAGCUUGCAAGAGAUAACUAAUGGAUGUCUCCUUGGAGUCCAAAAGCUUACCAAGUGUUGGCUAUUCUAGAAAAUCCUACCUUCAAGUCACCUCCCAAAGGCUCGCAAGGGGUAAACUAGUGCAUUUCCAUGGUUGGAAAUCACUUGCCUUACCAAGUGUUGGCCCAGGUGAUUUAAAGGCGUUUUAAGUUAACUAAAAACAUAGAAAUCACUAACGGGUCACACUUUCUCUUCAUUAAAAACUAAAACAACAAAACUUCCAAAUUAUGCAUGUGGAAACUUACCCGGCUUUCCUCACUCCAAGAGACAAAAAGCUUAGCCUCUCAUCCUCUGUGGAAAAAUCCUCAAAGUUUGGUUGGCUAGAAAUAAAAAUAAAUGAAAAAUGAAAGAGAAGGAAAAACAGAGCAAGGCUCUGUAUAUUCUAUAUAUGAUAUAUGAUUACAGUGGAUGCAAAGGAAUAUAUAUAGAGAUGUUUUUCCAACCUUCCUAACUAAGAAAUCUUAUGGUUCGUGGCUUACAAGGAGAAGAAUGGAAAUUUAUACAAAAAUAUCUGAAGAAAAAUAUCCAAAAGAGUCGGUGCAAAAAUAUCGGGAAGCUCCAGGAACAUUUCGCAGGUGAAAAUGGUGUCUGCGAGAUUUCGCAGACACUCAAGAGGGCUGCGAAAUAUUUUUGCAUCAACAAGUUAUUCUCGUAGGGCUGCGAAGUUGGCUUCCACCUUGAUGUUCUCAGCUUCCAGCUUGUGGCAUAUAUCGGGCAACUUCAGGAGGAAUUCCAUAGCACUGUACAAAAAGGCUGCGAAAUUCUCGCAACAAAAGGCUGAUUUCGCAACACUUUGGAGUGAUCUGCUUGCAAUGGCUGUAACUCCUUCGUUUCAACUCCGAAUCAUGCACCGUUUGAAGCAUUGGAUUCUUGACUUCCUGAGCUUUGAAAUGGUAUAUCGAAUGUAGAAAAUGGACUUCGGGAAGUGCUCCAAAAGUGUGAAAGAAGACUGCAGCUAGCUUUCCUCUGUUUUCUUCACUCUGUUUUUCCUCUCUCCAGUGCUCUUUCCUUGCAUACUUUGAACGACUUUGGCAAAGGGCUAUGGAGCUCCAAAGCUUGGUUCUUCAUGAAUUUGAGCUCUUCAUUGCUUUGCCAUGGAUUCCAAAUAACUCUCCUCAAUCUUGGAUUGUUUUGGUGAUCAAAUUACUAACAAAAACACCAAAACUUACACAAUUUGAUAAGAAAUGAUUGCAAGGGUCCUUAACAUGUUAAUUGGGUUAAAAGGCAAUAACUACUACUCAAAAGUGUUUAAAAGGAUUAAUUACAAGCUAUCAAAUAGCACUUUUUGAGUAGUAAUCACUCCCCCCAACCGACAUAUUGCUAGUCCCUUAGCAAUGAAGGAGAGAAAAAUAAAAAUAAACAAUACUAUAAUUUACAACAUCAUGCUGAUCAAAAAACAAUUUUCAAGUGGCAUGAUGAUCUAACUCUCACAUGGAACAUUAAAGAAAUAAAACUCAAACUUCAACAAGAGUUAUCAAAUAACUUGUCUAAUCACAAUUCUUAAAGAGAAGGCAUUAUGCAAAUUUAAGCUUUAAAAUCAUUUCCACUUCCAAAGGAUCAAACCUUACUCUUCCACAAAAAUCUAAGUGUUAUUUAUUAGCUUCCGAAUAUAGUAUGUUGAACUAAUCUCUCCCCCUCAACCUAGUUCUUUUUCAAAGCUUAGCAAACUAAUCAACCUCCAAUAGGCUAAGAACGCACCUCUUUUUUCAUAAUUUUUUUCAUUGUAGGAGUACAAGGCUUAAAGGUAUUCUUUUCUAAAUUGUCCAUGUAACGGGGGUCCAUCGAUGACUCCCAACCAAUUAAGGUUUAGGGCAUCAAGCUUUAAGGAUCUUUCAACCACUAACUCCUCGGAUUUUACCCCGGACUUUUGAGAAUGAAUUUUUAAUACCCAAGCACCUACAGUAUGUUAAACUCCACCUAUUCACCCUUGUAACGAGCAUUGAGGUCGGUGACUCCCAACCAAUGAAGGCUUAGGGCACCAGGUUUUAAAGAUUUUCACCAUAUACCCCUCAGACCUUGCUCGGGUUUCAAGGCAAGCAAACAUUUUUUUUUUUUUUUUUUCAAAGACUCAUUGGCCUUUUAUAAGGUGUCCCAACACUAUUAAAUGAGGUCAAAGGUACCAAGUCUAAAAUUUUCCUAAGUCAAGAGGGAAAUAGUUUUUCAUCUUAUACUCGGAACCUAUUGUGCACAGUGUGUGGAUAGCUUAAAGUGGAAGAACUAAGGUUGACUUCAAUAGAAGUUUCAACAAUUCAUCAACUUUAAUAAGCAUAAUACAAAAUCUAAGUCAAGUAAAAAGACAAAAAUUCAAUUUCUCCAAUUUUAGUUUGAAAAUUUUUCCUUAAUAACCAUGGAGAGUAGAAUAAAAACUUUAAAAUUUUUUUAAAUUAAGCAAAAAACAACUAAAUUACCAAAAUAACUUAGCAUUAUUAACAAUACUUACUUCCUCAACUCUCCCCCCAACCAAGCUGAACAUUGUCCUCAAUGUGACAAAAGCGAUUGAAAAAUAGGGAGGAAGUGGUACCUCUUGAGUGACAUGGAGUCUGAGUUGUAUAGGAGAAACCACAUGUUUCAAAGAAAACAUAAGAGUUAGUGAGUAGAAGAAAUAGAAAAAUGCCAAGUUUAAACAAAAAUGAUGUCUAUGUAUGAUGUAUCAUCAGUAACACAUCCAAUUCCAAAAUAUAAGACAUCAAAACAUGGAAUUAUCUAUACUAAUAUAAUAUGUAAAGACAAAAAUAAAGAGAUGAUCAAGCAAUGGUAAGGUCCUGUGGAGCUGAUGCAUCUAUGGUGGCCUCUUGAGUGGGUUGGAUAAGGACUUUGACCUCUGUUCUGGUAGUCUCCUUAGGUGGCAUAGUCUCCUCAACUGGAGCUCUCAGUUGGUAGCUAUGGGAUUUGAUGGUUUAAGGAGGUAAGAAAUGGAGUGAGAGGCUUGGUGUGUGUGAUCCCAGGGUAUGCAGGGCUCUCCUUUUCAGAUGCAUGUUUGCAGGGCUCUAUUGGCAUUUUAGUAACUUCCCUUGGCUUUGCAAAGUGUUUUUGCAAAUCACCCUCCAUUUCACAAGUCAAUUUUGCAAUUUAAAGUCCAUUUUGAAGCUUGGAGGUGAUUUCACAGCCCUUUCGAAGCUUGGAGAUCAUUUCGCAGAAAAGUGGCAUGUUCACUGACCAUUUUUGAAGCUUGGAGCAUUUUCGCAGCCAUUCUGAAGCUUGGAGAUCAUUUUGCAGAAAAGUGGCAUUUUCGCAGACCAUUUUUGAAGCUUGGAGCAUUUUCGCAGCCAUUUCGAAGUUUGGAGAUCAUUUCACAGGCAAUGGGCAAUUCCGCAGCCCAUUUCUGAAGCUUGGAGCAUUUUCGCAGCGGGGGGUGGAUUUCACAGAGGAGGGGAAUUCUCGCAGCCCAUUUCGUAGCUUAAAAGUAAUUUCAUAGCUCAAAGGUGAUUUCGCAGCCAUAUCGCAGCUUCAAAAUGAGGGGAACUGUGCUGCAAAUGGCACUCGUGUGCCAAAAAGUGGUUUCGUAGCUGCGAAACACCCUUCCAAAUGGCGUCUCGGCUGCGAAAUUCCCGUUCAGCUUUGCGCGCUUGUCUUCAAAUGACCAUAACUUCUUUAUUUCAAAUCCAAAUCGAGUACCGUUUGAAGCUAUGGACUCCUGACUUCCCAAGAUUUGAAACGAGAUAUCAUAUGCAUAAUUUGAGCUCCAGGAAGUGCUUCAAAAAUGUGUCCAACAGUAGCAAAAUUGAGGUGCGACAUUUCCGCUCAUGGUUUGCACAGUCAUCUUCAAACAGCCAUAACUUUUCUGUUUCAAAUCCAAAUCGAGCACCAUUUGAAGAUAUGGACUCCUGACUUCCCAAGCUUUCCAACGAGAUAUUGCAUGCAUAAUUUGAACUUCGGGAAGUGAUCGAGAUGUGCCCAACAAUUGCCAAAAUGAGGGUGCGGCUGUGAAAUUGGGAUUUUUCAAUUUUGGGUUUCGCAGCCAUUUUCGCAGCUGCGAAAUGGCACUCGUGUGCCAAAACCAGCUUCGCAAUUGCGAAAUACCCUGCGGAAUGGGGCUUUGGCUGCCAAAAAAAAUGAAUUUUUUUUUUUUUUUUUUUUUUGGUUUCGCAGCCAUUUUCGCAGCUGCGAAAUGAGGGUUACUGUGCUGCGAAAUGGCACUCGUGUGCCAAAAGUUGGCUUCGCAGCUGCCAAACACCCUUCCAAAUGGAGCUUUCCCUACGAAAUGGAGGAUUUCAUGCUUUGGUGGUUCGCAGCCGCUUUCGCAGCUGCGAAAUGGGGGCUCCUGUGCUGCGAAGUGGCACUCAUAUGCCAAAAUUGGUUUUGCAGCUGCCAAAAUUUUCGCAAAGAGGGCUAUUGGGUUGCGAACUGGUUUCGCAGCAAAAUUUCGAUUUCGUAGAGGCUGCGAUAUCUCGCAGACCCCUGUUUUUCCCCUAUUUCUCCCCUGUUUUCGCUCCGUUUGACUCCGAUUUUGCUCCGAUUUUUUUCCUUCAAUUUCUUUGCAAUUCCUCUUGAUUUUGAUCAUCCAAAAACCUAUAUUACAUCAAAACAAACUAGAAUUAAAACAUUUAAAUCAAAAUUAAAGCAUUGAAAUCAAAAUUAAAACAAGUAAAAAAAAAACAAAACAAAAAGAUAUGGACUAGCUAGUCUUUAAAAAGACUAAGUCCAUCAAAAAAUUUGCUCCUGAUUUAGCUUGCCCGGAUCCCAUAUGAAGCUUGCAUCUCUCACUUGGGGCUUUCUCUGUAUGAUUUUCUCAUACAAAGCUUGGAGAAAAGUUAGAGGCACGUGUUUCAUCAUCAAUUCUUCCUUGAUGACUAUCCUCUGUGGUUCUUCAUCUAUAUAGUCAUCUUUCUCUGUACUUUUCCCCUUUUUCUUUCCUUUGAUUUCCUCCCUCUUUUCUUUCUCUGUUUCACUAUCUACCUUAUGCUCUAGCUUGCAUGUGGGCAGAUCAACCUCUUUACCACUCCUCAGAGUGAUCACUUCUUCAAUUUCCUUCACCAUUGAAGAUUCUCCCUCUUUAGUCUCCAUUUCAUGGAUACUCAUGGAAUUUUGAUAAGGUUGAGAAGGAGAGUUUUCUUUCUCUUGCAUUGUUUUGAGGUUGGCAAACCUUGAGAUUGAAUCUUGGAGAAUAUCUAACUUCUGAGCCAUAUCAUUUUGCAUUACAUCCAUCCUUUAUUCAAAGUACUCUCCAUUCUGUCAAUUCUUUGAUUGAUUUGAGCAUUGAUGGCUUCUUGCUUUCCAAUAAAAUCUCCCACGACCUUGCAAAGAUUCACCAUAGCUUGUUCAAGGAUUGAGGCUUGCUGUGGUGCUUGAGCAGGUUGCUGAUACUGAGGUGGCUGUGGUUUCCAAGAGAAAUUUGGAUGGUCCCUCCAAUUGGAAUUGUGGGUGUUGCAAUCACCAAACAUUUCCCUCUCGGAUGGAAUGGUAGGACACUCAUCCACCAAGUGCUCAUAUGAUCGACAAAUGGCACAAGGCAUAGCUUGCAAUGGUGUUUAAAAGAUGGUUUGCACUUCUUGCAUCUGGUUCAUUUCUAGCUCAUCCAAUCUCCUUUCCAUAGCUGCAAUCUCUGCCUUCAUGUCCAUGCCGUCAUUCAAAAUAUACAUCUCACCCUUAGCUUUAGGUUGAGACGUCAUUCUUCCCAUAUCUCUAGCAUUUGGUUCAUCCCAUCCUCUUGAAAAUUCAGCCACAUAACUCAUGAAGUUCAUGGCUUCCUCUGCUAUGUGGUUCAAUAUGGCAUGCACAACUAGCAAUUUGUGAUUUAAAAACAGAGAACACAAAAGAAAACAAAAGAAAAACAAUUCAAAGAAAGAAAAUUAAGGUAAACUAAAGACUAAAUAAAAGGUAUACUAAAAUAUGAACAACAAAGAAAUAAAAAGGGUUAGUGAAAGGAAAAGAAAAGUCACCAAACUUGUGAUGAAGAUCACAAGUACUCUAGAAAGGUGCAUUGUAAAGUGGCACCAUCCCCGGCAACAGCGCCAUUUGAUUCGUGCCCACUUGGUGUCUCAGCUGAUUCGUGUCCAGCUGGUGCUCCUUGAUUGAGGGAGUAAUCAACAAAAUUUAUAACCUAUUACACCAUGAACUAGGGUAGCAAAGACAAAGCUACUAUAGCAUAGUGGCUCUAGGAUCGUUCACUGGGAUGGGUUUUCACUUCACAAAUGAUAUCAAUUCAAAGCUGAAUUGGUGCCUUUUCAUUUCAAGGUUAGCUUUAAAAGAAAACAUAAAGAUGUUUAAAUGAAAAAGGUUUGGUUUUAAGCUAACAAAAAAUAGUAACUAAUUUUAACUACAAAGAAAAGUGUUUCUUGGAGUUCAGAUCACUAGGCUCGUUCCUCAUACAAAAUGGAGAGUUCCGGUCACUUGUUUAUUUUCCUCGCAUUAGAGAAUUAACAUAUAGUUAAUUCUCUAACCGGUGUUGUACAGAUGCUUCCCAUUAAUGGGUUCAAUCACUAAAUCCCUCUCACUGAUGCAUCUUACAAUGACUCAUACCUCUCACCUAGCACUUGCCAUUCAAGGUGAUCUUUAACCUUGGAUUACCCGUCAAAAGCUUGCAAGAGAUAACUAAUGGAUGUCUCCUUGGAGUCCAAAAGCUUACCAAGUGUUGGCUAUUCUAGAAAAUCCUACCUUCAAGUCACCUCCCAAAGGCUCGCAAGGGGUAAACUAGUGCAUUUCCAUGGUUGGAAAUCACUUGCCUUACCAAGUGUUGGCCCAGGUGAUUUAAAGGCGUUUUAAGUUAACUAAAAACAUAGAAAUCACUAACGGGUCACACUUUCUCUUCAUUAAAAACUAAAACAACAAAACUUCCAAAUUAUGCAUGUGGAAACUUACCCGGCUUUCCUCACUCCAAGAGACAAAAAGCUUAGCCUCUCAUCCUCUGUGGAAAAAUCCUCAAAGUUUGGUUGGCUAGAAAUAAAAAUAAAUGAAAAAUGAAAGAGAAGGAAAAACAGAGCAAGACUCUGUAUAUUCUAUAUAUGAUAUAUGAUUACAGUGGAUGCAAAGGAAUUUAUAUAGAGAUGUUUUUCCAACCUUCCUAACUAAGAAAUCUUAUGGUUCGUGGCUUACAAGGAGAAGAAUGGAAAUUUAUACAAAAAUAUCUGAAGAAAAAUAUCCAAAAGAGUCGGUGCAAAAAUAUCGGGAAGCUCCAGGAACAUUUCGCAGGUGAAAAUGGUGUCUGCGAGAUUUCGCAGACACUCAAGAGGGCUGCGAAAUAUUUUCGCAUCAACAAGUUAUUCUCGUAGGGCUGUGAAGUUGGCUUCCACCUUGAUGUUCUCAGCUUCCAGCUUGCGGCAUAUAUCGGGCAACUUCAGGAGGAAUUCCAUAGCACUGUACAAAAAGGCUGUGAAAUUCUCGCAACAAAAGGCUGAUUUCGCAACACUUUGGAGUGAUCUGCUUGCAAUGGCUGUAACUCCUUCGUUUCAACUCCGAAUCACGCACCGUUUGAAGCAUUGGAUUCUUGACUUCCUGAUCUUUGAAAUGGUAUAUAGAAUGUAGAAAAUGGACUUCGGUAAGUUCUCCAAAAGUGUGAAAGAAGACUGCAGCUAGCUUUCCUCUGUUUUCUUCACUCUGUUUUUCCUCUCUCCAGUGCUCUUUCCUUGCAUACUUUGAACGACUUUGGCAAAGGGCUAUGGAGCUCCAAAGCUUGGUUCUUCAUGAAUUUGAGCUCUUCAUUGCUUUGCCAUGGAUUCCAAAUAACUCUCCUCAAUCUUGGAUUGUUUUGGUGAUCAAAUUACUAACAAAAACACCAAAACUUACACAAUUUGAUUAGAAAUGAUUGCAAGGGUCCUUAACAAGUUAAUUGGGUUAAAAGGCAAUAACUACUACUCAAAAGUGUUUAAAAGGAUUAAUUACAAGCUAUCAAAUAGCACUUUUUGAGUAGUAAUCACCUAUAAUUAGUGGUCGUUCUACCAUCAUUGUUCAUAAAUCGUGGUUACAAGCACAUCAUUAUCUAUUAGAGAAUACAACUAUCGUCCAACCAUACACUGAGUAAGAAAAACAUACCUUUAUCUUUUUAUAAUUUCAUAACAUAAUGAUGAAAUCCUAAGUUUGCAUUCCUUGUCUUUAACGUCAUAGGGAACACAUGAAUUGGUUGAGGUCUCAAUACCCUCGACAAUCUAAUAGACAAAUUUGGUUGCAAGAAGAACAUAUGAGUUGUUUUACAUAUUGGCUUAAAGAAACGGUAAUCUCUUAGUUUUUAGAAAAAUUUUCAAUAUGUUGAAAACAUCACAAGUUUUCAAUAUGUUUUGAUUAUACAUAGGUUGAAGAGGCUAUCCAUAAUGGGCAAGAUAUUCCCGACACACUUAGGUGGUUAGCACAUGGCCCUACUCUCCAGGUAGUCAAAUAUCCUAGAUAUAUCGUUAAUGAGUGUCGUUACCAUAUUAAGAAACGCGAUAUGACAUGCAUCACCCAAAAUAGUGGUGUUAGCAUUUUAGCAAGGACUAUGCAAAUUGCCAAUUCUAAGGAUAAGAACCUAGUUUGUGGUGAACUUUGCUUUUAUGGGGUCAUUAAUGAGAUAUGAAAUCUUGAUUACAACAUGUUCACAAUUCUAAUUUUCAAGUGUGAUUAGGUUGACAACAAGAAUGGUAUAAAAGUUGAUGAACUUAGGUUCACAUUAGUUGACUUCUCCAAAAUAGGUCACAAAUUGGAUCCAUUUAUUUUAGCAUCACAAGCCAAGCAAAUCUUCUAUGUUGAAGAUCAACUUGAUCCUAAAUGGUCAAUAGUUCUCUCAAUUCCUCCAAAAGAUUUCAAGAACAUAGAAGGACUAGAUGACUUCACCAAUAAUUGCAUGGAACAUCACCCCUUUAUAAGUUCAAUGCCAGAAUUUGAAUCAUUUGAUGCUAUGGAUGAAUCAUAGGCAAUACACAUGAGAGAAAACUGUGAGGGCAUAUGGAUUGAAAAUAAUUAAAUAACAUAUUGUACCCUUGAAUGAGAUAUAAUAAGGCAUUUCACUUAUUAGUUUUCAUGAGUUGCACAUUAACUUAGCUUCUAUAUAUUGCUCAUGAUAUAUCUAUAUAUAUUAAUCAUCCUAAAUUUCUUUCAUGCAUCAUAAACAUAUGUUAUUCAAAGGUACCACUUCAAUCUUCAUUCAACUAUCUUUUUGUUGUCCAUAGAACUAGAUUUAUAUUAUUUUUUAUUAUCAUGUUUUGAUUUUAUGCUCACAUAACUUGAAACUCUCAUUCCUAAAUUUCUUUUUCAUUAAAACUAUAAAUCAUAAUUGAAACUAUGCACUAAUUUAUUUUAUUAUUAUCCUCACAAAUAAAUUCUUCAUUAUUGAUAAGAAAUCAAAAAACAAGACAAACUUUGAAAGAAAAUUUCAAAAAAUAUAUUUGUGAAUGACCAAUUUAAUUAUAGAAAAUAUAUGCAAGGCUAUACUAAUCUUGCUUUUGAGUCAUUUUACAGGUUUGUUGGUGAAGUACUAGUUUGCACAUUUACUUGAUAUCUUCCACACAAAUAUGGAUCUAGAAGAAGGGGAAAUGCCAAAAAUAAAGCAUAGAGGUAGUGCAUUGAAACCAAAGAUUGCAAAAAAUCGAAGUAAAGGGAUAAAGCUCAAGAUUGAAUACAAUAGCCUUGGUAGUCACAUUGAGGAAAAUUCAGUUAAACUAAGUAGUUAUCUUAGUACAAUAACUAGUACCCAUGUGCCAAUAAUUAUUGAGAGUUGGAGGAAAGUCCCUAAAGAGACUAAGGAGAAGUUGUGGGAUUUGAUCACGGUAAGCCUAUCUAUAGCUUUAAUAUAUAAUUAUUGUAUACAUUCAUUAACAUGAGCUAACAUGGGUUGCUAUUUUGUAGACAAGCUUUAAUGUGAAUAAAAAAUCCAAGAGGAAUUGUUUCAUACUAAUGGGCAUCAGGUUUCGAACCUUUAAGUAUAAGUUGACAAAGAAAUAUAUAUUGUCUUUCAAGAAUGACCAAAAAAGCUGAAAAAGUCACCUCCUAUUUGCCCAUUCAUACAAGAGGAUCAUUGGAGACAGUUUGUUAAAGAUAGACUUUUUGAACAUUUUAACGUUAAGCAUUAUUUUUAUUACAUCUUCAAUUUUCACAUUUACAUAGUUUCAUUAUGUACUAAUUUUGUGUCUAUAUUUUGUAGGAAUAUCGCAAAGUUCAAAAAUCAAGAAGAGAUAAACACAUUUACAAUCAUUAUCUUGGAAGAAAAUGAUAUGCACGUUUUGAGCAAGAUAUAGUAAGUUAUCAAUAUCCAUAAAAAAAAUGGAGUAUAUAUUUUGUUUAUAGGAAAAUGAUUCUAGUUUUUAAAUAUCAUUUAUUAACUUGAUCAUGUUGAACUAAUGAGUUUUAUUGUUAAAAAUUUUAUAGCUACAAGCAGAAGGGGCUAUUGGUAGGGUUGAUAGAAGUGUUUAUGAAAGAAAACACGUGAGAAGAAAGGAAAGUUUAAUAAGAUUACAAAGCUAAUGAUUAACUAAGUUAGCAUAUUUAUCUCUUUUAGAGCCUAUAAUGUUAGUAUGUCUAUGUGAUUAUGGUUUAGGAUGAUAUCGUUAGGUGUUAAUAGGGAAGAGGCUUAAUGCUAUCAUUUUUAUGAGUAGUCAUGUUCUAUUAGUGCAAAUAUAGUAGCCUAAUUUGAAAAUUAAUUUUGAAACAAUAUACAUUAAUUUAUCUAUUAUCAUUUUUAUUAAAACAAUUCAUUUUCUAGCUACCUUGAAUUGGUCCUCUUGAAUUGGUUGUCUUUGAUUGAUAUGUUAAUCAUCUUCAUCAAAUUAUUACUAAUAUAUGUUUUGUUGUAGGAUGAAUUACUAGAAAAGGCAAGGAGACUGGACUACCUCCACCUGGUCCAAAUGACAUAUUAUGUCAGGCAUUGGGUAAGCUUGAUCAUCUAGGACGUGUGGUAGGUCAAGACCACUUGGUUAGGCCGAACUCAUACUUUCAUCAACCAUUUGAUGACAUGAAAAAAAAUAAUCAAAGAAGAAAUAUGGGAAAUGGUGUGAAAGGGGAUGCAAAAUGCUGUAACAAGACAAACUAUGUCUCCUCCCACACCCCAUUCUGAUAUAGGUAGUAAUAACAUGAGACAACAACUUGUUUUACAACUAGUUGUAGCAAAAAAACCAAUGUUUAAAAUGAUGGAAGAGCCCUAACCACCAGAACCACCACUGAAACGUAAGGUAUACAUUUACUUACUAAUAAUACAAGAUUAAUAUAAGUGAUAUAUAGCCUAUGUAAAUGAUAUUAUUUGUUGUAUUAAAGGUGAUUAAAUAUAAAUUAGCAGUGGAAUGAAAAUGAAAUGUUGUUGCAACCAGUACAUUAAUAGAAGAAAAUUGAUCAAAUGGGUUGGUCGUAAUAAAUGUUGCACACAAGCUAGAUGCUAGACUCCCAUUUCCAAAUCCAUAUGAGAUUAUCAAUGUUGGGGAUUCUAUUGGCCUUAAGCUUGACUGGCCAACAAGCCUUGUCAUACUUGAAACUAAACAUCCUCGGGUAUGUCAUUUUAUACUUGUAGUAAAUUUGAUUGUAACUUGGUAUUUUAUUGUUUAGGAGUAUAUAUUACUAACAUUCCUUCAUUUUUCAUAAGUGUUGGAUAAAGGAAAGAAGUAGAUAGUGAAUGCACCAAUUAUUCGAAAAUCUAAGCCUCAAAAUUAUUCGGUCAUUAAAAAUUUUCAGAAAUUUAUGGAUGGUUGUCUUAGUAAUGAGAAGACAUACCCAAUACAACUCCCCAUUUCACUAUUUGGUGUCGAAUUCCGAACAUAUAUAUCUAGAGAGGAUUGUGAAUACAUUAUUUCAUCUUCAGAGGUGUCAUCAAAAUGCAUCUCCUUCCACUUAUGGUGUGCACCUUUUAUUUUCAUUUGUUUUUAUUUUUUUAAUAUGAGUUGCCCAUGUUGAACAAGAUUGGAUAUGACUAAUGAUAAUUUUCUUUUGGUGUUUUGAUAAUAUAAUAGGUACAUGCAUGAUCAACUACAUAUUGCCAAAAAGGAAUCACAAUUUAUAUUUGUUAAUCCUUUUACAAUAUCAUGAGCAGGCUUUAGUAAUCCUCAAACAGAGAAAAGAACACAAUUGUUGUCAAAACACUUAAUAGAGUGCCAAGAUGUCGGAUAUGUUUUCAUGCCCUACAACCCCGAGUAAGUGACGAAUAUUAUACUUUAAUUUGAGGUUUUAUGAUUGAUUUAUAUUUAUAAUUAGAUGCUACUUUUGUUUUUAAUGUUUUAGCUUUCAUUGGGUCUUGGUAGUGAUUGAGCCAAGGAAAAUGAUAGUCCACUAUCUUGACCCUAUGCAUCACAAACCAUGUGAGGACUUAAAGGAUAUCGUAAACAUGUAAGUUCUUCCUAUUAUUUUUCAUAGUAUUAUUUUAAAAAAAAUUACAUUCACCUCAAACACAUUUUUUAUUGUUAUUUCUAUAUAUUAAAACAUAUAAUAUUUACCUAUUUUAAAAUUGUACCCAUUGAACUUAUUUACAUAGGGCUCUUUAAAUAUAUGCAAAGAAAAUAUCUAAGAGAGAGCCAUCUUGGCAACUAGUGCAAGUAACAUCCAAAAAUUUUCUUUACACAUUUAGCUUAUGCAUUUGCACCAUUUAUAUAUAUGAGUACUAAUGUUAUUUUAUAACUGAUCGAUUAGUGUCCAAGACAAGAAGGAGGGUUCAAAUGUGACUACUUUGUUAUGAGAUUCAUUAAAGAGAUAAUUUUUUAUCCUACAAUGAUUGCUUCAAAGGUAUUACUUAUUUAAUGACUUGUACAUAUUUUUAGGCUUCCAAAUGUUAUGCAUUUUAAUGUUAUUUUCUUAUUUGAUUUCAGUUUGGUGAUAAAAAAAACAUAUUAUCAAGUAGAAUUCAAUGAAAUUAGAGGAGAAUUGACUACUUUUGUGCUACAACUAAUCAUGAAUCAUGUUGAUGCAUCAUGAUCACCAUGCAUGGUGAGUCCCUUAGCUACUACAUGAAUUUUUCCAUAGAUUAUAGUAUUGCUUUUCUUUGAACAAUGUUUUUAUUUGAAAAAAAGAAAAAAAAAAGUUCUUAGAUUUGUUCAUUUAUGAUAACAUCGAUCCAUAUUUAUUUUCUUCAAUNNNNNNNNNNNNNNNNNNNNNNNNNNNNNNNNNNNNNNNNNNNNNNNNNNNNNNNNNNNNNNNNNNNNNNNNNNNNNNNNNNNNNNNNNNNNNNNNNNNNGGUAUACACUCUUAGGAGGGUGGAAUAGAGAAUAAAAAGAACAAAGAAGGCAACAAGAUUUUGGGUUUUUAAAUGCAGCUCGUAUGUCAUACAUUGUAGGACAUAAACGUUACUUUAAUUGGUAGUGAGAAUUUUAGAUUUUUAGAUGCUACUUUUAUGUCAUUUUAUAGUUAGUCGGUUUUAUGCUUAUGAAAUGAAGGUAUACAUGAAUCUUGGGAUGCUUAACAUUACUAGAUCAUGUUUUGGUAUGUAUUCACUCUUCUUUUUUAGUUUUGGUGGGUUUGAUAUAUUGGAUGUACUAUCUUUUUGUGAACAUUUGAUAUACAAAUAUUAUUAGAUGAUCAAUGUAUUACGAGUUAUUCCAUAAACAUUACUGAAAAAUGAGUUAAAUGUAAUAUGAUUGUUAUAUUUAUGGACAAAAUAUACACAGGUUAAUCCUAUUUGUUAAUUCAUAAGCAUUACAAAAAUCUACAACUAAAAGCAAUCAUAUCUUCCAUGAUAAUUUACAAUGAUGUGACACCAUAACUCAAAGGUGAUGCAUUUAAUGUGACAUCAUAACUCAAAGAUCAUGCAUUUAAUGCGACAUCCUAUCAUCACUAGAAAUAUAUGAUGUCACUUUCGAAUGCGUUACCAUUUAUCUACUUUGGUGUCACUUACAAAUACGUCACCAAUUGGUACCCUCUAUGGUGUCAGUGGAGAAGGUGACACUAUGUUGUAGUGACACCCUAUGUUUAUGGUGACUCGUUAUAAAUGUCACCAUAUAUCUUUUUUCUUGUAGUGCAAAUUACUUAUCUUACUAUGCAUUGGGCUUUGAUAUUAGCCAGAGACAGUAGUGGCUCCUAAUUUUUAUCCUUAACUGAAAUGAAAACGUUAAGCAGGUCCCCAGCCUCUUUUUCGCCAUUCUUCCACUAUUCUACUAUUUGGUCCAUGAUUGGAUCAUGGUACUUGUUAAUGGUGUUCAUAGCCUCCCAUAUAGUCUUUUCAUGGCCAUCUAAAUUCAGCACUCUCUGCCAUGGGAAGUAAUCAGAUAAAGAGAAUACAUAUAGAUGAGCAAGUAUAGUAAAGAAGGAUUCAACAUGUUGCUCCACUUCAACUCUAGGGCCUCCAUCUUUCUUUCGUUCGCCAAAGUAUCUUGUGUUGAGGAUCAUCUUUCAGAUGACAUUCCCGUUGUAUUGACGGACUUUAUUUCUGUCACACCCCAAAUACUAGGCAACCCAGAACUUGACUCGUGGCCCUAGGUCAAAGGUUUGACCCUAAGAGUUACUCUUAUCCAUGUUGGCAAUCAAUCAAAACACCCUAGAUUUUUUUUCUUUUCAAUAAAGCGUUUAAUCCUAAAUAAAUUUAUUAAGCUAAGAUUUACUAUAACAUAUCAUUUUAUUUUUCCAAAACUAACCAUCACAUUAUCUCCUGUUCACAAGUAUUAAAAAAAUAAAAUUCCACCAAUCAUCUUCCUACCCAAAAGCUCAAAUAUUUACAAUAAUCUCUAAGUCAAAAAGAAUAUUUCCAAAAAUGUUUUACAAACUAAUAAAAUAUAAUUUAACUUAAAAAGGUCCAUAUAACUCAAAUUAGUAGAUGUCAAAAAGGUAAUUAAAAAAAAACAACAACCAUUAUUAUGGUUUUUUUGCUUUUUAGAACACUUCAUGAUCUUCUUAUGGUCCCUUAGAAACUAUAUCUGCAUCUAAAAAUUUUAGAAAAUAAAGGGAUGCACAUUUCCACGUUACUCUUUAGACCUAGACGAGUUAGAAAUUCUAGGUCAAUAAAACACAACCAUAUGCCAAAAUAUAAUAUUACAUUUACAUUAUACACACUAAAAGAAACCUCAACCAUACAAAUUUAAAUCAAUCAAAAUUAUCAUUUUCCUUAUUUAAUCAUAUGUUUAGCAUAUCAAUAAUUUUAAAUUUACAAAAUAAAUAAGUCACUUUAGUCUUGAAUAAUAUAUUCAAACAUACACUUGAUAAAUAAUACAAAUCAUUUUUCCAAAUGCAACCAUGAUACAAAUGCUUACACACAAUCGCGCAAUGCAAUAUCGUUCUCGGGCUUUCACCGAAGGAUAUGCAUUUAUACCCAAAUACACUCCCCAUUCGGAGUCUUCCUGGGAUAAACUUUUGAGUAUUUCACCCUAAGGAUCUCACUCCCUUCUUAACUCACCAUCUCUAGGGUCAUUCAAUUUCUUAUUUUUCUUUUCUUUUCAUUUUUGCCAUUUUUGGGGUCUUUUCAUUCUCAUUUCCAUUUCACACAACCAUUUCUUUAAUUUUUCUUUUUCUUCACACAAUCAUGAUGCAUAUGAAAUGCAAUUGAAUCAUAUUUUAACAUACAUAAUUUUCCAAGACAUAAUUUUAUUUACUCCCAUUAUGUUUCAUAAUUUCCAAUAAUCCACACAACGAUUUUUCUUCACUUUAAUCGUCACAAACAUAAAAGAAAAUUCACAAUUAAUUUGUAUAGCAUCAAAACAUAGUUUUAAACAUUGACCACAUAAAUUCUAUUUAUUCCCGACAUGCUUAAUAAUUUCCAAAUCCAAUAUAACCAUUUUUUUUCAAUUAAAUAAUCACACAUAUCCAAGAAAAUUCUCGCUAAUACAAAUAUCAACGAAAAUGUAAUUUAUGUCAUAAUUUAUUUGUCUCCAAUAAUUUCAAAAAUUUUGACACCCAUAUGACAAAUUUCCACAAUUAAGCCACCCCAACAUUUGGGAAAAAUUUUCCAAUAAUUCAAAUAUCAACAAAAACCCAAUUUAUAUCAUCAUUUUAUUUAUUUUUAAAAGCAUUAAUAAUUUUAAUAAUCAAUACAACACUUUUCCACAAUUAAGCCACCACAACAUUCUGGGAAAAUUUUCCAAUAAUUCAAAUAUUAACAAAACACAAUUAUACCUUAGUUUUUCUUAUCUCCAACAACAUCAAUAAUUCUUAGUACUCAAUACAACUAUUUUUAUUUUUUCAUAUUUAAUCUUCUCAAACAUUACCAAAAUUCCAAGAAAAAUCUAUAAAUCACGAAAUAAAAUUAUUCACAAUAAUAAUCACACUUCAAAUACUACAAAUAACAUCUAUUAUAUUUCAACAACACAAUAUAUAAAUUUUUUUGAAAGAAAAUAUUAAAUCAAAGUUUUAGGGUUAAAUCACCCUACCUUAAAUUUGAAAAUUUUAACCAUUAAAACUAAAACGGGACACCGUAGGAGUGUUCCUUGCAUUGAAUAGAAUAUCCUUCCAAAAUUUCAUGCGAAAUGGACGUCAUUUGGUAGGUCCACCAGCAUCCUAAAGCUGGCGACCCAUUUUUCCCACUCUUUGCUGAUGACUCCCCUACAUCUCUCACUCGAUUUCCUUUCUUCAUUUUCUUUUCUUCUUCUUCUUUUAAACUCCCACGCCAAUUUCACUUUAUAUAUAUAUAUAUAUAUAUAUAUAUAUUAUUAAAACAAAUCCUAAAAUACCACGCACAUCCAUUUCUCAAUAAAUUAAAACCAUUAUUCUUAAAUUCAUCUUCCGUAAUUAUGAAUUAUACCAAACUUAUGAUUUUCCAUUUCACGAAAAAUACCACCGUAUUCGUAAUUUAAUUUACUACAAGUCUACUCUUCAAAAAGUAUAAUUUGAUUAUAAUUACAUGAAACAUUGUUUUUUUACUCUAAAAUUCAUUUAAAACAUGAUAUAAUUAACUAUUAAAAAAAUUUAAUUCCAUAAAAUAUUAAAAACAUAAAAUAAUUUUUUGGCAAUCAAGAAGUUGAAAUUUGUAAUAACCUUUAACCUGUUAAUUUUACCUAUAUUUAUUUACCAACAAAAAUUUAAAUAAUAUUCUAAAAUUUAAUUCCAUAAAUUAAUUAGUCAUUCAAUUUAUAAAAAUCAAAUUCUCUACCCUUUGGUAUAACUUUUAUUUAAUUUACUUCAUUUUUCAAAUUAUUCAAUCGCAUCAAAAUUUCAAAAGUUAAAUUCACUAAAUUCACAUUUAAUUAAUUUAUCCUUUUGUAUUUUUUUUUUCUAAAUUCGCAUAUCAUAAUUUAAUCUUAAUUUAAUUUUGAUUCAAUUUUGUUUUAUGUUUUCUAAUUUUAUGAGGUUUAAUUUCAAUUAUAAAAAUUAAAUUCAAUUUCUUUUUAAUUAUCCAUUAUCACAAUUUGAUAUAAUAUAAUUUUUUAUCAAGUUUUUCUUACUACGAUUUUUCUUAUAAUUAUCCAAUGAUAAUUAAAUUAAUUCUCAUAACAUAUUUAAUAUUCAAAUUUUAAAAACUUAAUCUCAAUUAUUUGAUGGUUAAUUUUUUUCUCAAAAUCUAAAUUUAAUUUAUGAAAUUCUCACUUCUUACAUCUGACGUGGCAAAAUUUUCAAACUAUUGACUUUUGACCAACUUUUCCUAAAUUUAUCCUAAUUAAAUACUAACACAUGGAUUUUCACCACUCUUUUUGACCUUUUGACCCACAAAUUUAUGAAAGACUUUAUGCUUGGAGAAUCUACAAAAACCUGGGUAUUACAAUUUCUCAGGUUGAUAACUGUCGUGGUUACGAAGCCACCACUUGAAUCCUCAGUCGCCAUUGUAAUGGGCCUGGAUGCAAAUAGUACAUCAUGUUUCUUCAAAAGUUCUCUGCUAAUCUCUGGGAAAGUCGUAGGGACGAAAUGAAAUAUUUCCCAAUUGAAUACAUGCAAUUUUAGUGUUCAUUUCUUUCAUAAAGCCAAUGUAUCCACCAGAAAGUUGGCUUUUUGUUGAGUAAAUGAGGUAGAUAUUGCACUAGUGGCCAUGGAGCUAAUCCUGGAGGAAGUUGUAUCGGCUUGCUUUUGGUACUUGUUUUGGAAUUUAAUUUAGUGAAGAUGAGAAAGAUUGAUGUGAUGAAAAGCAAUAAGAGGAAGUUGAGAUGAGACAACACAUCGUCUGUGGUAGUAGAAGAAAACAAGGUUGAGUUACUGCUACUACUCUCUGCAACAAAACCAUUUACACGUCUUUUAUAGCAAAACCAUGUUUGUCCUAUCUUGGGUCUGGAUGCACAUUUUUAAUAUUGGGGAUCAUGCAACCAAAUGUCACACACAAAGAGAGAGAAAAAAAUACGUUUUUUAGAACUUGAAAAGGUAAAAUGGGACAAAAAAUAUUAUCCAUUCUUGAACUCUAAAAGUAAAGUUAUAAAAAGCUUAGGUGGUGUUUGUUUUUUUACUUAAUUCUAAAUAGAACCUUAAUGCUUAAUAGUGUUAAAUAUUAGGUUGUUUGUUUUUGUAGUAUUUUAUUUCUAUUAAGUAUUAAAAAGUAAAAAAACCAAUAUGUUAUUUUUUCUAUUAAGAAAAAGUUACAUAUUUUGACUUUUUCUAUUUAGUAAAAAGUUUAUAAUAAGUCAUGAAAAAGUAGAAAAACAAACAACUUAAAUUUUAAAACUAAAUUGCUUUCAGCAAAAAGCCAAAAAAACAAACACCACCUUAGUUUUUUUUUUUUUUUUUUUUUGUUAUGUAUGAUUACAUGAUUUCCCCCUUUUAAGAUUUUAUCUCAUAAAAUUUUUUUUCUAGAAGGUUCAAAUAAGUUUGAUGAAUAUUGUUUAUUUUAGUAAUUUUAAUUUUGUGGGGUACUUAAAACAUUAGAAGUUCACAAAAAGCAACAUUUAUCAGCUACCUAUCUAAAAAGCUUGGCCUAAUCAUUGAAAUCCAAAAUAUAAAGUGACAACACACUUUUUAAAGCAAUUUUCAAAAUAGUUUUCAAAAACACAUUUAUUUAUGAUAUUUUUAAAAUAAAAAUCUCAAAAAUAACUUGUUUAUAUAGCGUUUUAUUAGACAAAUACUUGAUCUUUAUAAGAUCACCCUAAUUAUAGAUUUAUGAACAUGUAACACAACAAUUAUCUAUAUAUAUACUUAGAAUUAUUAUAUUUUAAGUUUUUAACUACAUAGGACAUCGUGAGUUUUUCCACCAUUUAUCUUAUAAAAAGUUUAUUUAAAUAUGAUAAAGGAUAUAUUAUCUCAUUUCUUAUUAUAUCUGAUGCUAUAUAUAUAUAUAUAUAUGUAACAGAUCAAAUACAAUUUAAAGAUUUUAAUUAACCAUCUAUUAGCAACAAAGCAAUCUCUUAAUCUCAUUCAUAAUAUUAGGAUAAUUUAGUAUUUCCUUUUAUAAAACACUAGCAUAUAAAUCAACACAAAUCAUAUUAAGGGUGUAUUUGGUGUUGAUUUUAGGAAGCGUUUUUAGUAUUUCUAAUACUUGAAAGAUAAAAAUUUUCAAGUUUUAGAAAGAUCAAAAGCGCUUUUUAGAAUGACUAUCAAAUACAUGCUAAAUAUUACUUUUGGAUACUUAUAUUUUUAAAUAACUCUUAAAACUUUUAAGGCAAGUCUCUACUAUUUAUAUAAAUCCCCUAUUAUUUUUAAUUUUUAGAAACAAAAAAUAAAGAAUAGAAACUCCAUUUAAACAUCACCUUAUUAUUUCCUAUUAUAAAAUAACACAAAUCAAAUGAAUUAUUUAAAAAUAAAUAAAUAUAAAAUCAAAGUUGAAGAGAAAAAACUCUUGUGCAUUAAAAAAACAUCAAAAUAAAUAAAUAAAUAAAACAUCAUCAAAUAAAUGUAAAAAUAAAUUAAUGUUAUGGAAAAAUGAGAAUAGGCAACAAGAAAAUAAGAACACAGAUUUACAUGAAAAAUGCUAGACGGGAAAAACCAUGGAUAGAGGAGAAGAAAAUCCACUAUAUUAAAAAUUUGGUAUAAAAUGUGAGAGAAUCAAGCGACUAUUGUAUAGGCAUAAUCACUAUGACCCUAAAUCCUAUACAUCAUCGCAUAUGUAUGGUGUAUGCGAUAAUAUUUGUGAUAAUAAAAAUAUUGUCACAUAAAAUAACUAUGGGAUGUAAUAUUUGUAAUAAUAUUCUUUACAAAAAAAUAUUUUUUCUUUGCUUUAUUCACUUUGAUCACAACUUGAAAUAAGACAAUAAAAAUAUUUUCUUAAUUUUUGAAAAUUAAUUGAGGACUUAGAGCUACUUGUUACUGAGUGAAUUUGCUGAAUGGUGAAGAAUGCGUGUAUAGUAGUUUUGCAAUUUUUCAAACUUGUAGACAUAUUUUGUGAAGUCUUUUUCUCUUUGUAAAGCCCCAUUUUCUAUGUGAAGUUAUUUUUUCAAUAUUCUCUUUGGAAGGAAUUUACCAUUAGUUAUAUAGGUAAGAUUAAGGAAUUAAAUUUGGAAUUCUUAAGAUUUGAUUACUUAAUUCAAAGAAUUUGGUUCAAGGGAAAUUUGCCAACAAAAUAAUAUUUAAUUUUAAUUCUAUGAUGACUUUAAUUAUUUGAUAUAAUUUUAUUUUGAAAGACUUGAUGUGGGGGACUCAUCACUUAUUGAGUCCAAAUUUUGUUGCACCCAAAUUUUUAUGAGCUAAGAAACCAUAAUUUUAAAGACCAAUUCAGUGGUAAGUAAAUCUGCUAAAAUCUUCUAUGUACAAAUGACCUCACUUCAAGGUGCAACACAUACAUGUAUUAUUAUGUGUAUGGGAUGAGUCUUGAAGUUAGUCUUCAUUCUUCUUUGAUUUUUUUUUCUUCAAAUAAAUAAAUAAAACAUCAUCAAAUAAAUGUAAAAAUAAAAUAUGUAUCAGUUAAUUGGAGAGGAGAGCUUUAAGGGCAUUUCUUCUAUGAAAUUCUAUGCUCCACGUACCAUAAAUUUGUACUCAACCAACAAAAUUACAGAAUGGGUCCAUGCACAAACAAAAAUAACCCAAAUGUGAAUAUCUAAAAAUGUAUGAAGUUCACAAUAGAUAUUCAAGCCCAAAUUUAAAUUUCAAAUUAGUCCAACAGAUUUCAUUAAUCAAAAUGGGUCCAAAUUAGCAAAUAUAACCCAACAAAAAUAUCUCAUAUGUCAUAGGCCCUAAUUUAAAAUUUUCAAAUUAAUAGCCAAAAUAUAAGUUCAAUUAAUCAAACCCAAAACAUGAUAAAUUAAAAUAAAUCUCAUUAGGCCUAAACUUAAUAUCCCAUAAUUCAAGCCUAAUUUAAUAUAUAAACCUAAAUCCACAAUCAAAAUCAACCCAAUUUAUGCUAAUCCCGAUUUACAAUCAAAAUCAAACAUAAUUUAAUAAGUAAAUAACUAAAUAAAUUAAGCAAACUCAAAACACCCAAACCACUACAACAUAAAUCAAACAAUAAUAAAUAUAAUGACAACAAUAAUAAUAAUAAAUAAAAUAAAAUAAAAUAAAAUAAAAAUAAAAAAUUUAACUCACGUCGGAGCCAGUUUGAAUGUCUUAGGAAAGAAAGAAAAUGAGAGAAAAGUGAGAGAUGAUUGACAACUGACAGUGGCUCACUAGCGGCAACUGGUUAGUGGUCCUACCGAUGGUAGUGAGGAUUGAUUGGUUUUUGGGAAAAAAAAUAAAAUGAAGAAAAGAAAAUGAGAAGUAAUAAAAAAAAUGGAGAAAUGAGAGGAAGGUGGGAGAAGAAUGGAGAGAGAGAACGUAGAAAAUGAGUGAAAAGAAAUGAGGCUAGUUGGAGGAGAAAGUGGUAGUGUGUGAGCUAAAGUGAAGAAUAAUAGAAGAAGAAAAUGGAGAAGAAUGGGGAAAAAAAAAUCCGUCUCCCUAAAUGAAGAAAGGUGGGUAGCCUAAAGAAGAAGAAAAAAUAAAAUAAAAUAAAAUGGGGAGAAAAUGAGAGGGGGUCGGUGGUCUUGCGAAUGAGGUGGUAUGCGUUAGAGAGAGAGAGAGUGGGUGGGGUUGUUGGGGUUGUUGGGGAAGGUAUGAGAGAGAGAGGAGAGAGAAAAGAAAAAAAAGAAAGAAAAGAAAAAAGAUAAUAUAAAAUAAUAAUAAUAAUAAUAAAAUAAAAUAAUAUACAAAAUAAUAAAAACUAAUAAUUAAAUAGUGAGUGGGCAAAAAAUAUCAUAUGUAAUCAAGAUUUAAUUUUAAGAGUAAAAUUGGGUUAAAAAUUAAUGUAAAAUAAAAUUGGGAUAAAUUUUGGGGUAUACAAAUAUGCACCUCUUCAAUAGAGUCCACGAGUAAAGCAAGUGUAUAUGUGAGCAAAACAAAGUGGGCUCUACUGAAAAAUAAGAAAGACCACCAAAUUUGUCUUAAUAUGACAUGAACUCUCCCAAAUAAAAAAAAUAAAAAAUCUAAAACCCUACAAAAAUGGCCAAAAUGGAAACUCCUAAGGUGCCUCUAAAGUUAUACUAUGGAUCUAGACUCCCUUAGAAAAGCCUCCAAAAAUGGCCCAAAAAUCGGUGCCAAAAUCGAGUAGCAAUCAGACCACUAAGGAGCACAUGAACGAAUGCAUACAAAGGGAAAAAAACCAUACGUGUACCAUACGAUGACAAAAGGCAUAAGGUAUCCAACAAUAUGACUGAUUCACGUGUUACGAGCUUAAAGAACUUUGUCAUGCACCAUGGAGGAAGGGAAACUCUAGAAUAAUGUGAUGAGGAAGUUAUUAGCACAAUGUAACAGAGUGAGGAAAAAAGUGAUGAGUGCAAAGCUGUGAGGACAAAGUGCACAAUGCUAAUGAAUAUGAAAUGAAUAGCACUAGGCUAUAAUGCAAUGAAUAGCUCAGGGUUGUACCAUAAUGAACAAGUCAAGGAUGUGUAAAGAUGAGGAACAACUCAAGGUUGUAAUGCAAUGAACAACUUAGGGCUAUGAAUGCAAUGAACAGCUCAGCUCAAUGAAUGAAAUGAAUAGCUCAGGGCUGUGAAUGCAAUGAACAACUCGACGUUGUGGAUGUAAUGAACAACUCAUGGUCAUGGAUGCAAUGAACAGCUCAGGGCUAUAGAUGAACAACUCGGGGUUGUGGAUGUCAUGAACAACUCAAGAAUAGGGGCACUAUACACCCAAAAUGGGAGAUCACGGUCUACGAUUCCAAGUCAAACCACUAAAGGGUGACCAAAAUGAGGGUGAUCAACUCACUAAAAAAGAUGAUCAAAAUGUCUUAAGGGAGAGGAGAUGCCCCAGAUGAAACUUAAAGGAAAUGAGUAGUGCUAAUGAAACUAAAAAAAGAAAAAAUGUCACAACUGAAAUUGAAAAAAUAGCAAACUUAGAUUAAAGUGCAAUGAACAACUUUGGGCUGUUGCGAUGAGUAGUACCGUGUUGUAAUGAAAUGAAUAACUUUAAGAUAUGGGCAUUGUACGCCUAAAGAGGGAGAUAGUGGUUUACGACUCCAAGUCAAACCACUAAAGGACGACUAAAAUAAGAUGAUCAACUUACUAUAAAUGAUAAUGCAACUAUCUCGAGAAAAAGGGUAUGCCCCAAAUGACACUCAACAGUAAAAGAAUGACACAAAUGAAACUAAAACAAGAGGAUGCCACAAAUGAAACUGAAAUGAUAACAGACUCAGUACUAAUGUGUAAUGAACAACUUUGGACUAUGGAUGCAAUGACUAGCACUGGGUUGUAAUGAAAUGAACAACUCUAAGAUGUGGGCACUAUACCCCUAAGAAAUGAGAUCAUAGUUUACGACUCUAAGUCAAACCGCUAAAGGGCGACUAGAAUAGGAUAAUCAACUCACUAAAAAUGAGGAUGCAACUAUCUCGAGAAAGGGGGUAUGCCCUAAAUGACACUCAAUAGUAUAAGAAUGACAUAAAUGAAACUAAAAUAAGAGGAUGCCACAAAUAAAACUAAAAUGAUAACAAACUCAAAACUAAUGUGCAAUGAAUAACUCUAGGUUGUGGAUGCAAUGAACAACAUUGGGCUGUAAUGAAAUGAACAACUCUAAGAUGUGGGCACUAUACGCCUAAAGAGGGAAAUCACGGUCUACGACUCCAAGUCAAACCACUAAAGGGCGACUAGAAUAGGAUGAUCAACUCACUAAGAAUGAGAAUGCAACUAUCUUGAGAAAAGCGGGAUGCCCUAAAUGACACUCAAUAGUUAAAGGAUGACACAAAUGAAACUAAAACGAAAUGAUACUACAAAUGAAACUGAAAUGAUAAUAAAUUGAUAACUAAAGUGCAAUGAACAACUCUAGGCCGUGGAUGCAAUGGACAGCUCAAGAAUAGGGGAACUGUUCGCCCAAAAUGGGAGAUCGUGGUAUGCGACUCUAAGUCAAACCACUAAAGGGUGGCUAAAAUCAAAAUGAUCAACUCACUAAAAAUGAGGAUCUGAACAUCUCAAGAAAGGGGUUAUGCCCCAAAUGAAACUGACAAUAGAGGGAUGCCUUAAACAGACUGAAGAAAGAAGGAUGCCCUAAACAAAUUAACGAAAAAUGGAUGCCCUAAACAAACUGACGGAAGUGAAAUGCCCUAAAUAAACUGACCAAAGAAGAAUGCACUAAACAAACUCUGAGAAAAAAAAAAAAAGAAGUAUGCAAUAUAGAAUCAAAAACACCUAAAGCAAAAACAAGAAACAAAGAAUGUGGUUUACAACUAGAAACACCCAAAAGAACCUUAAAGAAGUAACUGGGAUAAUGAACUUAAUGAAAAUGGGGUAUGCCACAGUAAAAGACUCGGAAGUAUCAGCAAAUGGGUCAAACGACCAUGAAAUCAAUAGGAGAUAUGAUGAACCCAAAAAGGGCAUAUGCCCCAACAAAAGAACACUAAAAGGGGGGUAUGCCCCGAUAUGACGACUCACAAUAAUUAAGAAAUGGAUCGAGUAAUGAGAAAAUCUGCAAAAUAUCCUAUGAACUCAAAGAUGGGGGUAUGCCCCAGUGUAAAAUAGUGACCAACAUAAGACACAGAAUGUCACCAUACAAUACACUCUGGGAUAUGCUCAAUGUCAAUGUAAUGAAAACAAUAGCCUCAAUCAACAAAUGUUCAAGCAAGACCAUGCAUCACAUAAACUAAAAUAAUAGGCUAAACAAAUGCUAACCAAGUCUCUCAAUCUGAAAUGUAAGCAAGUCAAGACAUGACAUGCCAACCAUCGACAUGAAAACAUCAUCACAAAUACAUCAACAAACUAAUAGUCCCUACUAUCAUGGAAGAUGUAGAACCUAACGUCCAAAGGCAUGUGAAAACUCAACCAGAAAGCUCAAGACUAGUUUGCAUCCUCCUCUAAUAAAAAGAAUGAGAUAAGGUCAUGUAGGAUGAUGAAAUAGGCAAGCUCAAUAUUCGUUAGGCUCUACCAAGAUGGAUGUAGGUAUAAUAGUGUCAAAGGUAGGAUGUCUAGAUUUCCAACGAAGGAAACUGGGUAUCCAAGUCAAACCAAGUAUGUUGAGGAAACUGAACCCAUAGGACAAUAACUUUAUGAUCCAUUGAAAAUAGCAAUCAUGAAUAGAAGGUCGAGUCUCGAUGUCAAAAUCAACAAGGUGGCAUUGCCCCAGUAUGAAUACAUCUUCUCAAAAUGGGUAAACCUUUAGUGCAAGAUAAUCUCUAGAAAGUGUGUGUCUAGUAUAAACUGUCAUCUCACAAAAUUUAUCACUGAUGAGUGGGCUAUACCCCAGUGUAAGCAUUUCCAAAUCAAACAUCGAUGAGAGGAGUACAACCAAUCAUACAUAAUAUGAUCAAAACAAAUCUCCACUCCUCAAAGUCAUCAUGGUAACGUGAAAAGAGUAUCUAACCUCAUUUAAAGAAAGAUCAUGUCCCAAUGUGAAAAAUAUCAAGCAAAGUGGUAUGUCUCAACAAAAAUGCACUCUAACAUGAUCAUGCCUAGAUGUAAGCUGGUAUCUUUAAGAUCAAUCACCAAUGAAAGGGUUAUGCCCCAGUAUAGGGCAAUCUCUUAAAUGACUAAAAUCCGCUACAAGCUCUCACAAGUGUCUAUGUCAUGAACCAAUCAUCUCAAAAAAUAAAUAAAUAAAUAAAUCUAUCAACAAUGAUGAGAAGGUUAUGCUCCUAUAAUCACACCAAGAAAAUCACCCGGUCAUAUCUUGUACUCCAAUGUGAAAGGAAAAUAUGAUCACCUCCAAAGAAUGGCUAUGCCCCAAAAUACAUCAUCGAUUGAGAAAUAUGCCCCUACGUAAAGUACAUCAACUGAAAUAUGCCAAUCAUGCCUCAUGCUCCAAUGUGAAAAAUGACGUAUAAUCUUCUUUGAGGGAUGGUCAUGACUCAAAUCCAUCAUCAGUUGAGAGAAGUAUGCCCCGACAUAAUGGUCAUCUAAAAAAUCAAUCCCCGACUAAGAAAUAUGUGCCUUGAUGUGAUGUAUCAAGCAAAAUGGCUGCAUACCCCAUAAAAAACUCUCUAAGGUGGCUAUGCUCCAAUGUUGGAUCAUACCACAACUCCUGGUCUAUCACAAUCAAAAUGCUGUCCAACCAAUCCCAAGUAUCGCCCACAUGAGAGCUAUCAAACACAAUGUGUGAUGUCAUGGCCUCAAGGUGGUCUUAAGAUUCGGAACGUAACGUAGGCUAGGGUAAUAAGGUAAAGAAAUGAAGGAAAACUAGGCUUAAUAAUCCUAAUGAUAAAACCCCAUACCUUAUGUAUAAAAUGCAAUAUGUGCAAAGAGUCUCAUAAACCAUGGAUCUAAGGACACCCAAUAUGAAUAUAUCAGUGAGGAAGAAAGAAUCUAAGAUGAAUAUAUCAAUGAUAACAGAGAAGAAAUGAAGAAUAUUAAACUGUUGAUGGGAUGUAUAAGAAUGAUGUAUGGAAAAUAUUGAACAUGGAAUGUAAAUUGAUAUGAACAAAGAACAAUGUAGGCAAGGCAAAUGUGAUAUCAUGAUAAGAACAAAUAAAUCGAAGAAAAAUGAAUGAACACUAAUCCACUCAAAUCAAGUCAUGGAGAAUAGUCAAAUCACCAACGUAUGUAAUGAUGGAGAAGACAAUGAUUCAAAGUCCCUAGGAAAAUGUCACUUGUUUGUCACACAUAAAAUACAUAACGAGAUAGACACAAAAAUAUGAGAGUCUUUUGAAAGUUCACAUACGAACUUUCAUAAGCAACUAACUCAAUAAAGCAACCUCAAUGACCAAUAUAUACACUCAAUAAAGGAUGACACUGUAUACAUGUGUUUAUUACUUUUUCUUUUCAUUUUGUUUUUCAUUUUUUUCAUUUUUGUUUUCAUUUUUUUUCUUUUACUCGCGCAUACUCUGAAUAUCAAUAAAUGAACUUCUCUGAGAAUACAUAAUGAAAUGGAUAUACUCUCAAACAAUGAUGUCAGCGAACUCUCUCUGACAAGAUGACCCUCUAAAUUAAGGAUUUUCGAACUAACGUCCAUGAGAUAGGAGUGGAAGGGGAUAUGACCAUCCUUCCUGCACCGAAAUGUGAAAAAUCAUCACUCAGGGCACAAAAAAAUGUGAUGAAAAAAAAUAAAAAAAUGAAACAAAAGAUAUAAACAAUGAAGUAUGAUGAAGACUGAUGUUGGGAAGACAAAAAAAAUUGUGAAGAAGGUGAGCCAAUAAGUCCUCAACUCAUGAAACUCUCGAAUAAAAUAUAUAUACACCAAAAAACCCUUAUCCCGGUGUAAAAUGUGAGCAAGGAUAUAAGAAAGAAAAAACUAUGGUGCUCAUGUGAGGUUCAAAGGGCUAGCAACGGUCCAAAUGUCAAUAAAGGUAAUAGGGUGUGAGCUAACCAAAAUGAAGGCCACCUAUGAUGGUCUGAAACAUCAUGCUCUUAAGCUUUCAAUGAUCAAUACUGAAAAUCGAUGUCAACCCUUUGGAAUUGUGCGCCAAACCAUACUCCAAAUGCUCCAUAAUAAUCUCAAAGAUAAUCCUCUCAAAGCAAAGUAAAUAGCGAUCUCAUAAGGCACAACUACUCAUCACAAGCCAACUCUCAUCAUGCAAGAUCAAUCUCUAUUUUCAUGGAAAAAUAAGUGACAAUCUCAUCAGGCAAUCGACGAAUCCUCACAUCGUAAACCAACCAAAGAUCAUAAGUCAUUCAUUGCCAUGCAAGAUCAAUCCCAGGCUCAAACUCCUCAUACUCUACCUGGUUGGAUUAGAGAAGAAAUGGGCAAAGCUAGAAAAACUGAAGAUGGAAAGGUCAUAUAAUGGUGUCAAGGGUGAUGUUGUGCAAAACUCACAAUGAAUGGAUGUAGGUCAAAGAAAAGUCAAUGUGUGAGAGUGAGUAAGGCACUACUCUGAUCAUAAGAAGAUGGGUCACAAUCUCAAACUCCUAAGGUCAAAUCUUCGAUCCUAGGCUAAUAAGCUCAACAUCCUCCAUGAUAGGUCAACCCCCAAGAUCACAAUGUGCAAAUGAAUAGAUGCCUCAAGUCAAAAGUACAACACAUCAUAUGAUAUAUGGUCCUACGAUGACAAUCUAAAACUGGAAAUAUGUUAGAAACUCUAAGGUCAUAAAGGUGUCCACUGUGAGAUGACUACAAAUGUGACUAAGGAAUCUUUAUCAAUAAUCCAAAAAAUGAAUGAGGUGUGAAAAACAACACUAUCAUGAGAUCGAUACCCCAUCAAUAACAAAAUAUCUCUAAUUCACUUUCAAUCUAAGCUCUAUAAAGAAAAACGAUAAGGUUAUAAAGGCAAACCUCUCAAAAAUGGUGUGAAUGUGAAAACAUGUCUUCACCUUUCUAUAAUGAAAAUAUCAUGUUGAAAAUAGAAAUAGGCAAAUCAACCAAAGAAUGAAGCACGGAGCCCAUGACAAGUGAAGAAUGUAAAAAGGUGAACAUGAUCAAUGAACAUAUCCCAAAACAUUAAGCAUAAAGUGACAACAAACCGAAAGAAUGUGUCAAUUUAAGAAAAGAAGACUAUCUGAAGCCCUAGGGAGAAAGUGUGCUAGACUCAACGAGCGACAAGAAGAAACUAAAACCAUAUAGCAAGGGGUGGUCCAACUGAUACUCAAACUCGUACCAAUAUCUAAGCACUCUCGACUGGAGACCAAAAGAUGGAGUAUUGGAUCCAUAUUGUGACUAAAGUGGCCUCGAAGGCUCUCAGAUGCACCCACGUGUAGGAAAGGAAAUCCUAAUGAAAAUAUCUAAGGCUUAACCUACAAGGUCAAGGCGGCUCUCAAAAGAAAAUUUGAGUAGACUUUAAAGGAUCCCUAGCAAAAGCGAUCAUACCCUCCGAUGGUACACAACCUCCUACACGUCUUGAAAUAUACGGGAGUGAUUCCAUGCAAGGUGGUCAUCACCUCCACACAUGCACUAUCUCGUAUCCUAGAGGGUUUCCUAAUGAUGAAGACUCUUACAUCUCUCAACACUUAGUGGUAAUCUAAGGUGCACAGUGAACGGUGUGGGUUCAUCCAAAAAUCCUAUCAAGCUAAGCAAAGAGAAAAAACAUUGGUCACACAAAUAUCCUGAAAUCUAGCUCUAACCUAUACAAGUCUUCAAAGAUUAGACUCCAAUUAGCAUUAAUGUUUCGACCUUCUCUAGAAUGCUCCCAAACAUAGAUAUAGUCCAUCACUAAACCCUACUCCGAAUCACUAGCUCGGUCAAAGAGCAAACAAAGUAAUAAGUCUCAUAUCAAAUACGAGAUCAAGGGGAACAUGGUCACCCGAGACUAGGGAAUUGAAGGUAAGGGGAUAGAUGUGUGUCCCGCAUAGAAAAGCAACAUGCAUCACACAGAAGAAGAAUAGUCAUGCAAUAGACAACCAAGCAAAGAACAGGUAUAUCAUUCAUAUCUACACACAAGCUAAACAAGAAAUAGGUAUUUAACAAGAAUAAACAAUAUGUUGAGAUAAACAAGAUAAUAUACGAUAAAGAGAAUCAAUCACACCAAUAUGAAUGAGAUAUACAAAAAUGAGAAUAUACAUGUCAAGGAGAGCAAGAUAAUCAUACAACAAGAAGAGUCUUAUGUUAAAGCAAGCAAGAGAAUCAAUCGAUGUAGUCAACAUGUCAAUAUCUCAAAUGAACAUAACAACCAAAUAUGCAUCAUAAAGAAAAAAUGGUAAUCAUGCAGCACACAGUCAUACAAAACAAAUACAGACAAACAUAAGCAAAUAAAUGUAAACACACAUGAUAACAAAAAUCAAUGUAUAGUAAGGCACAUGCAAUAUAUACAUAAAAUAAUCAUCAAGUCAACACUCAUAUACCUUAAAACAUGAAAAUAUACAAUAAAGACACAACGAGAGGGUAUUCACUGAUCGAUUAAUCAAACGCUACAUUUCCCUUAACUCGAGUUCAAGUUUGAUCCUUUAAAUAUCCCUAGUGAAGUCGCUAUUUUGUGGACCCACAUUUUUCAAAUACGUCCUUACACAACAGCGAGACUCAUUUUUUUUAUUUGGUGAAAAUUUGAUUUUUAGAAAAAAGACUUUGAGUCGUCACUUAUUUUUGUUUUUUUUUAAGGGAAAACAAAACAAGAAAGAAAACCUUGUGUGACUCCUUAUUUGGGAAAGACAUGUAUGCAAAAACCAAAUCUGGAUUCGGGGGUUAAGUUCCCUAUUGAGAAUGUACGAUGGUGAGCUGUAGCACCUCUCUAAGCUCAUAUACGUAUGGUCUCUACUAAACGAAUUAAGAGAAUUGUAGUAAUUAAUUAAUUAGUCAAGGAUACCAAGAAAAAGAAUCGCACAAAUGAGUACGUACAAAUCAUGAUAAAAAAAAUCAAAUUAUAAGAAUAGACAAAAUAAAUAACAAGAGAAUUGUGCAAAGUGAUUUAUUAAACUAAAUAAAAAAGAAGAUAUUAAAAAAAUUAGUUUUCAAGAAAUUUCAACGGAUUUUAUUAAAAUGAUUUUGAAUUAAUGAUUUUUAUUUAUUUAUUUACAAAAAAAGUGUCAAUUUAUUUUCUUCAAGUGAUUUGAUUCAAUUUCAUUUGUAUUCAAUUUUUUUUUUUUAAAAGUUAUUUACACUCAUGGUUGUUAAAAGAAUUAUUCACAAAAUUUCAAGUUGACAAUAAAAAUGAUUUUUACUUGCUUUUACUCAAAAACAAUGAAUUUUUACAAUUUUAUUAACAAAAGCAUUUCAAUUUAAGAAAAGUGACUUAAACAAAUUAUUAAAAAAAAUAUAACUUUAUCUGCAAAAGAAUUUUUAAUUAAAAAGAAAAAAUUUAAGUCAUCUAUUUCUAAAAAUGACUUUUAAUCCCAUUUUAAUUAAGGAAAAUUGAGUUAUCUAAAAAAACAUUUUUUGGACAAUUUGAAUAAAAAUUAAUUUUUGGGACAACUUUAUUUACAAAACAAUUUUUGGACAAUUAUUAUUAAAAACAAAAUUUCAAAUUCGAUUAAAAACAAUUUUUUGGAUUUUUCCAAACACAUUUUUAUGAAUUUUUAUUAAUAAAAAACUUUUUUUUAUUAAGAAGAAUAUUUUUUGAGCUAUUAUUUUAUUAAAACAUGUUUAUUGAAUUAUUCUUCUUCUUCAAACAAAAUUUUUAAUUUGUUCGAUAUCCAAUUCUGUACACAACAAGUAAAUAUAUACAAACAAAUAUUUAUAGAAACCAAUAAAAAUAAAACCAAAUAGAAGUGAGAAAUAAAACAUGUACUUAAACAAGCUUACAACAAGCUCAAUGUCUUCUUACGACUUUUCGAGUUUCACUUUCUUUCAUUAAAUUUUAUGCUCCACGUACCAUAAAUCCGUACUCAACCAAAAAAAUUGCAGAAUUGGCCCAUGCAAAAACAAAAAUAACACAAAUGUAUAAAGUUCACAAUAGAUAUUCAAACCCAAAUUCAAAUUUCAAAUUAGUCCAACAAAUUUCGUCAAUCAAAAUAGGUCUAAAUUAGCAAAUAUAGCCCAACAAAAAUAUCUCACAUGUCAUAGGCCUUAAUAUAAAAUUUCCAAAUUGAUAACCAAAAUAUAAGUUCAAUUAAUCAAACCCAAAACAUGAUACAUUAAAAUAAAUCUCAUUAGGCCUAAACUUAAUAUCUCAUAAUUCAAGCCUAAUUUAAAUAUAAACCUAAAUCCACAAUCAAAAUCAACUCACUUUAUGCUAAUCCCAAUUUACAAUCAAAAUCAAACAUAAUUUAAUAAGUAAAUAACUAAAUAAAUUAAGCAAACUCAAAACUCUCAAACCACUAUUGCAUAAUAUCAAACAAUAAUAAAUAUAAUGACAACAAUAUUAAUAAUAAAAUAAAAUAAAAAAAUUUAACUCACGUUGGAGCCAGUUUGAGUGUCGUGGGAAAGAAAGAAAAUGAGAGAAAAGUGGGAGAUGAUCGUUAGCUGGUAGUGGCUCGCCGACAGCGACUGGUCGAUAGUCCUACUGGCGGUAGUGAGGAUUGAUGAGUUUUUGGGAAAGGAAAAAAAAAAAAAAGAGGAGUAAUAAAAAAAAAAUGGAAAAAUGAGAGGAAGGUGGGAUAAGAGGGGAGAGAGAGAAUGAAGAAAAUAGGGGAAAAGAAAUGAGGCCGGCUGGAGGAGGAAGUGGUAGUGUGUGUGAGCUAAAGUGAAGAAGAAUGAAAGAAGAAGAAGGAGAAAAAUGGGAAAGAAGGGGAAAAAAAUUCGAGCCCUCUAAAUGAAGAAAGGUGAGUAGCUUAAAGAAGAAAAAAAAAUAAAAUAAAAAAAGAAAAAAUGAGGAGAAAAUGAGAGGGCCAGUAGUCUUGGGAAUGGGGUGGUAUAAGUGAGAGAGAGUGGGCGAGGUUGUUGGGGAAGGUAUGGGAGAGAGAGGAGAGAUAAAAGAAAGAGAAAAAAAAACAUAAUAAUAAUAAUAAUAAUCAUAAAUAAUAUAUAAAUUAAUAAAAAUUAAUAUUUAAAUGAUGAGUGUGUCAAAAAUAUUAUAUGUAAUUGGGAUUUAAUUUUAAGAGUAAAAUUGGACUAAAACUUAAUGUAAAAAUAAAAUUUGAACAAAUUUUAGAAUCUACAAAUACAUUCUUUAAUCUUUCCACAACAUCAAUCUGAUCUAAAUGAAAUGCAAUAAAUUCUAAAAAUGAUACAAUCUUUAAUCAAUCCACAACAUCAACCCGAUCAAAACUCAAUGCAAUAUUGCUUAAUGGAGAGAAUCGUAAAAUCCUUUUAUGAGAGGAAAACAAAACCCUUAACAGACCUUUAUGAGAGGAAAAUAGGAAAACAUAGAACUAAAAACCCUUAACGUAUUCAUGAGAAUAAAAAAAUCCUUAACACCUUAAUAAGAGGAAAACAAAGAAUUUGAACAAUCCUUAAUCCAUCAAAAGCUCUUAAUAUGAACGAGGGGAAAACAUAACCUUUAUUUUUCAUAUCGUUGAAUACAGAAUCUAAAGAGAUAGAAUUUUUAGUUAUUAAGGAUUUUUUAUAGAUGUCUAUUGAAAGUUCAAGAACUUUUAUGGAUAAGUGUUAAUUAAGAGACUGAAAGGGUACUUAGGAUUUUCAACUAAAAAAGUUAUAACAAUAUGAAUCGUAAGAACUUAAAAACAUCACCCAUCCAUAAGAGGAAUAUGGAAUGAGAGGUUAUAUUUUUACUUAUACAACAAUAAACUUUUUUGGAAGAGGUUUUUCUAAGUACAAAAAGUUAUGAAUAAAAAACCAUUGUUACGAUGAGUUAACUAAAAUAGAAUUAAUUUAGAAAAUAUCAAUAAAGUUGCAUGAAUUAUUAUCAUGAGUUAACUUAAUAAGAAUAAAUAGUAAUAAAGUUAAUGAGGUGAAUUUGGAUUGGCAGAUAUAUUUGAUGAUAAGAUUUUUUUAAUAAUAAAAAAUUAUUAUGGCAGGAAAAAUAGGACAAAAUUGACCUUAUGAUAAGAUUUUUUUAAUAAUAAAAACAUUAUUAUGGUAUGAAAAAAAGGGACAAAAUUGGCCUUNNNNNNNNNNNNNNNNNNNNNNNNNNNNNNNNNNNNNNNNNNNNNNNNNNNNNNNNNNNNNNNNNNNNNNNNNNNNNNNNNNNNNNNNNNNNNNNNNNNNUUUUCUAAGUACAAAAAGAGUUAUGAAAUAAAAACCCCAUUUGUUACGAUGAGUAACUAAAAAUAGAAUUAAUUUAGAAAAAUAUCAUAAAGUUGCAUGAAUUAUUAUCAUGAGUAACUUAAUAAGAAUAAAUAGUAAUAAAGUUAAUGAGGUGAAUUUGGAUUGGCAGAUAUAUUUGAUGAUAAGAUUUUUUUAAUAAUAAAAAAUUAUUAUGGCAGGAAAAAUAGGACAAAAUUGACCUUAUGAUAAGAUUUUUUUAAUAAUAAAAACAUUAUUAUGGUAUGAAAAAAAGGGACAAAAUUGGCCUUUCCUUAAUUGUACCGGUUAAUGGAAUAAUGGGACAUGCGGUGGUUACAAGCCACCCCAAAAGGUAGGAAGAAUCUCCAACCCCCAUUCUCGGCUCCCUUAUCUUUUCCCUUACAACCAAAAAUCAACAACUAUCUUAGAAUGUCCUUCAGUCCAUCAAAAUUCAACAACAACAAUUAUACAUUACAAUAAUGAAAACAAAAUUGAUUGAUCACCAGCUAACAUUAGGAGAUUAUAAGAUAAGGAUGUAAUUGCAAUUAUUGAAAUCACUUAAAGAGUAAAAGUUAGGAACAUGCUCACAAUAAAUAAAAUCACCUUAGAAUUAAAAAUUAGGGACAUGAUUAUGAUGAUUAAAAUCACUCGAGAACUAAAAUGUUUUAGAGAUACAAUAAUUGAAAUCAACUGAAAAAUAAAUUCGGGAUGUGAUCGCAAUUAAUGUAUAUAUAAACAACCAAAUGUUGAAAGGAAAAACUAAUGAAAUUAAUAUGAUUUUCUUUUAGAUUUCUCUUGACACCAAACAAAUGUAAGGAAGUUUAUAAAGGAAAAUUAGGUUUUGAUUCACUAAAUUAAAAUAAUAUAGAAAAAAGAUCUUCAAAUUUUAUAUACCAGUUUUAUUUUUAUUUAUUUAAAAAUAUUUUAAAAUACAUAUAUUUUUUCAUAACUCAAAUAGUCAUUCCUCAAAUGCUAGUUUUACUUGUUAUGUUAAUAACACUAGUUAAUAAUUUUUUAUUGUGAGAACGAUUUAAGAUUAAUAAAAUAAGAAAUUUUUAAAACUAAAAAGACAUUUAAAACUUUAAAAUUAAAAAUAUAAAAAUAAAACAAUAAUUUUUCAUUUAGUAAAACACGCCAGUAGAAAAUAUAGAUAUAGAGAAAGAGUUGGAAAUAAAAUAAGAGUUAAUAUUUUAUUUUUAAAAUUUUAUGUUUUUUAUUUUAAUUGUAUUUAAUUUUAUGUAUUUUAGUUGUAAUUAUAUUUUUAAUUUUUAAUUUUUUUUUAUUUUAUUGUUGAUGUAAACUAAUAAAUUUUUUGUUCAAUUAUAUAUAUAUAUAUAUAUAUAUAUAUAUAUAUAUAUAUAUAUAUAUAUUUUAAAAUUAGUGAGUAAAAACCCACUUUUUCUAAUUUAUAAUAUAUUUAUGGGAUUUUAUAAUAUAAGCAAUUUUUUUUUUUUUGAGAAAGAGGAAAAAUCAACUUUUCAAUUUCCCUUAAUAAUUAUUAUUAUUAUUAUCCAAUUUGGCUGAUUAUGAGAUUAGUUCGUAUCAUUACUAUAUCCAUUUGUUCUUAACCCUUCAUUAGAAUAGUAUUAGGAGUUGAACGUCAGUUGGAAUACAGGCUUAUGGAAACAAAUCUAUCCGAUUAGUAGGUUCUUAUUAUUUUCAAUAUAGCCCCAUAAAAUAAAUAGGAGAUGGGCAGCCCGUCCCUUUUGUCUGGAGGCCAUCCUCCCAACUUAUUAAAGGUGAUAUGAGAUAAGACAGUGACAAAAUUGUCGGUUACUUCCCGACACCUGGCUCUCCACAAGCAAACCCAGUGAUCCAGAAAUUAAUUGGUACCUGGACACGUGACUAACAAACCUUCGCUCAUCUACCAAACCCAUGGCCUCAUGCCUUAUAUAUUUCCACAAACCUAGCUCAAUUUUCAUAGCCACCUUCACUAUCCUAUACUCACUAAGCCAUGGCCAUAGAUACAAGCCUCUUGCUUGAGUUUGCUGCAGCAACUCUACUCUUCUUCAUCACCCGCUUCUUCAUUCGUUCUCUCCUUCCCAAACCUUCCCGGAAGCUCCCCCCUGGCCCCAGAGGGUGGCCGCUCCUCGGCGCUCUUCCUCUUCUAGGUAACAUGCCUCAUGUUGCAUUAGCAAAGAUGGCCAAAAGAUACGGGCCUGUCAUGUUCUUGAAAAUGGGCACUAACAGCAUGGUGGUGGCCUCAACUCCCGAGGCGGCUCGGGCUUUCCUUAAAACGCUAGACAUUAAUUUCUCUAACCGCCCGCCUAAUGCCGGUGCCACACUCUUGGCCUAUCAUGCCCAAGACAUGGUUUUUGCGGAUUAUGGGGCAAGGUGGAAGCUACUGAGAAAGCUAAGCAACUUACACAUGCUUGGUGGGAAAGCUCUUGAGGACUGGUCUCAGGUCCGAGCUGUUGAGCUAGGCCACAUGCUUCGAGCCAUGCUUGAGUUAAGCCAGCGAGCGGAGCCGGUGGUGGUGCCGGAGAUGUUAACUUUUUCCAUGGCCAACAUGAUAGGUCAAGUGAUUCUAAGCCGCCGGGUGUUUGAAACAAAAGGGUCGGAGUCAAAUGAGUUCAAGGACAUGGUGGUGGAGCUCAUGACCACUGCUGGGUACUUCAAUAUUGGCGACUUUAUUCCGUCCAUCGCAUGGCUGGACAUCCAAGGGAUCCAGCGCGGGAUGAAGCAUUUACAUAGGAAGUUCGACCGGUUAUUAACAAAGAUGAUGGAGGAGCACACGGCGUCAGCCCAUGAGCGAAAGGGAAACCCAGAUUUUCUGGACGUAAUCAUGGCAAACCAAGAAAAUUCUACAGGGGAGAAGCUCACUAUUACCAACAUUAAAGCACUCCUCCUGGUAUGCAUAGUUAAAGCUCGUCUUCAAUUUUGUUUUCCGAUAUUUUCUUUCCGGAAACAGCACUUUUAUUGCUUUUAGAUAUGUACGUUUUUAUCAGGUAGCCAUUUUAGGGGCACAUCACUAUUCUUUAUUUUUGGACUAUUUUUUUCUUUUUCCACUUGCAUGGUUGUUUUCAUAUGCUCAGCUGCAUGGCACAAGAAAAUUGUGAAAAAUGAUUGGUUCUCUGAUCAGACCUUCAGCACCAAAACACGCUUUUCUCUAUGUUAUAAAAUCGGUUUACAUGAUUUUUCAACCAGCUUCCUUGAACUUGAACUUUUGCUAGGGCUAAUGCAAAAAAUGAUUGAUCUCAAUUUUCAAUAGCGUUUGAUUACAUAAAUUUCAAGUAUGUGAACAUAUUUUUGUUUCCUUGGCUAGAAUUUAUUUACUGCAGGAACAGACACUUCAUCGAGCGUAAUCGAGUGGUCUCUGGCUGAGAUGUUGAAAAACCCGAGCAUCCUCAAGCGUGCUCACGAAGAAAUGGAUCAAGUGAUUGGAAGGAGCCGGCGGCUCGUGGAGUCUGACUUGCCAAAACUUCCAUACCUACAAGCCAUAUGCAAGGAAAGCUUCCGGAAGCACCCAUCCACACCACUGAACCUUCCUCGUGUCUCAACCCAGGCAUGUGAAGUGAACGGCUACUACAUCCCAAAGAACACUAGACUUAGUGUGAACAUAUGGGCAAUCGGGCGAGACCCUGAUGUCUGGGAAAGCCCGGAAGAAUUCAGGCCAGAAAGGUUUUUAAGUGGAAGAAAUGAAAAAAUUGAUCCUCGUGGAAAUGAUUUUGAGUUGAUCCCGUUUGGGGCUGGACGAAGGAUUUGCGCUGGCACUAGAAUGGGAAUAGUGCUGGUUGAGUACAUUUUAGGGACGUUGGUACAUUCAUUUGACUGGAAAAUGCCGGAUGGAGUUGAGAUCAACAUGGACGAAGCUUUCGGGCUUGCGCUGCAGAAGGCAGUUUCUCUUUCGGCCAUGGUGACACCAAGGCUUCACCAGAGUGCGUAUGCAGUCUGAGCUCAAACCGCUCAGACCAAAACCCAGGCCUCGCUGCUAUAUGGCAUGGAUGCAGUUAAGUAGAAAAUAUUUUGGGAUUUUUGCCUGUGGCUUAGUAUAAGAUGUAUUAGCUCAAAGAUGGUCGUUUCAUUCUACCACCAAGCCAUAUGCAUCUAUGCAUAAUCUAUUGAUUUAGGCUCGAUUUGGUUAUAGUUUUUGUUUUUUUGUCUUCCAAAUCAGUAAAUAGUAGGGGUAUUUUUGUCCUAUGUAGUGAUUCUUUUUGUUUGAUUGAUUAUAUUUGGAUCCUUCAAAAAUAUACGGUCAGAGCCAUCUCCAUCUUUUCACUUCUUGUGCUGCAGAAUGGGAUUGGCUUAGAUCGUUAGUCUAAUGUUAACCCCCUUCAAAUCUAAUUAUUCAUACUCAAUUUUGACACGAAAGAGCCAUUGUCAUGAAAGGGGGACCAGGGACCUCAGCACCCUUGGUUCAUCAUUUUGGUACGAUGCCAACUCUACCACAUAACCACCAUUUAGAUAUCUAUCCUUUUAUUUUUGGCAUGUGAACUUAUAGUGGGUGGCUGACCUUGAAUCCAAUAGUUAUCAUGAUAUAUAUGGCUGAAAUUAACCAUCAUUUAGAUAUCUAUCCUUUUAUUUUUGGCAUGCGAACUUAUAGUAAGUCCGAUUUAUGUCCAAGGGUCAAAUUUAAAUCUCUCUUCAAUCUAAUGGCUAAGAACUUCCCAACUUUAUUUAAUACUUAAUGUAUCCAAUAAUUGUAAUCGAGUAAUCCAAUGACAAGUACCUUCAAUGAUUAUUUUGGCAAAAGAAAUAAUAUAAGUUUGUUAUUUUAUGAUAUAAUAAAUUUAUUAAUACUUUCCUUUUUCAAAAUAUGUAAUUAGUUGUAAUUUCAUUAUAUAAUAUAUAAAUUAAGUUAUUUGCAAUUUUAAAAUAUGCUCAUUUUGUAUUUUUUUAAGUGUUAAUUAAAAAUUAUACAAUUUUGUUUUAUAAAAAGUAUUUAGUACUUUUAAUUUUAUAAAUUACAAGCAUUAAUUUAUACUAUUUUCUUAAAAUAUUUAGUUUAGUAUGCAUAUUAUUAGUUGUUUUCUUACAUCACUACUACAAAAAUAAUAUAUGAUGUCACUAUUUAUAGUGUCGCAUUUAAAAUAAUGACACCAUUGAACUUAAAAUUUAUAAAGGUGACACAUCAUUUAAAAAAUCUUCAAUUAGGAUAGUUAGAUUAUGCUAAUUUCAGAUUUACGGUGUCAUUUUUUGGAAGUGACACCAUAUGAAAUAAAAAGUUUUAAAUUUUAUAACUCAAUGGGCCUUUUUUAAAAAUAGUGAGUAGGAACAAUUUAUGAAAAGUCUAUUGUUUCCAUAUAUACAUUAACUAAUAUAAAAGAUCUUGUUGCUUGACCCUAACCAUCGUUUUCUUCUCCUUCUUCUCACACCCAUGGUCAGCACACCCAUAAUUGAUAUUCUUUGCUUCGUAAAAUCUCGGGUAAGUCAAAAUCUCUUAUCUAUCAUCUUUAUUUUUUUUAUUAAUGCAAAAAACUUUGUUAGUAUAAUUGUUUUAUAUCUCUUGAUUUAGUAUAUCUAUGAUGUGGGUUUUGUAAAUGGUGUUUUUUAUCGAGUUCUAAGGAAGUAAAAACUAAGUUUAACAUUCUAACAUAUUUUUUGUUUCAUUGCUAAUAAGCCCCAAAACAAAUGAAAACAAGAAAAAUGAAUUAUUUUUAAAAAAUUUGUCUAAUUGAGAAUGAGAGAUACACUAGUUUGUAGUAAUUUUUCGCAUGAAAUAGUAUUUUAUUGAAGACUUGACUAUAUUUGAUACUUUUUUCCACCGUGCUAGGAGCUUUUUGGUGAAGUCUAACAAUAGAGAUUGAUAUCUGCUACAAGAUGAUACUCAAUUAAACCAAAAGCACUUAAGUUAUUUAGGGUUUUCUUCGGUUAACCUAAGAAAACAUUCCCACUUUCUUUGUAUUGAGUCAUCUAAAUAGAAUAGAAUAUUGGGUAUCAGAGUCGUAAAUGGUAUUAUAAAUAUGACUUUUUUUUUAGAGUCACCUACAUGGAAUGAAUUAUUGGUAGGUGAACAAAAUAUUGGGGUGAUUGUAAUAGUUGAAUUAGUAAAUGGAAGAUAAGUGUAUGUUGCUUUGUUUAUUCUAUAAAAACAAUAAUUUUAGUAGUUGAAAUUUACAUGCUUUGUUGUUUUAUAAAAACAAUAAUUUUAGUAUUUGAAAUUUUAAAAUGUGAAUGAAAUGCCUGAAAAUAUAUUUUGAAAAAUAGGAUAGUAAUAAAUGGAAAAUAACUCAUUUCCUAAAAAUAUUUUGAUAAAUUAAAAUAAUAUGUGGUUAAAAUAUAUUUUUGUGAAAGUAUUUAAAAAUGAAUCAAAAUAUAAAUAAUUGUUAUUUUUUUUUAAAAUAAUUUAGGAAUAUAAAAUAAUAUUGGGGAUAAUUUUUGAGUUUAAAUUGUGUUAUAAAUGGUUAAUUUUUUUAGGACUGUCCUUUUUGAAAAUAAUCCAAUGAUAAUUUUUUUAAAUAAGAAUGUUGAAACUAAUUUUAAAAAUAAAAUUUUGUUGGCAAUGAUUUUUCUAAAAGUAUUUUAGGCAUAAAUGGAAAUUUCUUGUAUGAAAAUAAGAGAAUUUAUAUAUAUAUAAUAGACAUAAAAAUAGAUUUCUUUGAUAUUUAAUAAACAAGUGAAUUUUUCUCUAAAAAAAGAAUAAAAUAAGAAUUUCUCUAUAUAAUAAAAUAAUUUAUAUAUGAGAUAGUUUUCAAUAAGAAAGUUUUGAAAAUAAAUUUGGGAUAAAAUAUUUUUUAGUAAGUUUUGUUUAGAUAAUUCAAGAAUAAAGUGGUUUAUUAACUUUUCUUAAAAAAUAACAUUCUUCUUUCUUUUUUGAAUUGAUCAAUAGUUUGGAAAUAAAAUUGUUAGAUUCUAUUUUUUGUAAAUGUUUAAGAUAUUCUAAAAAAUUCUUUAAAAAUGAAAUGACCUUUCUACCACAUUCCUUUAAUAAAUAAUUGUAUUUUUAUACAUAUUGUAAAGUAAAAAAAAAAGUCUUUAUUUAGUUAACCUAAGAAGACAUUCCUACUUUUCUUUGUGUUGAGAGUCACCUAAAUGGAAUAAAAUAUUCAAUAUCAUAGGAGAGUAAAAAGUAUUGUAGAAAUGAUUUUGUUGAGAGAGUUAUCUAAAUGGAAUGAGAUAUUGGUAGGUGAAUAAAAUAUUAUGGUGAUUGUAAUAGUUGACUUAGUGAGUGGAGGAGAAGUGUAUGCUUCUUUGUUUAUUCUAUAAAAACAAUAAUUUUAGUAGUUGAAAACGUGUAUGAAAUGACUGAAAAUAUUUUUUGAAAAAUAAGAAAAUAAUAAAUGGAUAAUAGCUCAUUUCCUAAAAAUCUUUUGAUAAAUUAAAAUAACUUGUAGUUAAAAUAUAUUCUUAUGAAAGUAUUUAAAAAUAAACCAAUAUAUUAAUAAUUGUUAUUUUGUUUAAAAAUAAUUUAAUAGUAAAAAAAUAAUACUGAGUUCAAAUAUGACUACUUUGUUAUGAGAUUCAUUAAAGAAAUAAUUGUUGAUUUUACAGUUAUUGCAUCAAAGGUUUUACUCGUUUAAUGAAUUGUACAUAAUUUCAUACUUUCAAUUAUUAUGAUAUUAAUGUUAUUCUCAUUUGAUUUCAGUUUGAUUACAAAUAAAACAUAUUCUCAAGUAGAAUUUGAUGAAAUUAGAGAAAAAUAGAUUACUUUUGUGUUAUAACUAAUCAUGAAUCAUAUUGAUGUAUCGUGAUCAUUCAUGGUAAGUCCCUUAGUUGUUAUAUGAUUGAAUUUUCCAUUGAUAUUGUAUAACAUUACUUAUUCUUUACGAACUAUUUUUAUACCAAAAUGAGAAAAAGGAAAAAGAAAAAGAAAACAUUAGUACUUAGAUUUGUUUAUUGUUUAUAACAUCACAUUUUUAUUUUCAAUAAGAACUCUAAAACUCAUUAAUCUAUGAAAUGCAGGUAUACACUCUUGGGAGGACAAUAUGAAGAAUAAAAAGAAAGGAGAAAGAGACAACAAGAUUUAGGUUGUUAGAUAUGACUCUUAUGUCAUACAUUAUAGGACAUAAAUGUUACUUUAUUUGGAAUUGAGAAUUUUGGGUUUUUGGAUGCAACUCUUGUGUCAUUUUAUGGUUAGCCGGUUUUAUACAUAUGAAAUGCAAGUAUACAUGAAUGUUGGGAAACUUAACAUUUCUAAAUCAUGUUUUAAUGUGUAUUCACUUUUCUUUUUUAGUUUUGGUGGGUUUGAUGUGUUUGAUGUACUAUCAUUUUGUGAACAUUUGAUAUACAAAUAUUAUUGGAUGAUGUAAUAUGUUACAAAUUAAUUCAUAAGCAUUAUGAAAAUAUAAGUUAAAUGUAAUAUGAUUAUUAUAUUUAUGGACAAUUUACACAGGUUAGUCUUAUUUAUUAAUAAGCAUUACAAAAAUCUACAAACUAAUCAACAAAAAACAACCAUAUCUUCCAUAAUCAUUUACAAUGAUGUGACACCAUAAAUUAAAGGUGAUACAUUUAACGUGACACCAUAACUCAAAGAUGAUGCAUUUAAUAUGACACCUUAUAUAUCUCAUACAACUCUAUAUCAAAUUAAGCAUCACUAAAAAUAUAUGGUGUCUCUUCUGAAUGUGUCACCAUUUAUCUGCUUUGGUGUCGCUUCCAAAUACGUCACCAAUUGAUACCCUCUAUGGUGUCAGUGGAUAAGGUGACGCUAUGUUGUAGUGACACCCUAUGUUUAUAGUGACUUAUUAUAAAUGUCACCAUAUAUCUUUUUCCUUGUAGUGCAUCUCAAGUUUCAAUCAAAAAAAUAUUUAUGAUUUGUUUUUAUUAAUUUGUGUCUUGUUUUCAAUUUAAUUAAUGAAAAUUUAUUUGAUCAAAAAGUUCAUUACAAACCAAUUUUAAAAAUCUAAUCCUUUAUUAUAUUUUGAUAUCGUUUUGAUAAAAAUGUCUUUAUUAUUAUUAUUAUUUUUUUUUUUAUAAAAAUAAAUUUUUUUAUAAAUAUAUUGUAAAUAUUUAAAAUAAUUAAAAAUAUUUAGAUCAAAAAUCGAUUAUUUUUCAAACAAAUAUAUGAAAGUGAUAAAUUUGCAAAUAUGGGGAAUAUUUAAUCCUUUUAAUCGAUUAUUUCAUUAAUGAAGUGGGUAUAAUGAUGAACGCAUACUUGGUUUUACUAGGGCAUGCAGAGGUUUUGCAAGAGAGAGAGAUCAUUUCUCGACUCUGAGAAAUCAAUCUCCUUUUGGCCCGGUGGCGGACUCCAAGUAAAGCCUUGAAGGAGCCUUGCUAACAUCCCUGCACACCCACGCCUUCCAGUACUGAAGGAAAUGAAGCGAAGGUUUGGCUCGUUCAACUCCACUGCUUGAACUGUACUAGCAUUCAGAUGCCGCUCUGGAUUGAAAUUUAGCGGUUCUUCCCAGAUUCUAGGGUUCCGGCCCAGCCCCAGACGGCUCAGAAGGACAUGACUGCCUUUGGGGAUAGAGUACCCAGCAACACUAGUCGGAUUCCUGAACUCGUCUAUCCUUUCCAACCACUCCAUCAAUUUCUUCACUGCUUUGCUCAAAAUCCCUGGUUGCUUGAUCAUUGCCUACUCAAUUGCAUUUGAUGGACUAUCGACGCCUGCAAGCAUCAACUCCUGCAAAUUAUGGAAGGAUCAUAAUCUGAUGAUUGAUCAAGUUAUUUGCUGGCUAGGAAAUGAUCAUCAUGCAAUGUAGAUCAAAAGGUAAGCACAACACUACUACAAAAAUAAUUUAUGGUGUCAUUUUUAAAAUAAUGACACCAUAGGGUUUAUAAUUAAUAAAGGUGAUACAUCAUAUGAAAAUUCUUCAAUUAAGGUAGUUAGAUUAUGUUAGUUUUAUAUUUAUAGUGUUAUUUUUUGGGAAGUAACAUCAUAUAAAAUAAAUUUUUUUUUAAGUAUUAUAACUUAAUGAGCCCACUUUUAUAAUUAAUAAUGAGGGAUAAUGUAUAAAAAGCCCAUUGUUUCCACAUGCCACCCAUAAUCCAAAAAAUCUCAGUAUACAAACCUUAUAUAUAAAACCAUAAUCUUCUUCUACCUUUUCUCUUACCUAUAGUCAAUACACUUACAACCGACAUUUUCUACUUUGUGGACUCCUGGGUAAUCCAAAUUCUCUUAGAUCUAUCAUAUUUUUUUUUCUUUUAUUAAUAUAAUUAUAUUGAUUGUUUCACCAUCUUUGUAUUAUGGUUUUUGUAAACUGCGUUUUCUUGAGUUGUAGGGAAGAAAAACUUAGGUUUAAACUUCUAGCAUAGACGAAGAAACUUGUAGAUUAAUUGAUUUUUUAAUAUGAACCAAACACAUGACUGACUUCUUAAAAACAAGAAAAAAUGAAUGAUUUUUAAUAUGUAUUUAUGUGAGAAUGACAGGUACAAAAUUUUGUUGAGAUAUACUGUCACAUAAUCUUCAUCCCUUCCCUAAAACAAGAGAGAGAGAGAGAAAAAAAAAAAGGAAUGAUUUUUUUUGUGUGUAUCUAAGUGGGAAUGAGAUAUAUAGAAUUUUGUUGAGAUGCCACAUGAUCUUUAUCCUCCAUUAAACCCAACAUAUUAAAUCCACUAACUCUCCCCAAAAACGAGUAAAAAAAAAGGGAAAAAAGUAUGAGUUAAAAAACAAAAACGGAAAAUAUGAUUUAUUUUUUUUUAAUGUGUUUCUAAGGAAAAUGAGAGACACAAAUUUUUGUUAAGAUGCAUUGCCACGUGUUCUUCAUCCUCUCCAUUAAGCCUAAUAUAUUAAACCUAAUAGCUCUCUCUUUUAACUUUCCAGUGAAGUGCCUACAGUAUCCAACUCAAAAUAAGACAACUUAAGCCCCAUUAGCCAACAACCCAUAUUUUGUGUACAUCUUGAUGAGAUUAUUUUGUGAGAAAAUGUCAUGAAACAAUCCCAAUUUGAUAAUCUAGGCAUGUAUUUGAGUUAAAAAUAAAUUUCUAUUCUAUAGAUCAAAUAAUAAAAUCAUGUUUGAAAAUUAUUUUUAAAAACUUAUUUAGAGCAAAAAUAGUUUUCUAACAUAAAAAUAAUUUUUUAACUGAGAAAAUAUAUUUGAAAUUAUUUGAUAGAAAAUUGGGCAUGUAUUUGACUUAAAAACAAAUUUCUAUUCUAUAGCUCAAAUAAUAAAAUCAUGUUUGAAAAUUAUUCUUAAAAGCUUAUUUAGAGCAAAAAUGGUUUUCUAACAUUAAAAUAAUUUUUUAAUUUAGAAAAUAUAUUUGGAAACAUUUGAUAGAAAACUAGGCAUGUAUUUGACUUAAAAAUAAAUUAUUAUUCUAUAGAUCAAAGGAUAAAAUCAUGUUUGAAAAAUAUUCUUAAAAACUUAUUUAGAGUAAAAACAGUUUUCUAACAUAAAAAUAAAUUUUUAACUUAGAAAAUAUAUUUGAAAACAUUUGAUAGAAAACUUUUUUUUUAAUGUCAAUAAGUUGUCUUUUUGUUAAUUUAAUUGUAAUCAAUUUGCUUAUACGCAUUUAAAAGUAUAUAUUAUCAUAUUUAGUAAUAUUUUGAUUGUUAGGCAAAUUAUCAUUUUUGAGAGGAAUUUUUGUAGCUCUCAUAAUUAUAAUUGUAUUUUAAUAACCAUUUCCAAUAAAAAAGAAAAAGAAAAAAGAAGUUAGACAAUUAUCAAAAUCUGAUUUUUAGGAUUUUAAAAAAAUCUACAAGCCAAAACUAUCUAUAAUUUUGAUCAUGUGAGAACACUUCUUUUUUAAUACUUUGAAUUAUUUUGUUUUUUUUUUUCUUAGUAUCUGAAAGUAUAAAAGAAUUUCUCUUAUUAUAUUAUUAUAUUAUAUAUGUGCAUGUGUGUUCUCAUGGUUUCUUUAUGUCAUGUCUUAUUAAAGAAUAAAGUGAUGAAAUUUCCUUUGAGUAGAAGGUUUUAGUCCACGCUAGUGAGUGGACACGGUAUGAAUAGUUUGGGUGGGUUGUAUCUAUGGUAAAAAAUAAUAAAAGAUACCUUUUGCAAGUCUCCAAGUUGGUUGAGAUACAUGGCAUCAUGUUGACUAAACCUUGACUUUUGCAAGUCUCCUAGUUUCCAACUUUUUUUUUUCUUUUUUUUUUAAUAUUAAGGUGUGGGGCCAUGAACUCCUUUCUUUCCUUUUUAAAUAACAAAAAGGAAGAUAAUUUUAUUGUGAGAAGGCUAUUUCUAUCAAUUGUGUUCACGUCGAGAAUUUUUUAAUUUAUGGAGGCCAAAUAUAUAUUUAUGUCUAAUUUAGGAGGGUAAUUUGGGUUUGUUUAAUCUAUUCCAUUUAAUCAUACUAUACAAUCAUUUUUUUAUUUGGAUUAUUUUUGUAUUAAAUUUCUUCAACCCAAAUUUUGUUGAAAAAUUACAAUGUAUUAUUAAAAAUAUGACUUGAUAGUUGAUUAUGGACAUGUGUCAUUUUUAGUAAAAAAAAAAAUCUAUAACAUUUUAUAUUGAUAAUAUAUUAUUCUUGUAACAGGUUCGAAUAGUAAGCAAGUCAUUAUCAAAGAAGUUAUUGAAAGUAUAAGUGUACGUUUAUUUAUUGCAUGCUCUUAUAUUGUAUCAAUUGUAAGGAAGAUAAAAUUACCUUGUAAAGGUAAUUAAAUCUUUCUAUAUUUUAAAAACUUUUUUCCUAUAUACUAUGCUUUUGAAGCUUGUUUAAUUAAACAUAUUAGUUAUUUGACAAACUUUUCACAAAUGUUUUGUAUACUUAUGUGUUCUAUUUUGUUCCAUAGUUUUAUCGCAUAAUACUAAUGUAUAUUUUUUCACAAACUUUUUACAACUAUUUUGUGUACUAAUGCAUAUUAAGUUUUGUUCUUGCCUAUAUAAGCUACAUUUAGUUAUUUAAAUAUAUCCAAUAUUAUGUUGAAGAAAGAUGUACUUAACUUUUUUUAUUCUAAAUAUUAACAAGUUUUAUAGUUCUCUUGUCUUGAGAUUGAAUGUCAAAAGAUAGAAGGUCAGUUGAGUAUGAUGAAAGAGUUGAAAACUUUAUCAAUUUUGCAUUAGCACAUUCAAUCAACCAUUCCCCUAUAAAAUGCCCAUGCUUACGUUGUGCAAAUCUAUUAUGUCAAACUCUUCAAGUCAUUACAGAGCAUUUGUUCUUUAAUGGAAUAGAUCUCAGUUAUCGAGUAUGGUAUUGGCAUGGAGAAAAUGGACCCAGUGGAGGAUUUUCAAAUGUCUCACAACAACAUUAUGACAAAUGCAAGUAUAAUGAUGUUGUUGACACAAUAGAUAUGGUUAAUGCUGCACAAGUUAAUUGUGUGAAUGAUCCCUAAGUGUUUGGAAGGUUACUUGAAGACGCAAAAAAACCUUUAUAUCUUGGAUGCAUGAAAUACACAAAGUUGUCAGCAUUGGUAAAACUUUACGACUUAAAAGCACGUUAUGGUUGGUCUGACAAAGGAUUCUCAAAAUUGCGUCAGUUGCUUGGAGAUAUGUUGCCAUUGAAUAAUGAGAUGUCAUUGUCCAUGUAUGAAGCUAAAAAGACUUUCAGUGCACUUGGGAUGAAUAUCAAAAAAUUCAUGCAUGUUCUAAUGAUUGUAUUUGGUAUAGAAACCAGUAUAAGGAUGCUAUUGCAUGCCUAACUUGUGGAAAGUCAAGGUGGAAGAUAAACAAUGAGGGGAAAAAGAUUAAGAAGGGGCUUCCUUCAAAGGUUUUGUGGUAUUUCCCACCAAUCCCUAGAUUCAAAAGGAUGUUCCAAUCCUCAAAAAUCGUUAAACAUCUUAUGUGGCAUGCCAAGGAUAAAGAAUAUGACGGUAAACUAUGCCACCCAUCAGACUCCUCAGCGUGGAAACUAGUUGACCAUAUGUGGCUUGAUUUUGCUUCUGAACCGAGAACCUUAGACUAGCACUCUCAACAGAUGGUACAAAUCUUCAUAAGUCUAUAAGCAAUAGACAUAGUUGUUGGCCUGUUAUACUGAUCAUAUACAACCUUCCUCCUUGGUUGUGCAUGAAAAAGAAGUUUAUGAUGCUAUCAUUAUUGAUCUCAGGACCACGACAACCUGGUAAAAAUAUAGAUGUUUACUUGAGUCCAUUGGUAGAUGACCUUAAAACUUUGUGGGAAAAAAAAGUUGAGACUUAUGAUGCACACUUGCUUGAGGUUUUUACUUUAAAGGUCAUCAUUUUAUGGACAAUCAAUUAUUUCCCUACAUAUGGAAACUUGGCCAAUUGCACCGUGAAAGGAUAUUAUGCAUGUCCAAUAUGUGGAGAAGGAACAUAUUCCCAAAGAUUAAAGUAUGGUAGGAAGAACUUGUAUAUGGGUCACCGACGAUUUCUUCCACGUAACCAUCCCUAUUGGAGACAAAAGAAGGCAUUCAAUGGUGAACAAGAUUUUAGAAUUCCUCCUAAAAUUUUGAGUGGAGAAGAAAUACUUGAAAAAGUUGAUCUCAUUCCUAUUUCUUGGGGAAAAAUGAAGAUAAAAUCUCUUGAACUGAUGUGAACACAAAUUAUUGGAAAAAAAAGUCCAUAUUUUUUGAGUUAGAAUAUUGGAAAUAUCUUCAUAUCCUUCACAACUUAGAUGUCAUGCACAUCGAAAAGAAUGUCUGUGAGAGUAUUAUUGGUACUUUGUUUAACAUCCCAGGAAAACAAAAAGAUGGACUUAAUGCUCAACUUGACCUAGUUGAAAUGGGUUUAAGGUCUGAACUUUUCCCAAGAGUUGACUUGAAGCGGACCUAUCUUCCCCCUGCAUGUUAUUCACUAUCCAAACAUAUAUGACAAAAAAUUAGUUUGUCAAACAUUGUCUAAUUUGAAGGUCCCUGAGGGGUAUUGCUCAAAUUUUAGAAAUCUUGUCUCCUUAAAGGAAUUGAAGUUAUUUGGUUUAAGAUCCCAUGACUACCAUGCACUUAUGCAACAACUAUUGCUAGUGGCAUUACGUUUUGUUUUGCUAAAGCAUGUGAGAUAUACUAUAUCAAGAUUGUGUAUCUUCUUCAAUCAAUUAUGUACAAAAAUGGUUGAUGUGCCAAAAUUGGAUGAAGUACACAAUGAGUUAGUGGUCACGCUGUGCUUACUUGAAAAGUAUUUUUCACCUUCAUUUUUUGAUAUUAUGCUUCAUCUAGUAGUGCAUUUGAUAAGGGAGGUGUGACUAUGUGGUUCAGUUUACUUUAGGUGGAUCUACCCAUUUGGGAGGUAUAUGAAAGUUCUUAAAGAAUUGUUCGCAAUCAUAAUUGGCUUGAAGGAUGCAUUACUAAGUGCUAUUUAACAGAAAAAGCUAUUGAAUUUUGUACUGAAUAUUUAUUAGGGACUCAUGCAAUUGGAAUUCCAAAAGCAACAAUUAUGACAACAAAUUUGGUAGACCUAUAAUUGGUGGUCGUUCUACCAUCAUUGAUCAUAAAUUGUGGUUACAAGCACAUCAUUAUCUAUUAGAGAAUACAACUAUCGUCCAACCAUACACUGAGUAAGAAAAACAUACCUUUAUCUUUUUAUAAUUUCAUAACAUAAUGAUGAAAUCCUAAGUUUGCAUUCCUUGUCUUUAACGUCAUAAGGAACACAUGAAUUGGUUGAGGUCUCAAUACCCUCGACAAUCUAAUAGACAAAUUUGGUUGCAAGAAGAACAUAUGAGUUGUUUUACAUAUUGGCUUAAAGAAAAGGUAAUCUCUUAGUUUUUAGAAAAUUUUUCAAUAUGUUGAAAACAUCACAAGUUUCCAAUAUGUUUUGAUUAUACAUAGGUUGAAGAGGCUAUCCAUAAUGGGCAAGAUAUUCCCGACACACUUAGGUGGUUAGCACAUGGCCCUACUCUCCAGGUAGUCAAAUAUCCUGGAUAUAUCAUUAAUGAGUGUUGUUACCAUAUUAAGAAACGCGAUAUGACAUGCAUCACCCAAAAUAGUGGUGUUUUUAGCAAGACUAUGCAAAUUGCUAGUUCUAAGGAUAAGAACCUAGUUUGUGGUGAACUUUGCUUUUAUGGGGUCAUUAAUGAGAUAUGAAAUCUUGAUUACAACAUGUUCACAAUUCUAAUUUGCAAGUGUGAUUAGGUUGACAACAAGAAUGGUAUAAAAGUUGAUGAACUCAGGUUCACAUUAGUUGACUUCUCCAAAAUAGGUCACAAAUUGGAUCCAUUUAUUUUAGCAUCACAAGCCAAGCAAAUCUUCUAUGUUGAAGAUCAACUUGAUCCUAAAUGGUCAAUAGUUCUCUCAAUUCCUCCAAAAGAUUUCAAGAACAUAGAAGGACUAGAUGACUUCACCGAUAAUUGCAUGGAACAUCACCCCUUUAUAAGUUCAAUGCCAGAAUUUGAAUCAUUUGAUGCUAUGGAUGAAUCAUAGGCAAUACACAUGAGAGAAAACUGUGAGGGCAUAUGGAUUGAAAAGAAUUAAAUAACAUAUUGUACCCUUGAAUGAGAUAUAAUAAGGCAUUUCACUUAUUAGUUUUCAUGAGUUGCACAUUAACUUAGCUUCUAUAUAUUGCUCAUGAUAUAUCUAUAUAUAUUAAUCAUCCUAAAUUUCUUUCAUGCAUCAUAAACAUAUGUUAUUCAAAGGUACCACUUCAAUCUUCAUUCAACUAUCUUUUUGUUGUCCAUAGAACUAGAUUUAUAUUAUUUUUUAUUAUCAUGUUUUGAUUUUAUGCUCACAUAACUUGAAACUCUCAUUCCUAAAUUUCUUUUUCAUUAAAACUAUAAAUCAUAAUUGAAACUAUGCACUAAUUUAUUUUAUUAUUAUCCUCACAAAUAAAUUCUUCAUUAUUGAUAAGAAAUCAAAAAACAAGACAAACUUUGAAAGAAAAUUUCAAAAAAUAUAUUUGUGAAUGACCAAUUUAAUUAUAGAAAAUAUAUGCAAGGCUAUACUAAUCUUGCUUUUGAGUCAUUUUACAGGUUUGUUGGUGAAGUACUAGUUUGCACAUUUACUUGAUAUCUUCCACACAAAUAUGGAUCUAGAAGAAGGGGAAAUGCCAAAAAUAAAGCAUAGAUGUAGUGCAUUGAAACCAAAGAUUGCAAAAAAUCAAAGUAAAGGGAUAAAACUCAAGAUUGAAUACAAUAGCCUUGGUAGUCCCAUUAAGGAAAAUUCAGUUAAACUAAGUAGUUAUCUUAGUACAAUAACUAGAACCCAUGUGCUAAUAAUUAUUGAGAGUUGGAGGAAAGUCCCUAAAGAGACUAAGGAGAAGUUGUGGGAUUUGAUCACAGUAAGCCUAUCUAUAGCUUUAAUAUAUAAUUAUUGUAUACAUUCAUUAACAUGAGCUAAUAUGGGUUGUUAUUUUGUAGACAAGCUUUAAUGUGAAUAAAAAAUCCAAGAGGAAUUGUUUCAUACUAAUGGGCAUCAGGUUUCGAACCUUUAAGUACAAGUUGACAAAGAAAUAUAUAUUGUCUUUCAAGAAUGACCAAAAAAGCUGAAAAAGUCACCUCCUAUUUACCCAUUCAUACAAGAGGAUCAUUGGAGACAGUUUGUUAAAGAUAGACUUUUUGAACAUUUUAAUGUUAAGCAUUAUUUUUAUUACAUCUUCAAUUUUCACAUUUACGUAGUUUCAUUAUGUACUAAUUUUGUGUCUAUAUUUUGUAGGAAUAUCGCAAAGUUUAGAAAUCAAGAAGAGAUAAACACAUUUACAAUCAUUAUCUUGGAAGAAAAUGAUAUGCACGUUUUGAGCAAGAUAUAGUAAGUUAUCAAUAUCCAUAAAAAAAAUGGAGUAUAUAUUUUGUUUAUAGGAAAAUGAUUCUAGUUUUUAAAUAUCAUUUAUUAACUUGAUCAUGUUGAACUAAUGAGUUUUAUUGUUAAAAUUUUUAUAGCUACAAGCAGAAGGGGCUAUUGGUAGGGUUGAUAGAAGUGUUUAUGAAAGAAAACACGUGAGAAGAAAGGAAAGUUUAAUAAGAUUACAAAGCUAAUGAUUAACUAAGUUAGCAUAUUUAUGCCUUUUAGAGCCUAUAGUGUUAGUAUGUCUAUGUGAUUAUGGUUUGGGAUGAUAUCGUUAGGUGUUAAUAGGGAAGAGGCUUAAUGCUAUCAUUUUUAUGAGUAGUCAUGUUAUAUUAGUGCAAAUAUAGUAGCCUAAUUUGAAAAUUAAUUUUGAAACAAUAUACAUUAAUUUAUCUAUUAUCAUUUUUAUUAAAACAAUUCAUUUUCUAGCUACCUUGAAUUGGUCCUCUUGAAUUGGUUGUCUUUGAUUGAUAUGUUAAUCAUCUUCAUCAAAUUAUUACUAAUAUAUGUUUUGUUGUAGGAUGAAUUACUAGAAAAGGCAAGGAGACUGGACUACCUCCACUUGGUCCAAAUGACAUAUUAUGUCAGGCAUUGGGUAAGCUUGAUCAUCUAGGACGUGUGGUAGGUCAAGACCGCUUGGUUAGGUCGAACUCAUACUUUCAUCAACCAUUUGAUGACAUGAAAAAAAAAAUCAAAGAAGAAAUAUGGGAAAUGGUGUGAAAGGGGAUGCAAGAUGCUGUAACAAGACAAACUAUGUCUCCUCCCACACCCCAUUCUGAUAUAGGUAGUAAUAACAUGAGACAACAACUUGUUUUACAACUAGUUGUAGCAAAAAAACCAAUGUUUAAAAUGAUGGAAGAGCCCCAACCACCAGAACCACCACUGAAACGUAAGGUAUACAUUUACUUACUAAUAAUACAAGAUUAAUAUAAGUGAUAUAUAGCCUAUGUAAAUGAUAUUAUUUGUUGUAUUAAAGGUGAUUAAAUAUAAAUUAGCAGUGGAAUGAAAAUGAAAUGUUGUUGCAACUGGUACAUUAAUAGAAGAAAAUUGAUCAAAUGGGUUGGUCGUAAUAAAUGUUGCACACAAGCUAGAUGCUAGACUUCCAUUUCCAAAUCCAUAUGAGAUUAUCAAUGUUGGGGAUGCUAUUGGCUUUAAGCUUGACUGGCCAACAAGCCUUGUCAUACUUGAAACUAAACAUCCUCGGGUAUGUCAUUUUAUACUUGUAGUAAAUUUGAUUGUAACUUGGUAUUUUAUUGUUUAGGAGUAUAUAUUACUAACAUUCCUUCAUUUUUCAUAGGUGUUGGAUAAAGGAAAGAAGUAGAUAGUGAAUGCACCAAUUAUUCGAAAAUCUAAGCCUCAAAAUUAUUCGGUCAUUAAAAAUUUUCAGAAAUUUAUGGAUGGUUGUCUUAGUAAUGAGAAGACAUACCCAAUACAGCUCCCCAUUUCACUAUUUGGUGUCGAAUUCCGAACAUAUAUAUCUAGAGAGGAUUGUGAAUACAUUAUUUCAUCUUCAGAGGUGUUAUCAAAAUGCAUCUCCUUCCAUUUAUGGUGUGCACCUUUUAUUUUCAUUUGUUUUUAUUUUUUUAAUAUGAGUUGCCCCUGUUGAACAAGAUUGGAUAUGACUAAUGAUAAUUUUCUUUUGGUGUUUUGAUAAUAUAAUAGGUACAUGCAUGAUCAACUACAUAUUGCCAAAAAGGAAUCACAAUUUAUAUUUGUUAAUCCUUUUACAAUAUCAUGAGCAGGCUUUAGUAAUCCUCAAAUAGAGAAAAGAACACAAUUGUUGUCAAAACACUUAAUAGAGUGCCAAGAUGUCAGAUAUGUUUUCAUGCCCUACAACCCCGAGUAAGUGACGAAUAUUAUACUUUAAUUUGAGGUUUUAUGAUUGAUUUAUAUUUCUAAUUAGAUGCUACUUUUGUUUUUAAUGUUUUAGCUUUCAUUGGGUCUUGGUAGUGAUUGAGCCAAGGAAAAUGAUAGUCCACUAUCUUGACCCUGUGCAUCACAAACCAUGUGAGGACUUAAAGGAUAUCGUAAACAUGUAAGUUCUUCCUAUUAUUUUUCAUAGUAUUAUUUAAAAAAAAAAAUUACAUUCACCUCAAACACAUUUUUUAUUGUUAUUUCUAUAUAUUAAAACAUAUAACAUUUACCUAUUUUAAAAUUGUACCCAUUGAACUUAUUUACAUAGGGCUCUUUAAAUAUUUGCAAAGAAAACAUCUAAGAGAGAGCCAUCUUGGCAACUAGUGCAAGUGACAUCCAAAAAUUUUCUUUAAACAUUUAGCUUAUGCAUUUGCACCAUUUAUAUAUAUGAGUACUAAUGUUAUUUAUAACUGAUCCAUUAGUGUCCAAGACAAGAAGGAGGGUUCGAAUGUGGCUACUUUGUUAUAAAAUUCAUUAAAGAGAUAAUUUUUUAUCCUACAAUGAUUGCUUCAAAGGUAUUACUUAUUUAAUGAAUUGUACAUAUUUUUAGGCUUCCAAAUGUUAUGCAUUUUAAUGUUAUUUUCUUAUUUGAUUUUAGUUUGGUGAUAAAAAAACAUAUUCUCAAGUAGAAUUCAAUGAAAUUAAAGGAGAAUUGACUACUUUUGUGCUACAACUAAUCAUGAAUCAUGUUGAUGCAUCAUGAUCACCAUGCAUGGUGAGUCCCUUAGCUACUACAUGAAUUUUUCCAUAGAUAUUGUAUAGUAUUGCUUUUCUUUGAACAAUGUUUUUAUUUGAAAAAAAGAAAAAAAAAGUUCUUAGAUUUGUUCAUUUAUGAUAACAUCGAUCCAUAUUUAUUUUCUUCAAUGAAAUCUAUAAAACUCAUUAAACUAUGAAAUGCAGGUAUACACUCUUAGGAGGGUGGAAUAGAGAAUAAAAAGAACAAAGAAGGCAACAAGAUUUUGGGUUUUUAAAUACAGCUUGUAUGUCAUACGUUGAAGGACAUAAACGUUACUUUAAUUGGUAGUGAGAAUUUUAGAUUUUUAGAUGCUACUUUUAUGUCAUUUUCUUGUAGUGCAAAUUACUUAUCUUACUAUGCAUUGGGCUUUGAUAUUAGCCAAAGAUAGUAGUGGCUCCUAAUUUUUAUCCUUAACUGAAAUGAAAACAUCAAGCAGGUCCCCAGCCUCUUUUUCGCCAUUCUUCCACUAUUCUACUAUUUGGUCCAUGAUUGGAUCAUGGUACUUGUUAAUGGUGUUCAUAGCCUCCCUUAUAGUUUUUUCAUGGCCAUCUAAAUUCAGCACUCUCUGCCAUGGGAAGUAAUCAGAUAAAGAGAAUACAUAUAGAUGAGCAAGUAUAGUAAAGAAGGAUUCAACAUGUUGCUCCACUUCAACUCCAGGGCCUCCAUCUUUCUUUCGUUGGCCAAAGUAUCUUGUGUUGAGGAUCAUCUUUCAGAUGACAUUCCCGUUGUAUUGACGGACUUUAUUUCUGUCACACCCCAAAUACUAGGCAACCCAGAACUUGACUCGUGACCCUAGGUCAAAUGUUUGACCCUAAGAGUUACUCUUAUCCAUGUUGGCAAUCAAUCAAAACACCCUGGAUUUUUUUUCUUUUCAAUAAAGCGUUUAAUCCUAAAUAAAUUUAUUAAGCUAAGAUUUACUAUAACAUAUCAUUUUAUUUUUCCAAAACUAACCAUCACAUUAUCUCCUGUUCACAAGUAUUAAAAAAAAAAAAAAUUCCACCAAUCAUCUUCUUACCCAAAAUCUCAAAUAUUUACUAUAAUCUCUAAGUCAAAAAGAAUAUUUCCAAAAAUGUUUUACAAACUAAUAAAAUAUAAUUUAACUUAAAAAAGUCCAUAUAACUCAAAUUAGUAGAUGUCAAAAAGGUAAUUAAAAAAAAACAACCAUUAUUAUGGUUUUUUUGCUUUUUAGAACACUUCAUGAUCUUCUUAUGGUCCCUUAGAAACUAUAUCUGCAUCUAAAAAUUUUAGAAAAUAAAGGGAUGCACAUUUCCACGUUACUCUUUAGACCUAAAUGGGUUAGAAAUUCUAAGUCAAUAAAACACAACCAUAUGCCAAAAUAUAAUAUUACAUUUACAUUAUACACACUAAAAGAAACCUCAACCAUACAAAUUUAAAUCAAUCAAAAUUAUCAUUUUCCUUAUUUAAUCAUAUGUUUAGCAUAUCAAUAAUUUUAAAUUUACAAAAUAAAUAAGUCACUUUAGUCUUGAAUAAUAUAUUCAAACAUAUACUUGAUAAAUAAUACAAAUCAUUUUUCCAAAUGCAACCAUGAUACAAAUGCUUACACACAAUCACGCAAUGCAAUAUCGUUCUCGAGCUUUCACCGAAGGAUAUGCAUUUAUACCCAAAUACACUCCCCAUUCGGAGUCUUCCUGGGAUAAAAUUUUGAGUCUUUCACCCUAAGGAUCUCACUCCCUUCUUAACUCACCAUCUCUAGGGUCAUUCAAUUUCUUAUUUUUCUUUUCUUUUCAUUUUUGCCAUUUUUGGGGUCUUUUCAUUCUCAUUUCCAUUUCACACAACCAUUUCUUCAAUUUUUAUUUUUCUUCACACAAUCAUGAUGCAUAUGAAAUGCAACUGAAUCAUAUUUUAACAUCCAUAAUUUUCCAAGACAUAAUUUUAUUUACUCCCAUUAUGUUUCAUAAUUUCCAAUAAUCCACACAACGAUUUUUCUUCACUUUAAUCGUCACAAACAUAAAAGAAAAUUCACAAUUAAUUUGUAUAGCAUCAAAACAUAGUUUUAAACAUUGACCACAUAAAUUCUAUUUAUUCCCGACAUGCUUAAUAAUUUCCAAAUCCAAUAUAACCAUUUUUUUUUCAAUUAAAUAAUCACACAUAUCCAAGAAAAUUCUCGCUAAUACAAAUAUCAACAAAAAUGUAAUUUAUGUCAUAAUUUAUUUGUCUCCAAUAAUUUCAAAAAUUUUGACACCCAUAUGACAAAUUUCCACAAUUAAGCCACCCCAAUAUUUGGGAAAAAUUUUCCAAUAAUUCAAAUAUCAACAAAAACCCAAUUUAUAUCAUCAUUUUAUUUAUUUUUAAAAGCAUUAAUAAUUUUAAUAAUCAAUACAACACUUUUCCACAAUUAAGCCACCACAAAAUUUUGGGAAAAUUUUCCAAUAAUUCAAAUAUUAACAAAACACAAUUAUACCUUAAUUUUUCUUAUCUCUGACAACAUCAAUAAUUCUUAGUACUCAAUACAACUAUUUUUAUUUUUUCAUAUUUAAUCUUCUCAAACAUUACCAAAAUUCCAAGAAAAAUUUAUAAAUCACGAAAUAAAAUUAUUCACAAUAAUAAUCACACUUCAAAUACUACAAAUAACAUCUAUUAUAUUUCAACAACACAAUAUAUAAUUUUUUUUGAAAGAAAAUAUUAAAUCAAAGUUUUAGGGUUAAAUCACCCUACCUUAAAUUUGAAAAAUUUAACCAUUAAAACUAAAACGGGACACCGUAGGAGUGUUCCUCGCAUUGAAUAGAAUAUCCUUCCAAAAUUUUAUGUGAAAUGGACGUCAUUUGGUAGGUCCACCAGCAUCCUAAAGCUGGCGACCCAUUUUUCCCACUCUUUGCCGACGACUUCCCUACAUCUCUUACUCGAUUUCCUUUCUUCAUUUUCUUUUCUUCUUCUUCUUUUCUUCUUCUUCUUUUAAACUCCCACGCCAAUUUCACUUUAUAUAUAUAUAUAUAUAUAUAUAUAUAUAUAUAUAUGUAUGUAUGUAUGUAUUAUUAAAACAAAUCCUAAAAUACCACGCACAUCCAUUUCUCAAUAAAUUAAAACCAUUAUUCUUAAAUUCACCUUCCGUAAUUAUGAAUUAUACCAAACUUAUGAUUUUCCAUUUCACGAAAAAUACCACCGUAUUCGUAAUUUAAUUUACUACAAGUCUACUCUUCAAAAAGUAUAAUUUGAUUAUAAUUACAUGAAACAUUGUUUUUUUACUCUAAAAUUCAUUUAAAACAUGAUAUAAUUAACUAUUAACAAAAUUCAAUUCCAUAAAAUAUUAAAAACAUAAAAUAAUUUUUUGGCAAUCAAGAAGUUGAAAUUUGUAAUAACCCUAAACCCGUUAAUUUUACCUAUAUUUAUUUACCAAAAAAAAUUUAAAUAAUAUUCUAAAAUUUAAUUCCAUAAAUUAAUUAGUCAUUCAAUUUAUAAAAAUCAAAUUCUCUACCCUUUGGUAUAACUUUUAUUUAAUUUACUUCAUUUUUCAAAUUAUUCAAUCGCAUCAAAAUUUCAAAAGUUAAAUUCACUAAAUUCACAUUUAAUUAAUUUAUCAUUUUGUAUUUUUUUUUUUUCUAAAUUCGCAUAUCAUAAUUUAAUCUUAAUUUAAUUUUGAUUCAAUUUUGUUUUAGGUUUUCUAAUUUUAUGAGGUUUAAUUUCAAUUAUAAAAAUUAAAUUCAAUUUCUUUUUAAUUAUCCAUUAUCACAAUUUGAUAUAAUAUAAUUUUUUAUCAAGUUUUUCUUACUACGAUUUUUCUUAUAAUUAUCCAAUAAUAAUUAAAUUAAUUCUCGUAACAUAUUUAAUAUUCAAAUUUUAAAAACUUAAUCUCAAUUAUUUGAUGGUUAUUUUUUUUUUCUCAAAAUCUAAAUUUAAUUUAUGAAAUUCUCACUUCUUACAUCUGACGUGGCAAAAUUUUCAAACUAUUGACUUUUGACCAACUUUUCCUAAAUUUAUCCUAAUUAAAUACUAACACAUGGAUUUUCACCACUCUUUUUGAUCUUUUGACCCACAAAUUUAUGAAAGACUUUAUACUUGGAGAAUCUACAAAAACCUGGGUAUUACAAUUUCUCAGGUUGAUAACUGUCGUGGUUACGAAGCCACCACUUGAAUACUCAAUCGCCAUUGUAAUGGGCCUAGAUGCAAAUAGUACAUCAUGUUUCUUCAAAAGUUCUCUGCUAAUCUCUGGGAAAGUCGUAGGGACAAGAUGAAAUAUUUCCCAAUUGAAUACAUGCAAUUUCAGUGUUCAUUUCUUUCAUAAAGCCAAUGUAUCCACCAGAAAGUUGGCUUUUUGUUGAGUAAAUGAGGUAGAUAUUGCACUAGUGGCCAUGGAGCUAAUCCUGGAGGAAGUUGUAUCGGCUUGCUUUUGGUACUUGUUUUGGAUUUUAAUUUAGUGAAGAUGAGAAAGAUUGAUGUGAUGAAAAGCAGUAAGAGGAAGUUGAAAUGAGACAACACAUCGUCUGUGGUAGUAGAAGAAAACAAGGUUGAGUUACUGCUACUACUCUCUGCAACAAAGCCAUUUACACGUCUUUUAUGGCAAAACCAUGUUUGUCCUAUCUUGGGUCUGGAUGCACAUUUUUAAUAUUGGGGAAAUCAUGCAACCAAAUGUCACACACAAAGAGAGAGAAAAAAAUACGUUUUUUAGAACUUGAAAAGGUAAAGUGGGACAAAAAAUAUUAUCCAUUCUUGAACUCUAAAAGUAAAGUUAUAAAAAGCUUAGUUUUUUUUUUUUUGUUAUGUAUGAUUGCAUGAUUUCCCCCUUUUAAGAUUUUAUCUCAUAAAAUUUUUUUCUAGAAGGUUCAAAUAAGUUUGAUGAAUAUUGUUUAUUUUAGUAAUUUUAAUUUUAUGGGGUACUUAAAACAUUAGAAGUUCACAAAAAGCAACAUUUAUCAGCUACCUAUCUAAAAAGCUUGGCCUAAUCAUUGAAAUCCAAAAUAUAAAGUGACAACACACUUUUUAAAGCAAUUUUCAAAAUAGUUUUUAAAAACACAUUUAUUUAUGAUAUUUUUAAAAUAAAAAUCUCAAAAAUAACUUGUUUAUAUUACUUUUUAUUAGACAAAUACUUGAUCUUUAUAAGAUCACCCUAAUUAUAGAUUUAUGAACAUGUAACACAGCAAUUAUCUAUAUAUAUACUUAGAAUUAUUAUAUUUUAAGUUUUUAACUACAUAGGACAUCAUGAGUUUUUCCACCAUUUAUCUUAUAAUAAGUUUAUUUAAAUAUGAUAAAGGAUAUAUUAUCUCAUUUCUUAUUAUAUCUGAUGCUAUAUAUAUAUAUAUAUAUAUAUAUAUAUGUAACAAAUCAAAUACAAUUUAAAGAUUUUAAUUAACCAUCUAUUAGCAACAAAGCAAUCUCUUAAUCUCAUUCAUAAUAUUAGGAUAAUUUAGUAUUUCCUUUUAUAAAACACUAGCAUAUAAAUCAGCACAAAUCAUAUUAAGGGUGUAUUUGGUGUUGAUUUUAGAAAGCGUUUUUAGUAUUUCUAAUACUUGAAAGAUAAAAAUUUUCAAGUUUUAGAAAGAUCAAAAGCGCUUUUUAGAAUGACUAUCAAAUACAUGCUAAAUAUUACUUUUGGAUACUUAUAUUUUUAAAUAACUCUUAAAACUUUUAAGGCAAGUCUCUACUAUUCAUAUAAACCCCCUAUUAUUUUUAAUUCUUAGAAACAAAAAAUAAAGAAUAAAAACUCCAUUUAAACAUCACCUUAUUAUUUCCUAUUAUAAAAUAACACAAAUCAAAUGAAUUAUUUAAAAAUAAAUAAAUAUAAAAUCAAAGUUGAAGAGAAAAAACUCUUGUGCAUUAAAAAAACAUCAAAAUAAAUAAAUAAAUAAAUAAAUAAAACAUCAUCAAAUAAAUGUAAAAAUAAAUUAAUGUUAUGGAAAAAUGAGAAUAGGCAACAAGAAAAUAAGAACACAGAUUUACAUGAAAAAUGCUAGAUGGGAAAAACCAUGGAUAGAGGAGAAGAAAAUCCACUAUAUUAAAAAUUUGGUAUAAAAUGUGACAGAAUCAAGUGAGUAUUGUAUAGGCAUAAUCACUAUGACCCUAAAUCCUAUACAUCAUCGCAUAUGUAUGGUGUAUGCGAUAAUAUUUGUGAUAAUAAAAAUAUUGUCGCAUAAAAUAACUAUGGGAUGUAAUAUUUGUAAUAAUAUUCUUUACAAAAAAAAUAUUUUUUCUUUGCUUUAUUCACUUUGAUCACAACUUGAAAUAAGACAAUAAAAAUAUUUUCUUAAUUUUUGAAAAUUAAUUGAGGACUUAGAGCUACUUGUUACUGAGUGAAUUUGCUGAAUGGUGAAGAAUGUGUGUAUAGUAGUUUUGCAAUUUUUCAAACUUGUAGACAUAUUUUGUGAAGUCUUUUUCUCUUUGUAAAGCCCCAUUUUCUUUGUGUAGUUAUUUUUUCAAUAUUCUCUUUGGAAGGAAUUUACCAUUAGUUAUAUAGGUAAGAUUAAGGAAUUAAAUUUGGAAUUCUUAAGAUUUGAUUGCUUAAUUCAAAGAAUUUGGUUCAAGGGAAAUUUGCCAACAAAAUAAUAUUUAUUUUUAAUUCUAUGAUGACUUUAAUUAUUUGAUAUAAUUUUAUUUUGAAAGACUUGAUGUGGGGGACUCAUCACUUAUUGAGUCCAAAUUUUGUUGCACCCAAAUUUUUAUGAGCUAAGAAACCAUAAUUUUAAAGACCAAUUCAGUGGUAAGUGAAUCUGCUAAAAUCUUCUAUGUACAAAUGACCUCACUUCAAGGUGCAACACAUACAUGUAUUAUUAUGUGUAUGGGAUGAGUCUUGAAGUUAGUCUUCAUUCUUCUUUGAUUUUUUUUUCUUCAAAUAAAUAAAUAAAACAUCAUCAAAUAAAUGUAAAAAUAAAAUAUGUAUCGGUUAAUUGGAGAGGAGAGCUUUAAGGGCAUUUCUUCUAUGAAAUUCUAUGCUCCACGUACCAUAAAUUUGUACUCAACCAACAAAAUUACAGAAUGGGUCCAUGCACAAACAAAAAUAACUCAAAUGUAAAUAUCUAAAAAUGUAUAAAGUUCACAAUAGAUAUUCAAGCCCAAAUUUAAAUUUCAAAUUAGUCCAAUAGAUUUCAUCAAUCAAAAUGGGUCCAAAUUAGCAAAUAUAACCCAACAAAAAUAUCUCAUAUGUCAUAGGCCCUAAUUUAAAAUUUUCAAAUUAAUAGCCAAAAUAUAAGUUCAAUUAAUCAAACCCAAAACAUGAUAAAUUAAAAUAAAUCUCAUUAGGCCUAUACUUAAUAUCCCAUAAUUCAAGCCUAAUUUAAUAUAUAAACCUAAAUCCACAAUCAAAAUCAACCCAAUUUAUGCUAAUCCCGAUUUACAAUCAAAAUCAAACAUAAUUUAAUAAGUAAAUAACUAAAUAAAUUAAGCAAACUCAAAACACCCAAACCACUACAACAUAAAUCAAACAAUAAUAAAUAUAAUGACAAUAAUAAUAAUAAUAAUAAUAAUAAUAAUAAUAAUAAAAUAAAAUAAAAUAAAAUAAAAAAAUUUAACUCAUGUCGGAGCCAGUUUGAAUGUCUUGGGAAAGAAAGAAAAUGAGAGAAAAGUGAGAGAUGAUUGACAACUGACAGUGGCUCACUGGCGACGACUGGCUAGUGGUCCUACCGAUGGUAGUGAGGAUUGAUUGGUUUUUGGGAAAAAAAAUAAAAUGAAGAAAAGAAAAUGAGGUGUAAUAAAAAAAUGGAGAAUUGAGAGGAAGGUGGGAGAAGAAUGGAGAGAGAGAACAUAGAAAAUGAGUGAAAAGAAAUGAGGCUAGUUGGAGGAGGAAGUGGUAGUGUGUGAGCUAAAGUGAAGAAGAAUAGAAGAAGAAAAUGGAGAAGAAUGGGGAAAAAAAAUCCGCCUCCUUAAAUGAAGAGAGGUGGGUAGCCUAAAGAAGAAGAAAAAAUAAAAUAAAAUAAAAUGGGGAGAAAAUGAGAGGGGGUCGGUGGUCUUGUGAAUGAGGUGGUAUGCGUUAGAGAGAGAGAGUGGGUGGGGUUGUUGGGGAAGGUAUGAGAGAGAGAGGAGAGAGAAAAGAAAAAAAAGAAAGAAAAGAAAAAAGAUAAUAUAAAAUAAUAAUAAUAAUAAAAUAAAAUAAUAUACAAAAUAAUAAAAACUAAUAAUUAAAUAGUGAGUGGGCAAAAAAUAUCAUAUGUAAUCGGGAUUUAAUUUUAAGAGUAAAAUUGGGUUAAAAAUUAAUGUAAAAUAAAAUUAGGACAAAUUUUGGGGUAUACAAAUAUGCGCCUCUUCGGUAGAGUCCACGAGUAAAGCAAGUGUAUAUGUGAGCAAAACAAAGUGGGCUCUACUGAAAAACAAGACAAACCACCAAAUUUGUCUUAAUAUGACAUGAACUCUCCCAAAAAAAAAAAAAAAAAAAAAAUCUAAAACCCUACAAAAAUGGCCAAAACGGAAACUCCUAAGGUGCCUUUAAAGUUAUACUAUGGAUCUAGACUCCCUUAGAAAAGCCUCCAAAAAUGGCCCAAAAAUCGGUGUCAAAAUCGAGUAGCAAUCAGACCACUAAGGAGCACAUGAACGAAUGCAUACAAAGGGAAAAAAACCAUACGUGUACCAUACGAUGACAAAAGGCAUAAGGUAUCCAACAAUAUGACUGAUUCACGUGUUACGAGCUCAAAGAACUUUGUCAUGCACCAUGGAGGAAGGGAAACUCUAGAAUAAUGUGAUGAGGAAGUUAUUAGCACAAUGUAAUAGAGUGAGGAAAAAAGUGAUGAGUGCAAAGCUGUGAGGACAAGGUGCACAAUGCUAAUGAAUAUGAAAUGAAUAGCACUAGGCUAUAAUGCAAUGAAUAGCUCAGGGUUGUACCAUAAUGAACAAGUCAAGGAUGUGUAAAGAUGAGGAACAACUCAAGGUUGUAAUGCAAUGAACAACUUAGGGUUGUGAAUGCAAUGAACAGCUCAGCGCAAUGAAUGAAAUGAAUAGCUCAGGGCUGUGAAUGCAAUGAACAACUCGAGGUUGUGGAUGUAAUGAACAACUCAUGGUCAUGGAUGCAAUGAACAGCUCAGGGCUGUAGAUGAACAACUCAGGGUUGUGGAUGUCAUGAACAACUCAAGAAUAGGGGCACUGUACACCCAAAAUGGGAGAUCACGGUCUACGAUUCCAAGUCAAACCACUAAAGGGUGACCAAAAUGAGGGUGAUCAACUCACUAAAAAAGAUGAUCAAAAUGUCUUAAGGGAGAGGAGAUGCCCCAGAUGAAACUUAAAGGAAGUGAGUAGUGCUAAUGAAACUAAAAAAAGAAAAAAUGUCACAACUGAAAUUGAAAAAAUAGCAAACUUAGAUUAAAGUGCAAUGAACAACUUUGGGUUGUGGAUGCGAUGAACAGUACCUUGUUGUAAUGAAAUGAAUAACUCUAAGAUAUGGGCAUUGUACGCCUAAAGAGGGAGAUCGUGGUUUACGACUCCAAGUCAAACCACUAAAGGACGACUAAAAUAAGAUGAUCAACUUACGAUAAAUGAGAAUGCAACUAUCUCGAGAAAAAGGGUAUGCCCCAAAUGACACUCAAUAGUAAAAGAAUGACACAAAUGAAACUAAAACAAGAGGAUGCCACAAAUGAAACUGAAAUGAUAACAGACUCAGUACUAAUGUGUAAUGAACAACUUUGGACUAUGGAUGCAAUGAAUAGCACUGGGUUGUAAUGAAAUGAACAACUCUAAGAUGUGGGCACUAUACGCCUAAGAAAUGAGAUCAUAGUUUACGACUCUAAGUCAAACCGCUAAAGGGCGACUAGAAUAGGAUAAUCAACUCACUAAAAAUGAGGAUGCAACUAUCUCGAGAAAGGGGGUAUGCCCUAAAUGACACUCAACAGUAUAAGAAUGACAUAAAUGAAACUAAAAUAAGAGGAUGCCACAAAUAAAACUAAAAUGAUAACAAACUCAAAACUAAUGUGCAAUGAAUAACUCUAGGUUGUGGAUGCAAUGAACAACACUGGGCUGUAAUGAAAUGAACAACUCUAAGAUGUGGGCACUAUACGCCUAAAGAGGGAAAUCACGGUCUACGACUCCAAGUCAAACCACUAAAGGGCGACUAGAAUAGGAUGAUCAACUCACUAAAAAUGAGAAUGCAACUAUCUCGAGAAAAGAGGGAUGCCCUAAAUGACACUCAAUAGUUAAAGGAUGACACAAAUGAAACUAAAACGAAAUGAUACUACAAAUGAAACUGAAAUGAUAACAAACUGAUAACUAAAGUGCAAUGAACAACUCUAGGCCGUGGAUGCAAUGGACAGCUCAAGAAUAGGGGAACUAUUCGCCCAAAAUGGGAGAUCGUGGUCUGCGACUCUAAGUCAAACCACUAAAGGGUGGCUAAAAUCAAAAUGAUCAAUUCACUAAAAAUGAGGAUCUGAACAUCUCAAGAAAGGGGUUAUGCCCCAAAUGAAACUGACAAUAGAGGGAUGCCCUAAACAGACUGAAAAAAGGAGGAUGCCUUAAACAAACUAACGAAAAAUGGAUGCCCUAAACAAAUUGACGGAAGUGAAAUGCCCUAAAUAAACUGACCAAAGAAGAAUGCACUAAACAAACUCCAAGAAAAAAAAAGAAGAAGUAUGCGAUAUAGAAUCAAAAACACCUAAAACAAAAACAAGAAACAAAGAAUGUGGUUUACAACUAGAAACACCCAAAAGAACCUUAAAGAAGUGACUGGGAUAAUGAACUUAAUGAAAAUGGGGUAUGCCACAGUAAAAGACUCGGAAGUAUCAGCAAAUGGAUCAAACGACCAUGAAAUCAAUAGGAGAUAUGAUGAACCCAAAAAGGGCGUAUGCCCCAACAAAAGAACACUAAAAGGGGGGUAUGCCUUGAUAUGACGACUCACAAUAAUUAAGAAAUGGAUCGAGUAAUGAGAAAAUCUGCAAAAUAUCUUAUGAACUCAAAGAUGGGGGUAUGCCCCAGUGUAAAAUAGUGACCAACAUAAGACACAGAAUGUCACCAUACAAUACACUCUGGGAUAUGCUCAAUGACAAUGUAAUGAAAACAAUAGCCUCAAUCAACAAAUGUUCAAGCAAGACCAUGCAUCACAUAAACUAAAAUAAUAGGCUAAACAAAUGCUAACCAAGUCUCUCAAUCUGAAAUGUAAGCAAGUCAAGACAUGACAUGUCAACCAUCGACAUGAAAACAUCAUCACAAAUACAUCAACAAACUAAUAGUCCCUACUAUCAUGGAAGAUGUAGAACCUAACGUCCAAAGGCAUGUGAAAACUCAACCAAAAAGCUCAAGACUAGUUUGCAUCCUCCUCUAAUAAAAAGAAUGAGAUAAGGUCAUGUAGGAUGAUGAAAUAGGCAAGCUCAAUAUUCGUUAGGCUCUACCAAGAUGGAUGUAGGUAUAAUAGUGUCAAAGGUAGGAUGUCUAGAUGUCCAACGAAGGAAACUGGGUAUCCAAGUCAAACCAAGUAUGUUGAGGAAACUGAAGCCAUAGGACAAUAACUUUAUGAUCCAUUGAAAAUAGCAAUCAUGAAUAGAAGGUCGAGUCUCGAUGUCAAAAUCAACAAGGUGGCAUUGCCCCAGUAUGAAUACAUCUUCUCAAAAUGGGUAAACCCUCAGUGCAAGAUAAUCUCUAGAUAGUAUGUGUCUAGUAUAAACUGUCAUCUCACAAAAUCUAUCACUGAUGAGUGGGCUAUACCCCAGUGUAAGCAUUUCCAAAUCAAACAUCGAUGAGAGGAGUACAACCAAUCAUACAUAAUAUGAUCAAAACAAAUCUCCACUCCUCAAAGUCAUCAUGGUAACGUGAAGAGAGUAUCUAACCUCAUUUAAAGAAAGAUCAUGUCCCAAUGUGAAAAAUAUCAAGCAAAGUGGUAUGUCUCAACAAAAAUGCACUCUAACAUGAUCAUGCCUAGAUGUAAGCUGGUAUCUUUAAGAUCAAUCACCAAUGAAAGGGUUAUGCCCCAGUAUAGGGCAAUCUCUGAAAUGACUAAAAUCCGCUACAAGCUCUCACAAGUGUCUAUGUCAUGAACCAAUCAUCUCAAAAAAUAAAUAAAUAAAUAAAUAAAUCUAUCAACAAUGAUGAGAAGGUUAUGCUAUAAUCACAUCAAGAAAAUCACUCGGUCAUAUCUUGUACUCCAAUGUGAAAGGAAAAUAUGAUCACCUCUAAAGAAUGGCUAUGCCCCAAAAUACAUCAUCGAUUGAGAAAUAUGCCCCUACGUAAAGUACAUCAACUGAAAUAUGCCAAUCAUGCCUCAUGUUCCAAUGUGAAAAAUGACAUAUAAUAUUCUUUGAGGGAUGGUCAUGACUCAAAAUCCAUCAUCAGUUGAGAGAAGUAUGCCCCGACAUAAUGGUCAUCUAAAAAAUCAAUCUCCGACUAAGAAAUGUGUGCCUUGAUGUGAUGUAUCAAGCAAACUGGCUGCAUACCCCAUAAAAAACUCUCUAAGGUGGCUAUGCUCCAAUGUUGGAUCAUACCACAACUCCUGGUCUAUCACAAUCAAAAUGCUCUCCAACCAAUCCCAAGUAUCGCCCACAUGAGAGCUAUCAAACACAAUGUGUGAUGUCAUGGCCUCAAGGUGGUCUUAAGAUUCAGGACGUAACGUAGGCUAGGGUAAUAAGGUGAAGAAAUGAAGGAAAACUAGGCUUAAUAAUCCUAAUGAUAAAACCCCAUACCCUUAUGUAUAAAAUGCAAUAUGUGCAAAGAGUCUUAUAAACCAUGGAUCUAAGGACACCCAAUAUGAAUAUAUCAGUGAGGAAGAAAGAAUCUAAGAUGAAUAUAUCAAUGAUAAAAGAGAAGAAAUGAAGAAUAUCAAACUGCUGAUGGGAUGUAUAAGAAUGAUGUGUGGAAAAUAUUGAACAUGGAAUGUAAAUUGAUAUGAACAAAGAACAAUGUAGGCAAGGCAAAUGCGAUAUCAUGAUAAGAACAAAUAAAUCGAAGAAAAAUGAAUGAACACUAAUCCACUCAAAUCAAGUCAUGGAGAAUAGUCAAAUCACCAACGUAUGUAAUGAUGGAGAAGACAAUGAUUCGAAGUCCCUAGGAAAAUGUCACUUGUUUGUCACACAUAAAAUACAUAACGAGAUAGACACAAAAAUAUGAGAGUUUUUUGAAAGUUCACAUACGAACUUUCAUAAGCAACUAACUCAAUAAAGCAACCUCAAUGACCAAUAUAUACACUCAAUAAAGGAUGACACUGUAUACAUGUGUUUAUUACUUUUUCUUUUUCAUUUUUUUCAUUUUUGUUUUUAUUUUUUUUCUUUUGCUCGCGCAUACUCUGAAUAUCAAUAAAUGAACUUCUCUGAGAAUACAUAAUGAAAUGGAUAUACUCUCAAACAAUGAUGUAAGCGAACUCUCUCUGACAAGAUGACCCUCUAAAUUAAGGAUUUUCAAACUAACGUCCAUGAGAUAGGAGUGGAAGGGGAUAUGACCAUCCUCCCUGCACCGAAAUGUGAAAAAUCAUCACUCAGGGCACAAAAAAAUGUGAUGAAAAAAAAUAAAAAAUGAAACAAAAGAUAUAAACAAUGAAGUAUGAUGAAGACUGAUGUUGGGAAGACAAAAAAAUAGUGAAGAAUGUGAGCCAAUAAGUCCACAACUCAUGAAACUCUCGAAUAAAAUAUAUAUAUACACCAAAAGACCCUUAUCCCGGUGUAAAAUGUGAGCAAGGAUAUAAGAAAGAAAAGACUAUGGUGCUCAUGUGAGGUUCAAAGGGCUAGCAACGGUCCAAAUGUCAAUAAAGGUAAUAGGGUGUGAGCUAACCAAAAUGAAGGCCACCUAUGAUGGUCUGAAACAUCAUGCUCUUAAGCUUUCAAUGAUCAAUACUGAAAAUCGAUGUCCAUUUGAUAUAAACACGUCAACCCUUUGGAAUUGUGCGCCAAACCAUACUCCAAAUGCUCCAUAAUAAUCUCAAAGAUAAUCCUCUCAAAGCAAAGUAAAUAGCGAUCUCAUAAGGCACAACUACUCAUCACAAGCCAACUCUCAUCAUGCAAGAUCAAUCUCUAUUUUCAUGGAAAAAUAAGUGACAAUCUCAUCAGGUAAUCGACGAAUCCUCACAUCAUAAACCAACCAAAGAUCAUAAGUCAUUCAUUGCCAUGCAAGAUCAAUCCCAGACUCAAACUCCUCAUACUCUACCUGGUUGGAUUAGAGAAGAAAUGGGCAAAACUAGAAAAACUGAAGAUGGAAAGGUCAUAUAAUGGUGUCAAGGGUGAUGUUGUGCAAAACUCACAAUGGAUGGAUGUAGGUCAAAGCAAAGUCAAUGUGUGAGAGUGAGUAAGGCACUACUCUGAUCAUAAGAAGAUGGGUCACAAUCUCAAACUCCUAAGGUCAAAUCUCCGAUCCUAGGCUAAUAAGCUCAACAUCCUCCAUGAUAGGUCAACCCCCAAGAUCACAAUGUGCAAAUGAAUAGAUGCCUCAAGUCAAAAGUACAACACAUCAUAUGAUAUAUGGUCCUACGAUGACAAUCUAAAACUGGAAAUAUGUUAGAAACUCUAAGGUCAUAAACGUGUCCACUGUGAGAUGACUAUAAAUGUGACUAAGGAAUCUUUAUCAAUAAUCCAAAAAAUGAAUGAAGUGUGAAAAACAACACUAUCAUGAGAUCGAUACCCCAUCAAUAACAAAAUAUCUCUAAUUCACUUUCAAUCUAAACUCUAUAAAGAAAAACGAUAAGGUUAUAAAGGCAAACCUCUCAAAAAUGGUGUGAAUGUGAAAACAUGUCUUCACCUUUCUAUAAUGAAAAUAUCAUGUUGAAAAUAGAAAUAGGCAAAUCGACCAAAGAAUGAAGUACGGAGCCCAUGACAAGUGAAGAAUGUAAAAAGGUGAACAUGAUCAAUGAACAUAUCCCAAAACAUCAAGCAUAAAGUGACAACAAACCAAAAGAAUGUGUCAACUUAAGAAAAGAAGACUAUCUGAAGCCCCAGGGAAAAAGUGUGCUAGACUCAACGAGCGACAAGAAGAAACUAAAACCAUAUAGCAAGAGGUGGUCCAACUGAUACUCAAACUCGUACCAAUAUCUAAGCACUCUCGACUGGAGACCAAAAGAUGGAGUAUUGGAUCCAUAUUGUGACUAAAGUGGCCUCGAAGGCUCUCAGAUGCACCCACGUGUAGGAAAGGAAAUCCUAGUAAAAAUAUCUAAGGCUUAACCUACAAGGUCAAGGCGGCUCUAAAAAGAAAAAUUGAGUGGACUUUAAAGGAUUCCUAGCAAAAGCGAUCAUACCCUCCGAUGGUACGCAACCUCCUACACGUCUUGAAAUAUAUGGGAGUGAUUCCAUGCAAGGUGGUCAUCACCUCCACACAUGCACUAUCUCAUAUCCUAGAGGGUUUCCUAAUGAUGAAGACUCUUACAUCUCUCAACACUUAGUGGUAAUCUAAGGUGCACAGUGAAUGGUGUGGGUUCAUCCAAAAAUCCUAUCAAGCUAAGCAAAGAGAAAACACAUUGGUCACACAAAUAUCUUGAAAUAUAGCUCUAACCUAUACAAGUCUUCAAAGAUUGGACUCCAAUUAGCAUUAAUGUUUCGACCUUCUCCAGAAUGCUCCCAAACAUAGAUAUAGUCCAUCACUAAAUCCUACUCCGAAUCACUAGCUCGGUCGAAGAGCAAACAAAGUAAUAAGUCUCAUAUCAAAUAUGAGAUCAAGGGGAACAUGGUCACCCAAGACUAGGGAAUUGAAGUAAGGGGAUAGAUGUGUGUCCCACAUAGAAAAGCAACAUGCAUCACACAGAAGAAGAAUAGUCAUGCAAUAGACAACCAAGCAAAGAACAGGUAUAUCAUUCAUAUCUACACACAAGCUAAACAAGAAAUAGGUAUUUAACAAGAAUAAACAAUAUGUUGAGAUAAACAAGAUAAUAUACAAUAAAGAGAAUCAAUCACACCAAUAUGAAUGAGAUAUACAAAAAUGAGAAUAUACAUGUCAAGGAGAACAAGAUAAUCAUACAACAAGAAGAGUCUUAUGUUAAAGCAAGCAAGAGAAUCAAUCGAUGUAGUCAACAUGUCAAUAUCGCAAAUGAACAUAACAACCAAAUAUGCAUCAUAAAGAAAAAAUGGUAAUCAUGCAGCACACAGUCAUACAAAACAAAUACAAACAAACAUAAGCAAAUAAAUGUAAACACACAUGAUAACAAAAAUCAAUGUAUAGUAAGGCACAUGCAAUAUAUACAUAAAAUAAUCAUCAAGUCAACACUCAUAUACCUUAAAACAUGAAAAUAUACAAUAAAGACACAACGAGAGGGUAUUCACUGAUCGAUUAAUCAAACACUACAUUUCCCUUAACUCAAGUUCAAGUUUGAUCCUUUAAAUAUCCCUAGUGGAGUCGCUAUUUUGUGGACCCACAUUUUUCAAAUGCGUCCUUACACAACAGCGAGACUCAUUUUUUUUAUUUGGUGAAAAUUUGAUUUUGAGAAAAAAGACUUUGAGUUGUCACUUAUUUUUGUUUUUUUUUAAGGGAAAACAAAACAAGAAAGAAAACCUUGUGUGACUCCUUAUUUGGGAAAGACAUGUAUGCAAAAACCAAAUCUGGAUUCGGGGGUCAAGUUACCUAUUGGGAAUGUACGAUGGUGAGCUGUAGCACCUCUCUAAGCUCAUAUACGUACGGUCUCUACUAAACGAAUUAAGAGAAUUGUAGUAAUUAAUUAAUUAGUCAAGGAUACCAAGAAAAAGAAUCGCACAAAUGAGUACAUACAAAUCAUGAUAAAAAAAAUCAAAUUAUAAGAAUAGACAAAAUAAAUAACAAGAGAAUUGUGCAAAGUGAUUUAUUAAACUAAAUAAAAAAGAAGAUAUUAAAAAAAUUAGUUUUCAAGAAAUUUCAAAGGAUUUUAUUAAAAUGAUUUUGAAUUAAUGAUUUUAAUUUAUUUAUUUACAAAAAAAAGUCAAUUUAUUUUCUUCAAUUGAUUUGAUUCAAUUUCAUUUGUAUUCAAUUUUUUUUUUAAAAAAAAAAAGUUAUUUACACUCAUGGUUGUUAAAAGAAUUAUUAACAAAAUUUCAAGUUGACAAUAAAAAUGAUUUUUACUUGCUUUUACUCGAAAACAAUGAAUUUUUACAAUUUUAUUAACAAAAGCAUUUCAAUUUAAGAAAAGUGACUUAAACAAAUUAUUAAAAAAAUAUAACUUUAUCUGCAAAAGAAUUUUUAAUUAAAAAGAAAAAAUUUAAAUCAUCUAUUUCUAAAAAUGACUUUUAAUCCCAUUUUAAUUAAGAAAAUUUGAGUUAUUUAAAAAAACAUUUUUUGGACAAUUUGAAUAAAAAUUAAUUUUUGGGACAACUUUAUUUACAAAAAAAAUUUUGGACAAUUAUUAUUAAAAACAAAAUUUCAAAUUCUAUUAAAAACAAUUUUUUGGAUUUUUCCAAACACAUUUUUAUGAAUUUUUAUUAAUAAAAAACUUUUUUUUAUUAAGAAGAAUAUUUUUUGAGCUAUUAUUUUAUUAAAACAUGUUUAUUGAAUUAUUCUUCUUAUUCAAACAAAAUUUUUAAUUUGUUCAAUAUCUAAUUCUGUACACAACAAGUAAAUAUAUACAAACAAAUAUUUAUAAAAACCAAUAAAAAUAAAACCAAAUAGAAGUGAGAAAUAAAACAUGUUCUUAAACAAGCUUACAACAAGCUCAAUGUCUUCUUACGACUUUUCGAGUCUCACUUUCUUUCAUUAAAUUUUAUGCUCCACGUACCAUAAAUCCGUACUCAACCAAAAAAAUUGCAGAAUUGGCCCAUGCAAAAACAAAAAUAACACAAAUGUAAAUAUCUAAAAAUGAAUAAAGUUCACAAUAGAUAUUCAAGUCCAAAUUCAAAUUUCAAAUUAGUCCAACAAAUUUCGUCAAUCAAAAUAAGUCUAAAUUAGCAAAUAUAGCCCAACAAAAAUAUCUCACAUGUCAUAGGCCUUAAUAUAAAAUUUCCAAAUUAAUAACCAAAAUAUAAGUUCAAUUAAUCAAACCCAAAACAUGAUACAUUAAAAUAAAUCUCAUUAGGCCUAAACUUAAUAUCUCAUAAUUCAAGCCUAAUUUAAUAUAUAAACCUAAAUCCACAAUCAAAAUCAACUCACUUUAUGCUAAUCCCAAUUUAUAAUCAAAAUCAAACAUAAUUUAAUAAGUAAAUAACUAAAUAAAUUAAGCAAACUCAAAACUCUCAAACCACUAUUGCAUAAUAUCAAACAAUAAUAAAUAUAAUGACAACAAUAAUAAUAAUAAAAUAAAAUAAAAAAAUUUAACUCACGUUGGAGCCAGUUUGAGUGUCGUGGGAAAGAAAAAAAAUGAGAGAAAAGUGGGAGAUGAUCGUUAGCUGGUAGUGGCUUGCCGGCGGCGACUGGUCGAUAGUCCUACUGGCGGUAGUGAGGAUUGAUGAGUUUUUGGGAAAGGAAAAAAAAAGAGGAGUAAUAAAAAAAAAAAAAGAGAAAUGAGAGGAAGGUGGGAUAAGAGGGGAGAGAGAGAAUGAAGAAAAUAGGGGAAAAUAAAUGAGGCCGGCCGGAGGAGGAAGUGGUAGUGUGUGUGAGCUAAAGUGAAGAAGAAUGAAAGAAGAAGAAGGAGAAAAAUGGGAAAAAAAUUCGAGCCCUCUAAAUGAAGAAAGGUGAGUAGCUUAAAGAAGAAAAAUAAAAAUAAAAAAAGAAAAAAUGAGGAGAAAAUGAGAGGGCCAGUAGUCUUGGGAAUGGGGUGGUAUAGGUGAGAGAGAGUGGGCGAGGUUGUUGGGGAAGGUAUGGGAGAGAGAGGAGAGAUAAAAGAAAGAGAAAAAAAAACAUAAUAAUAAUAAUAAUCAUAAAUAAUAUAUAAAAUAAUAAAAAUUAAUAUUUAAAUGAUGAGUGUGUCAAAAAUAUUAUAUGUAAUUGGGAUUUAAUUUUAAGAGUAAAAUUGAACUAAAAAUUAAUGUAAAAAUAAAAUUUGAACAAAUUUUAGAAUCUACAAAUACAUUCUUUAAUCUUUCCACAACAUCAAUCUGAUCUAAAUGAAAUGCAAUAAAUUCUAAAAAUGAUACAAUCUUUAAUCAAUCCACAACAUCAACCCGAUCAAAACUCAAUGCAAUAUUGCUUAAUGGAGAGAAUCGUAAAAUCCUUUUAUGAGAGGAAAAAAAAACCCUUAACAGACCUUUAUGAGAGGAAAAUAGGAAAACAUAGAACUAAAAACCCUUAACGUAUUCAUGAGAAUAAAAAAAUCCUUAACACCUUAAUAAGAGGAAAACAAAGAAUUUGAACAAUCCUUAAUCCAUCAAAAGCUCUUAAUAUGAACGAGGGGAAAACAUAACCUUUAUUUUUCAUAUCAUUGAAUACAGAAUCUAAAGAGAUAGAAUUUUUAGUUAUUAAGGAUUUUUUUAUAAAUGUCUAUUGAAAGUUUAAGAACUUUUAUGGAUAAGUGUUAAUUAAGAGACUGAAAGGGUACUUAGGAUUUUCAACUAAAAAAGUUAUAACAAUAUGAAUCGUAAGAACUUAAAAACAUCACCCAUCCAUAAGAGGAAUAUGGAAUGAGAGGUUAUUUUUUUACUUAUACAACAAUAAACUUUUUUGGAAGAGGUUUUUCUAAGUACAAAAAGUUAUGAAUAAAAAACCAUUGUUACGAUGAGUUAACUAAAAUAGAAUUAAUUUAGAAAAUAUCAAUAAAGUUGCAUGAAUUAUUAUCAUGAGUUAACUUAAUAAGAAUAAAUAGUAAUAAAGUUAAUGAAGUGAAUUUGGAUUGGCAGAUAUAUUUGAUGAUAAGAUUUUUUUAAUAAUAAAAAAUUAUUAUGGCAGGAAAAAUAGGACAAAAUUGACCUUAUGAUAAGAUUUUUUUAAUAAUAAAAACAUUAUUAUGGUAUGAAAAAAAGGGACAAAAUUGGCCUUUCCUUAAUUGUACCGGUUAAUGGAAUAAUGGGACAUGCGGUGGUUACAAGCCACCCCAAAAGGUAGGAAGAAUCUCCAACCCCCAUUCUCGGCUCCCUUAUCUUUUCCCUUACAACCAAAAAUCAACAACUAUCUUAGAAUGUCCUUCAGUCCACCAAAAUUCAACAACAACAUUACAAUAAUGAAAACAAAAUUGAUUGAUCACCAGCUAACAUUAGGAGAUUAUAAGAUAAGGAUGUAAUUGCAAUUAUUGAAAUCACUUAAAGAGUAAAAGUUAGGAACAUGCUCACAAUAAAUAAAAUCACCUUAGAAUUAAAAAUUAGGGACAUGAUUAUGAUGAUUAAAAUCACUCGAGAACUAAAAUGUUUUAGAGAUACAAUAAUUGAAAUCAACUGAAAAAUAAAUUCGGGAUGUGAUCGCAAUUAAUGUAUAUAUAAACAACCAAAUGUUGAAAGGAAAAACUAAUGAAAUUAAUAUGAUUUUCUUUUAGAUUUCUCUUGACACCAAACAAAUGUAAGGAAGUUUAUAAAGGAAAAUUAGGUUUUGAUUCACUAAAUUAAAAUAAUAUAGAAAAAAGAUCUUCAAAUUUUAUAUAUCAGUUUUAUUUUUAUUUAUUUAAAAAUAUUUUAAAAUACAUAUAUUUUUUCAUAACUCAAAUAGUCAUUCCUCAAAUGCUAGUUUUACUUGUUAUGUUAAUAACACUAGUUAAUAAUUUUUUAUUGUGAGAACGAUUUAAGAUUAAUAAAAUAAGAAAAUUUUAAAACUAAAAAGACAUUUAAAACUUUAAAAUUAAAAAUAUAAAAAUAAAACAAUAAUUUUUCAUUUAGUAAAACACGCCAGUAGAAAAUAUAGAUAUAGAGAAAGAGUUGGAAAUAAAAUAAGAGUUAAUAUUUUAUUUUUAAAAUUUUAUGUUUUUUAUUUUAAUUGUAUUUAAUUUUAUGUAUUUUAGUUGUAAUUAUAUUUUUAAUUUUUAAAUUUUUUUUUAUUUUAUUGUUGAUGUAAACUAAUAAAUUUUUUGUUCAAUUAUAUAUAUAUAUAUAUAUAUAUAUAUAUAUAUAUAUUUAAAUUAGUGAGUAAAAACCCACUUUUUCUAAUUUAUAAUAUAUUUAUGGGAUUUUAUAAUAUAAGAAAUUUUUUUUUAGAAAGAGGAAAAAUCAACAUUUCAAUUUCCCUUCAUUAUUAUUAUUAUUAUCCAAUUUGGUUGAUUAUGAGAUUAGUUGGUAUCAUUACUAUAUCCAUUUGUCCUUAACCCUUCAUUAGAAUAGUAUUAGGAGUUGAACGUCAGUUGGAAUACAGGCUAUGGAAACAAAUCUAUCCGAUUAGUAGGUUCUUGUUAUUUUCAAUAUAGACCCCAUAAAAUAAAUAGGAGAUAUGAGAUAAGACUGUGACAAAAUUGGCGGUUACUUCCCGACACCUGGCUCUCCACAAACAAACCCAGUGAUCCAGAAAUUAAUUGGUACCUGGACACGUGACUACCAAACGUUCGCUCACCCACCAUACCCAUGGCCUCAUGCCCCAUAUAUUUCCACAAACCUAGCUCAAUUUUCAUAGCCACCUUCACUGUCCUACACUCACUAAGCCAUGGCCAUAGAUACAAGCCUCUUGCUUGAGUUUGCUGCAGCAACUCUACUCUUCUUCAUCACCCGCUUCUUCAUUCGUUCUAUCCUUCCCAAACCUUCCCGGAAGCUCCCCCCUGGCCCCAAAGGGUGGCCGCUCCUCGGCGCUCUUCCUCUCGUAGGUAACAUGCCUCAUGUUGCAUUAGCAAAGAUGGCCAAAAGAUACGGGCCUGUCAUGUUCUUGAAAAUGGGCACUAACAGCAUGGUGGUGGCCUCAACUCCCGAGGCGGCUCGGGCUUUCCUUAAAACGCUAGACAUUAAUUUCUCUAGCCGCCCGCCUAAUGCCGGUGCCACACUCUUGGCCUAUCAUGCCCAAGACAUGGUUUUUGCGGAUUAUGGGGCAAGGUGGAAGCUACUGAGAAAGCUAAGCAACUUACACAUGCUUGGUGGAAGGCUCUUGAGGACUGGUCUCAGGUCCGAGCUGUUGAGCUAGGCCACAUGCUUCGAGCCAUGCUUGAGUUGAGCCAGCGAGCGGAGCCGGUGGUGGUGCCGGAGAUGUUAACUUUUUCCAUGGCCAACAUGAUAGGGCAAGUGAUACUAAGCCGCCGGGUGUUUGAAACAAAAGGGUCGGAGUCAAAUGAGUUCAAGGACAUGGUGGUGGAGCUCAUGACCACUGCUGGGUACUUCAAUAUUGGCGAUUUUAUUCCGUCCAUCGCAUGGCUGGACAUCCAAGGGAUCGAGCGCGGGAUGAAGCAUUUACAUAAGAAGUUCGACAAGUUAUUGACAAGGAUGAUAGAGGAGCACACGGCAUCAGCCCAUGAGCGCAAGGGAAACCCAGAUUUUCUGGACGUAGUCAUGGGCCAUCAAGGAAAUUCUACAGGGGAGAAGCUCACCCUUACCAACAUUAAGGCGCUCCUCCUGGUAUGCAUAGUUAAAGCUUGUCUUUAAUUUUGUUUUCCGAUAUUUUCUUUCCGGAAACAGCACUUUUAUUGCUUUUAUAUCAGGUAGCCAUUUUAGGGGCACAUCACUGUUCUUUAUUUGCAUUUUUUUUUGUCUUUUUUCACUUGCAUGGUUGUUUUCAUAUGCUCAGCUGCAUGGCACAGGAAAAUUGGGAAAAAUGAUUGGUUCUCUGAUCAGACCUUCUGCACCAAAACACACUUCUCUCUAUUUUAUAAAAUCAAGAACAUUUAUGGUUUACAUGAAUUUUCGAACUUGAACUUUUGCUAGGGCUAAUGCAUGGAUCUCAAUUUUCAAUUGCGUUUGAUUACAUAAAUUUCAAGUAUGUCACCACAUUUUUGUUUCCUUGGCUAGAAUUUAUUUACUGCAGGAACAGACACUUCAUCAAGCGUAAUCGAGUGGUCUCUGGCUGAGAUGUUGAAAAACCCGAGCAUCCUCAAGCGUGCUCACGAAGAAAUGGAUCAAGUGAUUGGAAGGAGCCGGCGGCUCGUGGAGUCUGACUUACCAAAACUUCCAUACCUACAAGCCAUAUGCAAGGAAAGCUUCCGGAAGCACCCAUCCACCCCAUUGAACCUUCCUCGUGUCUCAACCCAGGCAUGUGAAGUGAACGGCUACUACAUCCCAAAGAACACUAGACUUAGCGUGAACAUAUGGGCAAUCGGGCGAGACCCUGAUGUCUGGGAAAGCCCGGAAGAAUUCAGGCCAGAAAGGUUUUUAAGUGGAAGAAAUGCAAAAAUUGAUCCUCGUGGAAAUGAUUUUGAGUUGAUCCCGUUUGGGGCUGGACGAAGGAUUUGUGCUGGCACUAGAAUGGGAAUAGUGCUAGUUGAGUACAUUUUGGGGACGUUGGUACACUCAUUUGACUGGAAAAUGCCGGAUGGAGUUGAGAUCAACAUGGACGAAGCUUUCGGGCUUGCUCUGCAGAAGGCAGUUUCUCUUUCGGCUAUGGUGACACCAAGGCUUCACCAGAGUGCGUAUGCAGUCUGAGCUCAAGCUGUUCAGACCAAAACCCAGGCCUAGCUACUAUAUGGCAUGGAUUUGUUUCAGUUUCCUUUGGGUUAGUAUAACGGUAUAAGAUGUAUUAGCUCAAAGAUUGGGAGUUUCAUUCUACCACCAUGCCAUAUGCCUAUCCGUGAUCUAUAAAUUUAGCUUCAGUUUGGUUAUAGUUUCUAUUUUUCUUUUGUCUUCGUAAUCAGUAAAUAAUAGUAACCUUUAUAUAAAAUAUAGUAACUCUUGCAGCUAUUAUACCAUGUACAAUAAAAGUACAGUGGUUUUGGAAAAUACAAUGAAACAGUGAGUUUGAUUUUUUAUUUUUUAUUUUUUAAUAAAAUAAAAUGUUGGAAAAGAGAAGUAAAUAAAGGAAGAUAUAUUAAGAGUCUAUUUGACAUUACUUAUAAUGAAAGUGUUUUUAUUAUAAGUGUUUUCUUUAUUAUAAGUGUUUAAAAAUCACUUUGAUGAGAAUUUAAAAAAAUGAUUCUAAUAGUGUUUUUAAUAAUAUAUUAUAUAAGUAAAAACCACUUUUAAUAAUAAUAAAUUACUAUAAAAAAAAAGACAUUUAUUAUAAAAAGAAAAUAUUAUAAUAAACCAAAAACUUUUAUUAAAAAAAAUAUAUACAAAUAUUUAAUUGUUAAAAAAACUCAAAAAUUAUUUUUAUGAAAAUGAAGUGAAAGAGGAAGAGGAGAGUAAGAAGAAAAAAGAGAGUUAAAAGGAAAUGGAGGAUAGCGAGAAAUUUUAUUUUAGGAAUAUAUAAAAAAAAUUUGAAAUAUUUUUUUAAAGAAACACCUCUCAAGUGCUUUUCUAAAAAAACACUUCAAGUGCUUUUCUAAAAAAACACUUCAAGUGUUUUUUAAAAUUUUCAUAAGUGUUGUUCAAAAUAUUGUCAAACACAUAUUUUUUUUAUCUUAAAAAAGCAUUUAAGUGUUUUUAGGGCUAAAAGCACUUCUAAAAAGCAUUGCCAAACGAGCUCUAAAUAAUUCAUAUUUCCUUGAAUUUAUAUUUUUAUUUUCUCUCUAUGAAUUUUCCUUUAUUUCAAAUACAAAAUAUAUUUUAAAAGGUUAAUUUUAUUUACUUGUCUUAAGGUUUUUGUUAGAUACACUUAAUUAUCAUUUAUUUGAAAUUUCAUUAAUUAUCUUUCUUAUCCUUUCCGUUUCUUAAUUUGUCAUGUACUUGAGAAAGUCAAUUUCAUUAUCAUCUUUACUUCUUGAACCUUGACUUAAAACUCCAACUUCACACAGGAUAUGAUAUAAAUUAAGAAAAGACUUAUUAAAAGUAGUAACGUUCUACUUUAGUUUAAAAAUGUUAACAAAAAUUAGAGGAGAAUUAACUAAAAUAUACUGAAUUUUAAAUCAAGCUAACAUAUUAUAAACCAUUGGAAAACCCACGUGAUUAAAUAGCUUUCUUGUAGUCUGACAAAGGAAAGAAAUUACCUGAAAAGAAUGGCAAAAAUGGAACUGCAUCUUAUGACCUAUAAUCACAUGAUUUCCACACUUAGAGCAUCCAUUGCCAAGAAAGACGUCGAUCAUAUCACCUUAAUUUUGUAAUAAUUCAAUGCCUCUUUUUGUAAAGCCAUAUCAUAAAUAUAAUGAAAUUAAAAGACAAAUUAAUCAAUCAAAUAAUAAAAUUUUGAAAUUUACAUGGUAGUAGGUGAGGGAAUUGUUCAGUUAAGAAUGAAGAGAGACCACACUCGAGGAAAUAUUAUUGAGGGCAUAGAUGUUGACUUUCCAUAUUCACACCUAAUUAAAAAGGUGAUUAAGAAAAUAAACAAAAACAACCCAAAAAGAGUGAAAGAUAUAUUGUUAGGAAAGAUUGUUCAAAAUGAUCCCGAGUUAUAAAAAUGAACUCUUUCAUUAAGAUGACCUUUUUGAAUACUUUUAUCCUUCUUUUUUUUUUUUCUUGCCUUCAAAAUUAUAAAUCUUUCCUUUAUUUAUGUUAUUUUAUUUACUUUAUUAUUUUUCUAAUUUUUCAUUUAUUUCUUCUACUUACUUUUUCUCUUCUAUGAAGUCUUUCAUCUUUAGUUUAGUCAUGUCUUAUGAAGCUAAUUGUAUUUCCCUCCUUAGCUUACUCUCUAAGUUGUUAGUAAUCCUUGAUCUCAUCUCAUAAUGCACUAUCCCACGAUUCUUUCUUGCAGUCCAUUUUUAUUUUCAUUCAAGGUGUUCAUUAAAAGUACACAAGGGCUAAAUUUAAAUUAUAAGAGUUAAUUUCAAUUACAUUCCCUCAAGUUUUGGCUUAGAUACGCCUUACUUCAACUUAUUUGAAAUUUCAUCAAUUAUCUCUUUUAUUUUAAGUGAAAGGGGAGGUGAGUAUAAUUAAUAAAUGAAAAGGUAGGGGAUAUAUUUGAAGAAAUUUCAAAUUAAUGGGCGAAGGUGUAUUUAGCUUAAAUAUCAGGGAAAGCGAAUUAAAUUAAUCUUAUAAAAAACUUAAUUGAGAUUAAAUUCUCGUUAAGUAUCGUUACUUAAUCUAUCAUGAGAUUAAGUUCAAAAUCAUAAUAUAUAGUGAUGAGAUCUCAAACUUCAUAUCUUAACACAGUCAAUUGAACUUAUCUUGAUGAGUUUGAAGUCUCAAAAUUGUUUUGAGAUCCCUAACUAAAAAUAAUUGCUAAGGCCCUUAAUUUUUUUAUUAAAAUGUCUGUGAGCUUGAUUGAGAUCAAUUUGGAUUACUUUUAGAGAUUCUAGAGGAAUUUAGAAGAAUAUAUAAAGGAAAAAACUUAGGGAAGAUGAAAAGUGCUAGUUAGAGCAGCCUUCUAUUGCACCAGAAGAAGUGGGCGCACCCUUCUACUAUGUCAAAAGGACUUGACGCAUCUGUAUAAGUACGCUAGGAAGGAAAAUAAAGCAACAAGCCGGCCUUUGACUUGAGAAUUGGAGAACCCUCUCCCAGACUUAAGUGGCACACCUUUUAAGUGCGCCAAGGAAAAGAAAGAGUUGUGGCUCAACCCCAUCAAGGAUUGAUAGGCAUACUCCGUCCACUAAAGAUUAAAUGUGUUAGCACAUCUCUUAUCUCUCUCCAUGAACAAAUGGUGCAUUUAAUUAUACAUACACUGUAAGCAUUGGGCUGCCUAUCCGAUGGUGCAAUUCAAAAGCUGUGGCAUGUUUGGUCAACGUAUGAGAAGCAUCCUCUUGCAUCCAACAAUCUUGCAUGGGUGGGGCACACCCAACCUAAGUGUUCUCGAAGUUUGGAUGGUGUUGGAGCUGUUCUUUCCAAACUUCCAGCUUCUUCUUGUCUCACGUUCACCUGCAAUGCAAGGUUUACCCGGUGAAGCCCCGGGCAGACCCCUCCGAUGGUUAAGUCUGUUGGAGUGUGAGAAGCCAACUUCUUUUUAAUUUUUCUUCUUAGCUGUGUUCUUAUACAUCUCUUCACUUACCGCCGGGACCGGAGAUAAUGGGGGCAUUUUCACCACAUCACUGCCCACUUCGCCACCUUCUCAUGGCAGCAAGCUUUUUGGGCUAACCGCUCCCACCAUUUUUGGCGGCUAGCCCCUUCAACACCUUUCACAUUACUUACCAUAUUUCUUUCUGGGCCAGAGACUCUGUCUAGUCCUCCAAAUUCACCUCUUAAUUUUAAAUGCUUGGGCCCAGGCCCAUUGGUCCAAAUUCGGCUCUUAAUUUUUAUCCCUUGGAGGAGUGUUUUUAGUUUUUCUUCUUGAAAUACUUUGCAGGUACAAAACUGUAUGAGCUUUUUGUUCAUGGAGUUCUAUGGGAUUCUUCGAAAAUGAAUGAAAUUCAAUUUUAAAAGAAGUCUUUUGUUUCUUUGCUUGAGUAAUUUUUUACCUUAAGUUUAAUUUCCCUCGCAUGUUCUAUCCAUGAAGCACUAAUUCACUUUACUGUUGUGGGUUGAAAGGGGUUGUAUCCCUUGCAACUCAAUUUAGUCCUCAAUGGUUUCAAAGGGUAGCGGAUAGGGAGGUGAAGUUCAUGAUUGCAGCAAAUGCAUGCAUGUUGUAGCAUUCUGAGAGCCCUAAGCUAAGCAACUCCAUGAGCAUGUUUGUACCUUAUAUAUUUAGCUUUCACUUCCCUUUGAGGUUGAAAAUACUAGGUGUUACACGGAAAAACGAAAAUAGGCAAUAAGAAAAUAUGAAUAAUUUAUGUGAAAAAUCCUAAACAAAAAAACUAAGGAUAAAGAAAAUCCACUAAAUUAAAAAUUGGUACAAAAACAGAAAGAAUCCAACGACUAUUGUAUAAUCCUAAAUCCUAUACACUAUCGCAUAUAUAUAUGAGAAAAAAUAAAUAAAGCAGGUCCAUAUCGUAGGGGCAAUCCUCUGCACCCACAACAAAAUCAAUAAUGGGUUAAAGUAUAAUUUUUCUUCACCAUAUAUAUCAUACCACAAAUUUUUCAAGUCAAACCAAAAAACAAUUCAUAUCAUCAAGCUCUAACAUUAAAAAAAGAUGAAAACAAAUCUUUGUAUUAUGGUUAUGGGAGUAACUUUAAACCUUAAAAUUCUCAUUCAAGCUUUUCCAAAUGAAAUAUAUUAAUAUUAAGUUUUAUUUAAAUAAUCUAUUUUUCCGCAGAUAUAACGAUGAGUUGAAAUUUAGACUUAUUUAAUUUGUUUAUGUCAAACAUUCAAAUCUAAAAUACAUAUAACAAAAGAUCAUGGGAAUUUAUAAUAUAAACAAUUUUUAUGCAAAGGGCCAAUUGUAAAUAAUAGAAUACUAUUUUCAAAAGAGAUCCAAAUCAAGUCGUUGUUUUUAAUAAAUAAAUAAAUAAAAUUUUUGUUUCAUUUGGAAGAUGGUGUUAAAGAGCGACUGAAUCAAAUAACUUGCUCAACCGGCAAAGCUGAGCUGGUCAACUUGACUCGCUUAUAUAUAUACGUAAUUGGGGAAAAAAUGUCAGAUGAGGGGGCGGAUUAGGUCACUUGGGGGGUGCCGGGUGUAGAUGGAAGAAAGAAGUACGUAUAUAAUAAUAAUAAUUGGAGGGUUGACGUUGUCUUGAGAGCAACCGAUGAUGAUAACCCAUGCAGUAUUUUUGUCAUGGGAGAAUUAGGGUGGGGGUGGCCGUAAAAAAUAAUGACUAUGAAGCUCACUAUUUUAAAGGAAAGUUUUACUUUUAAAUAUAUUCUUUAUAUUAUUUAUAAAUAAAUUAAGAUUGUCAAUGAUGUGGGUCCAUAUAUGAUGAUAAGUACAAGUUGAUAAAUUAUGUGGGGCUCAUAUAUGAUAAUAAGUACAGGUUGAUAAACAAUCAACGGUACAUUUCUCAGCUUGAAAAAAUUGUUGUCACUUUUGAACAAUUGACGGUUUAAAAAUUUACUAUUUUUUUUUCAAAAAAAAUUAAGAUUUUUUAAAGAACCUUGCAAAAAAAAUAAUUUUUAAUAUCUCAUAAAUAAAAAUCAUAUCCUAAAGUUAUUAUGUCGUUUUAUAUAUAAAACAUACAAUUAAAAACUUUGUUAUCAUAAUAUAAUGAAUAAUUAUUUUUUAAGAGCACUCAUCAAUUGAAUAACAUAUAAAUAUUCAAUUGACUAAUACACACCUAUUAAAUGAAAUAACUCACAAUUAUUCAUGGGGUAAUAUAGCACGUGAAAAAAUUAAAUAAAAAUAAAUUAAAUUAUGUUGUAAUAUAUUGUAAUGAUAGUGUAUUUAUAUUGUAAGUAUAAUGCAUUUAUAUCGUACCUAUAUUUAAUUAAAAAAGUAAUAAUUCUAAAAAUGUUUAUUCAUACCCUAUUGGUAUUAACACAUCGUAUUAAUAUAUUAACAACAUUUAUUUAGUGUCUUGAAAUUAUUUAAUAAUUUUUUUAUAUAUAUAAACUACGUGAAUUCAAAUUAGUAUUUCAUUUGAUUUCAAAAAUUAUUUAUGAUAUAGGUAUGUUGUGAAAUAUGGUAUAAUCAUAUAAAAUUACAAUUUUAAUAAAAAAUUUCAUAAAUUUUUUAAUUAGGUUUUAUUGUAAUGUAAGUGUAUUUAUAUUGUAAUUAUAACAUAUUUUUGUUGUACUUGUAUUUUAUAAUAAAAGUAAUAAUCUUGAGGAUCAUCUUUUAUACCUUAUUAAUAUUCAACAUAUCAAAUAUAUUAACAUUAUUCACUCGAUGCAUUGAGAAAAACAAAUUUAUAUGAAAUUUAUAAAAAAAAAACACUAUGCAAAGGAAAAAAAAUCAUAUAAAUUUUUUAAAAUUAUUUUAUUAUAAAAAUAAAAAAUGAUUAAACAUUCUCUACCAUUUUCUUAUUCUUUUUAGAGAAUUUGAAUGAAAAAUUAAACAUUUUAUCUUCCUUAAAUUUAAUACAAAAAUAUAAUUUAUCAAUUUAAAAUUAUAAUAUAUAUAUAUAUAUAUAUAUAUAUAUAUAUAUAUAUAUAUAUAUAUAUAUAUAUAUAUAUAUAUAUAUAUAUAUAUGAAAAAAUCAUCAUUUUUAUUAUAUAAUUAUAAAACUUAUUUUAAAAAUUAGAAUAAACAUAAAAAAAAAGGUAAAAAAACAAUAAAUGAUAUUUUGAAAAUAAUUUUUAAAAGUAUUUUUGUUUUAAAUAGUAAAUUUAAAUAACAAAUUAUAUAUAAUUGUAAGAGUUAAACCCAAAAUUUUGAUUUAAAAUUUAAAUAUUAUUAAUUACAAUAAAUAUAGGACCCAUAUACCAUAAAUGUAUUGACAAAUCAAGUGAAGUGCUUUAAAUGCUUUGAAUUUUAAAAGUUUUAGCUAAAGGACAAUUUUGGUAUAUUAAGCCUAUUAAAAUCCUUCUCAAGAAUUAUUAAAAUAUAUCACCCUUUCUAAUAAUUGUUCUGCCUAACCUAUUUUUAGGUAAUUCUCCCUUUUUUUCAUUCUCAUCCAUCUUCACGGGACUUCGUCUACCAAAUAUGACAAAUAUUAUAUUGUUAUAUUGAAUAUAUGUACUAAAAAAUAGAAAUGGGAUGAUGCACAUGGCCUGACGUGUACGUUAUUAAUUUGUUUUUGUCUACGUUUGUUUGUUUGUUUUCGUUUUUCUGUUUAUAUACGUAAAGUCAUUUUUUUCCUCUUCAUGGAAUUCUUUUUGAUGAAAAAAUUAGAGGAAAAAACACAGAUUUAACGAUAAAUUAUCCAUGUUCAUGACAAUAAGAAAAAAGAGUUUCACUAUAUAUAAAAUUAGGAUUACAUUAAAAGGUAUUUAUAUUAAUUAAAAAUAUGAUAUUAAUCAUAAUAUUUAUAAUAGACAUAUCAUAUCAAAUAAAUUAUCCAAUUUUUUAUUAUAUUAAUAGAUAAAUUGAAGUUUUUAUGGUAAAUUUAGAUUAUUUGAUAUCACAAAUAUUAUAACGUUUAAAAAUUAAUUUUAAUAACUAAGUUGUGUUUGGUUUAAAAACCAAUUUUUAGUUUUCAUUUUCCAUUUUCAUUUAUGUUUUUUCUUUUCUUAAAAAUAUCUUUGAUUAAGAAAAGUAAAAGUAGUAUUUUAAAAAAGUAAACUUAUAAAAUCUUGUUUGAUUUUAAGCUUUCGUGAAUGUAAAAACUUGUGAAAAAGUAAGCAUUGUUGUUAGUACUCUUAAAUAUUAAUUAAAUAUGACUAAGUGGAUGAUGUCUAUAUCACUUCUCCUGCCAUCGUCACCCAGUGCUCCAGAAAGAAACUGGAAUCUGGACGCGUGAUUAACAACUUCGCUGAUCGCCUACCAUUCCCAUGGCCUCAUGCCUUAUAUAUUUCCACAAACCUAGCUCAAUUUUCAUAUCCACCUUCACUGUCCUAUACUCACAAGCCAUGGCCAUAGAUACAAGCCUCUUGCCUGAGCUUGCUGCAGCAACUCUUCUCUUCUUCAUCACCCGCUUCUUCAUUCGUUCUCUCUUUCCCAAACCUUCCCGGAAGCUCCCUCCUGGCCCCAGAGGGUGGCCGCUCCUCGGCGCUCUUCCUCUUCUAGGUAACAUGCCUCAUGUUGCACUAGCAAAGAUGGCCAAAAGAUACGGACCUGUCAUGUUCUUGAAAAUGGGCACUAACAGCAUGGUGGUGGCCUCAACUCCGGAGGCAGCUCGGGCUUUCCUUAAAACCCUAGACAUUAAUUUCUCGAACCGCCCGCCUAAUGCCGGUGCAACACACUUGGC